RNAcentral lists this long non-coding RNA (175686 nucleotides) under Prunus persica (peach). RNAcentral's name for it is "long non-coding RNA (PPER_LNC001496)". The stretch from base 130500 to 130606 matches the Rfam family "Plant small nucleolar RNA R71". The record is from RNAcentral. Lineage: Eukaryota; Viridiplantae; Streptophyta; Magnoliopsida; Rosales; Rosaceae.
AGUUGGAAACUUUCCCUCUUUGUCUGUAUAUUUUAUUGAACUUGGAAAGAAGUAAAAUGAUUUUGGCCAGAAAAAAGGUAAAAAGAUUUUUCAAACAAAAAACGUAUGAGCAUGCAAAACAACAACCAAAAUAGUGAAAAUGAAAGCUUACCUUUUGCGUGCAAUGAAAGCAAGAGGAAGAUUAUGUUUAAGUUCAGAGACGACGAAGAAGAAGAGAGGAAGACGAUGAGAUACUCUGACAGUGCUCUGACAAGGAAAAAAGUCUAAAAGUUUUCUCUGGGAGAUUGAACUUUUUAAUCGGGUUUGAAAACGGCGCAUGUGUAUGUCAGGUAGACGAAAAGUUGCUUACAUAUAAAACCAUUUCAAAAAAAUAAUACGGCGGUUACAUAUAACUACGACGUAUAAAUUACAAAAUACGACGGUACAUUUAACUUCGGACGUGGUAAAUAAAUACGACAGUAGUGUUGUAGGUACCGUCGUAGUAAACUCAAAAAUUAAAGUACAUAAGUAAUAACUCGCGUCAUGGUAGAUUAUUUAACACGUCGUUUUUAUUAAUUUACCGACGUGGAUUUCUGUAAUAUACGUCGAUAAUACCGACGUUGAUUUUACAAUUUAAACGGCGGUUUUUUUGUAAGGACCGCCGUUGGUUUUAAAAAUUUAUUCUAUAAAUUUGUCGCUUUCAUUCAUUUUCGGUUUACAUUUAAGGUUCCAAGUUCUUCCUCUCUCAGUCUCUCACGUCUCAAAGACAAUAAUUUGGAUGUCUUUCUCAAAGAGAAAUUGAGCUUACUCGCAUCAAAUAUAUGUCCACAAGAAGAAGCUUGUCAACUAGCCUUCUCACUUCCUUGAUCAAGCCUGAUAGGACACUUAGUGCUUCUGAAUACUCCUUGCUUUCCAUCAAAAGAGAUGCAAGCCUGGCCUCCACUCGCUGUCGAAGGAAAGUUCGCUUCUCAGGGAAAUCUUCUUGAUUUUCUUGGCUAAGAAGAUCCGUCAGAUUUGUGAUAGCCUCUUCCUUUAUCCGUAGAGCUUCAGAAGAAGAAGAUGGGUUUCAAGAAUGCGAUAAAGAAUAGAAAUGGCUUCAGAUGGCCUCUAAAGCAUGAGCAAUCGAAUCAGUAGUUGUUGGGAGAUAUGAUGAAGACAUUGUCAAUGCUUUGAACUAUACAAGUCCUGCAGAAAGAUAAAGGACCAAACUGUUAAAGAAACUGAAACAAUGGCGGUUUUCUGUUCUACCGUCGUCUUUUCUCGUCGUCUAUAUUAAGGUAAGAUGGCGGUAGAUUUAUAAUUACCGACGUAGAUUAUUUUGUUAAACGUCGUUAAGUGUACUACAACCGACGUGGAUUUUAUUUUUAAAUUAUAAAUAGAGUUUUUUUUCCCCUAUUCUUUCAGUUUUAGUUUUCAAUUACAAAGCGUGAUAAAUAGAUUUUUCUUUCCCGAGGAAAUUUAAAAUGAGGGAAAUUAAUGUUCUAGAAUUUGUAAACUAACACGACGCAAUAUUUGCAAAUCUGUGUCAUCUGUUAAGAUUAUGAUGUGGAACAGAGUUCCAUCUGGUAAGAUUUCGUAACCCUUGGGAUCUCAGACAAAUCUGAUUAUGUCGGCGGUUUUCUAUAUAAAUCGUCGUGGUUAUUUCAAUUCUUGUCAUUAAGUAGAUCUACCGACGUAGGAUAAGAAAAUCAAAGAAAAAAAUUGUUAACAAAAAUUCUUAUUAAGACGACGGUUAAAAUUAAAGGUACGACGUAUAAAAUGAAUAAAUACGACGUUAAAUUUUAUUGUACGAUUUAAAGAUAACGUCGUAGAACUAUAAGAGAAUGACGUCGAUAUAUUUAUAUUUUCCGUCGUUGUACAUUAAUUUAAUACGGCGAUAUUUUGUAUUUUAAAGCCGUGGAUUUGUUUGUAAUUAUACGGCGUCUUAUACGAAAACCUCGUCGUGUUAUUUUAUGAGUAAAAACGGCAGUUUUUAUUGAAAUCGUCGUCUUUACUUUCUACGUCGGUCGAUUCAUAACUUCUGCCGUUCUUUGUUGGCAUUGAUUUUACACUGCGAAAAUCUGUUUCAAAUAGACGUCGGUUGUUUAAUUAUGUACGUUGUUGUUUUUGAACAGCCAUUUGAAUCUCCAUUUUUUAGUUGUCUAAGGUUGUAUUACACGACGGUGUUUUUAGAACCGUCGUCUUUUUAAAAACCACGACGGUUUUCACUUAGACCGUCGUUGUUUUCUGGUCGUCUUUUUCACUUUUUGUAGUAGUGGCAUAUGAUGACGACACUCACAACAAGAUCAUGGCAUUUGACUCGAGUUGUAUGAUUCUCUCUUAAGUGUAUGUAAAGUGUAUGACAUUUACAUCAAUACGUGUAUUCUUAAUUGAAAUCUACUAUGGCAUUUACUCAAAUUAACAAUCAAGAAUCCAUUAAGAUCAAAGAGAAUAUGAGUGUCACAAAAACCCUAAAACAUGGCAUUUGUUAUUAGGAAUUCAAGAAUCGAUUUCUCAUAACUAGUUCUUAACCCAAUUAUUCGUUGCAAAUAAGAACACAUUCAAUAUGGCAAUUGACCUAUGUUCUACAACAAUUUAAUUCCAAUACAUGCUUCUAAGUUAGCUACUCAAAGAAACAAAAUAUCAGAAUUCACAUAACAUAUAGAAACCGAAAACAUCACGCUUGUAGAAACUAAAAAUCCAUUAACCUUGUUUAUAAAAUUGAAAUCAUGUUUAGGGCUUCAAGAUUAAGCCCUAACUAACAAGAAAUUAGUUACUCAUGGUCUUGGAUGAACUCAAAAAUAAAUACAUAAGAACUGAAAAUUAAAGAAGGAAGGAAAAGAAAGAACUCGUUCGCAGCUUUCUCCUCUUGCGCUGUUGAUCUCUUUAGGACGUGAAUCCUUUUUAUCAGCCUUGCCUCGUCUUUUAUAUCACUUAUAUCAGAGUUCUAAACCCUAAAAUUGACUGAAAAGUCGUCCAAGAAGUCUUGGUAAACAAGGAAUCCAAAUAGGAAAGUAAAAAUCACAAUUCCUAACUCCACUGGGAAAUACAGCUCAGCCCAAUGUUCACACGAUUUUGGGAUCUUCGACCUUGUAGAAAAAUCAUUAAAAAUAUAUUUUAGAAAGAUAAAUGUCUUAUCUUUCCAACCAUAUAUAGCACGUAACUUGAAAAAUUCGGAAAGGCUUCCGUUUCUUCACAUUCACGUAGCAUGUACGAAACUGUCCUGUCUGCACGUGGGCUAACUUUACUUGUAAUACUGUACCAAUUGGCUCGGUAGAAAAUUCUAGAAAAAUCAUAGAUUGAACUUCAAGAUGUUAGCUUUCAUCUCCAAUCAGGGGCGGCCUUGGGGAGGUGCAAGUGGCGCCACCGCACAGGGCCCCCGAAAAAAAAAAUAUUUAUAUUAUAUAUAUAUAUUAAUAUUAUAUGAAUCGUAUAUAUAAUAUAGCGUCUGGAUAUUUGCACAACAGCGUGUUCAGGGGAGUUGGAUGGAGCACAUCUCUCUUUGGCAAAAGGGCCCGAGUUCGAUGCUCCUUGAUGUCGUUCUACUGGCUAGCCUUUUGUGAUAUUAUUUUUGCAUUCAAACUUUACAUAAUUAUUGAACCAUUGGAUUAAUAUGCAACGAUGGGUGACCACAAUCUCUUGGACUCCUGUGGUCCAUGAGAUCGGGACUGAUAUUACAUGACUUAUUUUAUUAAAUUAUUAUCAUGUUGAUGAUUGGUUGUAUGAGAAUAUAGUUUGUAGAAAUAUUUAUCUAUUUCUUGUUGGGGUUUUCUUCCAGGUUAUAGGGUUUUGGAAUUUUUCUUUGUAAUCUAAACAUGCCACCUACUAGAAAAUACGUUUAUGGAUAUACAAAACGGCUUAGAAAAAGAAAAUUCGAGGAAUUGACUCAAUCUCAAAGAGGAGCUCUUGAUAGAUUCAUUGUUAGAGAAUCACAUGCUACAAUUGAUGAAAAUAUUUAAAUUUUUAUGAAUUUAAUUUCUGAUUUUCAUUGCAUAUUUAUUGAUGGUGAAUUUUAGUUAUAAAAAAAAAUUGUUUAUGACAUUAAGUUAUGGCAAAUUUUUAUAGUAUUUUCGUAUUAGAUUAUGCAAGGCCCCAAUUUAAGUUUCGCACAGGGCCCUCAAAAUCUCAGGGACGGCCCUGUCUCCAAUUGGUCUUGUGCUAAAAUUCCUCCGAAAAGUUGAUUUUCCCUUAAAAACCUUCUAAGAGUGCAGAAAAGCUGAAAAUCAGAAAAAUAAAGUAAUAAGCCAUUUUUAAAUCUAAUUCUCUUACAAAACCAAAGUAAAAAGAGUACAUAAAUGAGUAUAUUUAUGGACUUAUCAACGUCUUCUUCGUUGGACUUGGGGUUGUUUUCCUUAUAUGUCCCCUAUAUAUAUAUAUGGCCUUUAGUUGAGCCCACAAAUACCUUCAGUUAGUUUUUGGGUUUAGGGGCCUACAGAACCUGCACUAAACAAUAAAAGAAAAUACCUAAUUAGUUUAGUACGAAUUUAUAAUGAAGGCUUUAUUAGGUGAAGUUUUAUUUCUUAAUCGUUAGAUCAAAUUGGUUAGCAUCUGAAGUCGCCCAAAGAUUUGAGAGGGAUUCCACAAACAUAUAAUAUAAAGAAAGAAAGCAAUAGUAGGAGAUGAACCAGUACAAAAAACAAUAUAUAAAUAGUACAUAAUAAUUCCAUAACCUUGUCACAAACGCACUCACAAAUGCUUUCCAUAAACCUUGCCCUAACAUAUAACAAAUAAAGGCAACAUUGCAUAUGAUGCAACCAUGUCCAAAUCUGAUACGUGAUAAAAAAAAAAGGACAUGGCAGCAACAUAUGACUGAAGUAGAUGGGCUCUUUGCAUCUCGUGUUAUCGUAAUUAAAGACAUCAAAAUAUUAAGGUUGAAAUCUUCUAUAGUAGCAAGCAUUAAAAUAGGUUUGAAGCAGAGUUUAAAGAAAAUUCCAAUUCCACUGAUUUGCCUCUGCUCAAAGACGAGAACCAAAAUGGUUACUUCCCUUGCUGAGUAUAUUUGUUAACGUCGGAAACGGUAAUAGAUGACCAAUCAAACCCAAGUACGACGAGUUUUGCAUAGGAUCAGAAGUAGUUGAAUCCAGCUUGCAUCACACGCUUCUUUGACUCCAUUGCAUUAGAUGAGUUUUUGUAUUUUUGAACAGCUACACUCCGAAGUCGUUUGUGUCUACGCUUCAUGCGCUGCAACUUCGCCCUAUCCAGAUUGGCCUGCCUUUUGUCAUCUUCAAUUUGGCCUUCAACAAAUUCCAAACGUGCCCUUGCCCUUUGGAUUUCAUCACCAAGUUGAAGAUGCCUCUCCUUCCAAAAAGCAAGAACUCUUUCAGACUCAAAACUUCCAACAAAAUGGUCAUUCUAUCUAGGAAUGUGACAUUGCUUGUCUGGUGACUCACCUGCGUUUCAAAGGCGGUCUUUGUUUGGAGGGGUGUUUAUUAUGCUCACAUCAAACUUGGUUAGUAAAUCCAUUCUAUGGGGGGAGUGAGUUUCUGUGGAGGAGAGAGUUUCAGUAGAUGGAGACAGAUUCGGUGGAGGAGUGAGAUUUUUGUGGAGGGAGAAUUUCUAUGAAAUGGGUGAUAGUAAUACCAAUAAAAGGGUUCCCGCCAAAAAGUAUUUGGUUGACAAUGUAUAAAUUAAUUUUUGGUCUGAUACAAUCUAAGUUUAAUCCUAACUAGUUUGGUUAGUUUGGUUGAAUUCACUAACUAGAUGUCACUUCCAUUGAGUUUCUUUCAACCACUAUCAGUGGUGUAAGGAGAGUGUGAGGUUGACAUGCUUGAAAAGCAAAACCUAACACCUCUUUUUUUUAAAAUUGAAAGAAAGUACAUAUGUUGACUACACACAAGCUUUGGUAUGUUGGUCUAUAAAGCUAUGUUCCCUUUCUCAAACGAAAUUGCAUAUGCAAUCCUCGUCCUCCCAAAACAAAUAGAAUUAUUCAAGCAUGUCAACCUCUUCAGGCGCCAACAACACAAUCAAAGAUGACAAAUUGGAGUCGCAGGUUCUAUUUCCACAUUGUACUCGCCGACCCCUUCCAUUUUCAACAUCAUUUGGGAGUGAGGGGGACUCCGAUGAUCCAUUAGAGCUAAUACAUGCAGUCAAUAGCAAGCUGGAUUAUAAUUCCAGACUGAUCAAUUCAUGGCGCGAGAAAUAUGUUGAAGACGAAGCCAUUUUGGCUGAUCUUAACAUUAGAGUGAACAAAGCGUUCUCCCAAAAGAACAAGUACUUGAAGCUGAGUCAUAAAAGGAAGCUGAAAGCUGAGGAGUUAGAUACAGUAAUGAAUGAUGAAAUUAAAGGUUGUUUGAUGAAUCAUAUGCGAUGCGAAGAGCACCACAGUGAACUGGAGUUGGCAUUCAACGAAGGAUUCGAAAAAUUACGAGCAUUUGCAGCAACUACUCAUACAAGUUAUAAUUGGGACUAUGUGUCCCCUGAUGUUGUGAGAGAGAUACUAGACGAUGGUGGUGACAUGAAUGAGCAUAAGCACGUCAAAGCUGCUUGGAAGAAGCCGACCGAUACGACUAAGUGAUUGCGGCUACAGUUGUUCAGUUGGUUGAGAGUGAUCGUGGUAUUGCACAAAUUAGAAGUAUAUUCCCAUAAUGUCAUUAUCUAAUUUAAAAUAACACAAAUAUCAGUUUCAUUUGCUUCAUAUUGUAACACCCCGACCCCAAAUUUCCCCAAAAUUUACCCUCAUUUAAUUAAUUAAUUAUUUAAGGGUAUUUUAGUCAUAUUUUUAACCGGAGAGAGUUUGGGACCAUGACUUGUAUUUUUGGAUAGGUCGUACUGAGACGAGUUCAUAGACACGUAGUGGGCUCGAAUCAGAGUUGUAACGAGAGAGAUAUGGUCAAAAGAAACCCAGUGGCACAAUCGUAAAUAUUUCAAAAUGGGAUUUUUAUAAAAAUCUGGUUUUUCUCUCUCUCUCUCUCUCUCUCUCUCUCUCUCCCGCGACUUCUCUCUCUCUCCCGUCGGCUCUCUCUCUUUCUCUCCUUGUAUCUCCGGCCACCGACCACGGCUGUGGGCGGGGCCGGUACCAAACUGACCGGGACGACGUCCCCUUCCUUCCCCGACCAUUCCCCGCCGGCAACGCGGCCGUUGCUGGCCGGAAAAUGCAGAAAACCGCCGGGAGGUCGUCGAAACUUCAACGCCGUCGAUCUCCCUCCUCCGGCCACCAUUUUCGUCGACCCAGGUAUGGAUCUUGAACCUCUCGAGCUGUUCUAGCUGUUUGUUGGUUGGGUUUUGAUCGAUUCGAUCUCUAGAUCACUCGAUUUUCGAAUUGAAAAUUGGCCGAAACUUCGGCCGCCGUGAUCGGCCAUUUUCGGCCACUUUUUGUGGUAGGUCCAAGAACAAAAGUGGCUCCAAAUAGGGUGUUAUACCUAGGGUAGAAGUUUGGAGCCGAGAUGUUGAGAUUUUCCGGCGAAGCGUUAUCGCUUUGGGCACCCACGCGUGCGGCGGCGCGUGGGCACUGUAGAAAAAGUAGAUGUGUUCCGAUGAGAUCCUUAGGUUGUCACGAGUGCGUAGGAUUUGGCGGAUCUCAAUUCGGACGUCGUUUGACUAUCGAACGGAUAAUCGCAUAUUAUGCGUUAUCCGGGUUCGAUAGGUUGAGACCGUCGGAUGGUCCCAAAUUUAAUAUAUGUUGAUCUAGGUAUUUCUAGGAUCGUGUAGGAUUUCACGGAUCGUGAAUCGGAGCCCCGGAUGUUCCGAAUAAUAAUUUAAAGUUUAUAUUUUAUAUUAACCAUCAGAUUAUGCGAUCGUGAGAAAUCCGACCGUCUGAUCUGAACCAAACUGGCAGGAAAAGUGUCCUGUACCUGGUAGAACCCAUAGGGACCUUCGGAUCGGAAAUUGGAGGUCGUGGGUUCCGCAAGUCUGUUUGACCAGGGUUAGAGUAGUUUGACCCUUGGUUGACCGUGAGUCUCCCGGAGUAAUCUCACCCUUCCAGGGGGAAUUAUCGGGAGCUAGACUAUUGUGGAGGGUUACACAAUAUUAGAAUUAUUUAUAUAAUUAUAUAUGGUUGUACAAGGGUACAACAAAGUCUAGAAUGUCAGUUUGGAGUGCUAUACGCACUACUUUAGGUACCUCCUCGGAUUUUGGAUUCGCUACAAGCACCACCAAGUGAAAGUUAGGUCCCGCGUGGCGUAGGUUAUCCGGCGUUGGGACAGACCCCAUACGUGGCGUUGGUUGUACCGGCGUAUGGGGAGAUUUGCAAUAUGAUGUUCAGGUCUCACGUGGCGUAGGUUAUCCGGCGUUGAGACAGGCCCCGUACGUGGCGUUGGUUGUACCAGCGUACGGGGAGAUUAUGUGAUAUGAUGUUGAGGUCCCGCGUGGCGUAGGUUAUCCGGCGUUGGGACAGGCCCCAUACGUGGCGUUGGUUGUACCGGCGUAUGGGGAGUUAUAUGAUAUGAUAGUAUGGCAUGGUCGCACAUGGCGUAGGUUAUCCGGCGUGUUGACAGGCCCCAUACGUGGCGUUGGUUGUAUCGGCGUAUGGGGAGAAUAUGUGAAAUGCAGAGAAAGGAAAUAAGGUAUCACCGAUGUGUGGAAUUGGGUUUUAGGGAAGAACUACGUGUGGCUUGAUCCCUCAAGGAGGGUACGUAGGCAGCCUAAGGUUAUUGGGUGCAGCCGCAGACUAAAUAUUAGUCAUAUUUGGUAUUUGAAUUGUAUGGUAGUUGUUUGAGAAUUAUUGGAAGGCCAAAGGCCAUUUAUGAGAAUUUGCAUGAAAUUAUAUUGUGCAUGCUGCUAGUUGUGGAUAUUAAAUGUGUUUUUAUGCAGGUUGAAAUUUUGGGAAAUGUCCAAUUUAUAGGGGAGACUCUGCUGAAAUUUCGGCAGGAAGUCUCGGUUUUUAGUAAGUGGGCCUGGCAUCGGGGUGAUGUCAGGAAUUCCAAAGGGUUCGUCUCGGGUUUUGAGAAAAUUCGGGGCGGGUCCUUAAACAUAUAUAAUUAUUGGGACUAUGUAUUGCAAGUCAUCAUGUGUUCCUUCUGUCUAACAUUAUAUUUUGCAAAUAUCAAAAUAUUAUUCAAUAAGCAGUCAAUAUCACAGCAAGUUGGGAAUUAGUAAAGCCCCAUUAUCAUGUCCGUUCACAUUAAAGAGCUGGCGUACUUUUUCUCAAAAAACUGACACGUGAGUCAUAAGUAACAUAACAUGUGCUAUACAUUGUUUAGUGAAUGGUUUAUGGUUUAUUUAUAUAUAAUAAAAUUCCAAAUAUUGCUGAAUAUUUGUUUUUUCUAUAUCCCUGGGAACAUGAGUGACCAUAAGCAUGUAAGACCUGUUAAGAAGAAGCUGACUAAUACGACCGAGUGAUUGUGGCUACCGUUGUUUAGUUGGUUGGGGAGAUCGUGGUAUUGCUAAGAGGGAGCACAUAAUGUGCUUUGCAAUCAAAUUUUCUUUUGUGUGUGGAAUUAUGAGUAGUUCAAAUGUUAGUGUACCCUUUAAUAUUCUUCAACCGUUUGAAAUGUGAUUAGCUGCAAUGUACUUUUUUACACGCUGCUUUCUAAUCACUCUGUUCCAACAAAGUGCUUUAAGUAUCCUUCAGUUACAAAUGUUUACAAAAUCGUGCAUCUAAUAACCAGUCGAGCUCAGAUCUUAAUAACAAGUAAAACACUAGAACAUAACAUUCGGAAAAAGUGGGUGCUGCUGGAAAUCAUUACUGGUAAUGGAAGCAAGAGCUGGCUGCUGGAAAUGCUGCAUUAGCCUGUGAUAUAAUCAAUGAAUCUCUGUUAAAACAUAAUUCACCAUAAACUACCCAUUUUACAUGGUAAAAGUCAUUGCUUCUUCACAUAACUCAAAAUUUGAUACUUUAUCAAAUGUCUAUGAAAAUUUCUAAAUAGGGGAAAGACGUAAAAUUAACAUGUGUCCAAAUUUCAUGCAAGAAUGAAACCAAGCAAAUUUUUAUUUCAAUUAUCAGUGGACAUAGUAAGAACUCAUCGGUGGACAUGAACAAAAAAAUAAUAAUAUUAAAAACUGAAUCUAGAAAACUUCACCUGAUCAUUAGUCUUCAUAACAACCGAAUUUCGUCUAAUAGAAACAUAAAUCAUUCAGUUGGUCCGUGCAUCGUGUCAAAUUCAUAGAAUAAUGGGUCACUACGAUCUAUUGGAGUUGAUUCGUCAUUGUUCGACGGUGAUGUCCUGCAUAGACAUCAAACACAAGCACAGAAAAAAUUUACCUAUUCAAAUUUUAGGUGUUAUUAUAAAUAGUGUUAGCAUCUUACGGUGUGUUCAAAUUUCUUGCGCAUUGUCUUCUAUCAUGACCAAUGUGUCCACACUCCAGACAGUGUCUAAUCCCUCGCUUCAUUGCCUUUUCUUUUGCUCCCGUUACUCGUUUCGACCUUCUUUUGCACCUCACUCUCUUAGGGUCUUUCAUAUAUUGUGUUUGAGAGCUGGACCCUCCAACUUCGUUAUUACUUGGUCCAUCCUUCAACAACUUCAACUUCACCUGCAAACUUUUUAGAGUCUCUGACAGUAGCUCACAUCCUUCUUCACUCAUUAAUGCACCCUCAACCACAUCUUAAGCAAGUCGAGACAUUGUACUCCGCCUUAUUAAAAGACCAGGAUCUGCAGAGUCUUUAAUUUCGUUGCCAUUUGCAUCUGACACCAAUUCAGAUUUUGCAGUUUUCUUCCACCUCUUUAAAAUAUAUUUAUCGGGCAUAUAUUCAAUCUGGUCCCUUCUGAACAAUGCUAGGAUGUGCUUGCAAAUAAUUCCAACAAAUUCAAAUCUUUUGCACCCACACGAUGCGUGGUCAGAAUCUUUAACAUAUACGACGUCUGCCACUCUUGUUUCCCAAUUUUUCCUUUUGCUCACGCGAAAGACAACUUUAGAAGCACCCUCUGUUUUGAGCUCUAGGAAACAUGUUGUACUUUGUAUUAGUUCUUGGUCAAACUUUUGAAACAUUGUCCUUGUGUACAAGGUAGCCAUUUGUUUGUUCAUUGGCAUCGGUAGAAUACAUUGAGCCACUUCAAAUGCAUCUACGUGAUCAGCAACUAACUCUUUUUGACGUUGAUGAGAAAGUGCCCUCUCAAAUCGUAUUAUGAAAUCCAUCAACGAAUUUCUCCUUGAUAUGUAUUGCUUGAAAAAACCAUGAGAACCUUCCACUCUUUGGCUGCUUGACAUUCCAGCGGCAAAAAAUUGUUGUGCGUAGGCUGGAACCCAAGAUUCUCUUAAAUCAAACAUUGAACUUAGCCAUGGAUGGUCAGUCAAACCAGCCUUUGUAACCACAAUAUUCCAUUUUGUAACAAACUUAUCCUUAUUGUCAGUAUCCCAUACGGCUUUCUGAAAUUCACGCCAAUACUCCUUAUAAGCAGAAUGUGGUAACUUAACAGAGAACUUUGAUGUGAUGUGCAAUAUGCAAAGUCGAUGAAAUGUAGUCGGGAAGGGUAUUGAAAUCGCUCUGGUCAUUGCCGCAUCUUGAUCUGUAAUGAUCGUUUUAGGUCCGCCACUUGGCAUGGCUUUCUUAAACUCCUCAAACAUCCAAAUAAACGACUCAGUCGUUUCCUUGCUCAAAAAUGCGCAUGCUUAGACAAUUGUCUGACCAUGGUUAUUAACUCCCAACAUUGGUGCAAAUGUCAAGUCGUAUCGAUUCGUGUUGAAUGUGGUAUCGAAUACAACAACAUCUCCAUAAAACCCGUACGCCCAUCUAGAAGUUGCAUCUGCCCAAAAACAUUGACUAAACCUGUCAUGGCCAUCUCUCUCAAUCUUGAAAUAAAAAGCCUCAUUUUUUUUUUCUGUUCAGCCAUAAAAUACUCGGUCACUAGUUCAACAUCGUGGUUCCUCAACUUCCCAUUCACACUACAUUCAAAAUUGUAGAUAUCUUUUUUGAUAAAACCGAUUUUAUCCAUUCCUCCGGAUUGCACCUCGAAAAUACUUACCUUCUGAUGAAUGAGAAUAUUAACCGAACCCAACUGUUUUGUGAGUACUUUUGUAGAAUCUGAACUAUGACGGUGUGAUCUCAAUAAAUGCAUUCUUUCUGAGGGUGUCAUCUUAUGAUUGUGUCCCUCUGCAAAAAGAGAGAUGGUAUACUUCUUGCUCCCAUUUGUCUUCACAACCACAAUCUUAGCUUUGCAAUUGCAUCUACUUAUUCCCCGCUGUCUUUUUCUCUCCCGAGUUUCAUCUCUCCUGUAUUCACCUUGUUUGCAACAUACAAAUUCUUUCCUCAAAAUCUCUUUCUUAUUUCCCCCCCAAAAGCUGGAAUGAAGUCGAAUACCAAAGCCAGCCAAGAAUGCAUAUCUAUUAUAGAAAUUGUAAACGAGGUCAAGCAAGUCGAACUUCAUCCCAACUGCUGGUGUUUCCUCAUUUCUUACUUCAAGAAUGUAAACCCUCCCAUUAGCUGUUACACAGUCAUCACUCUCUGAGCCCCCAGACAUUUUAUCCACGUAUAUUAUUGAUCCACUUCUAUAUUAUUGCAUAGCAAAUAUUAAUUCAUUAAUAAAUCAUUACUGCAUCACAACAUAUCAAUGCAUUCCACUUACACAAAACAUUGCCCAAAUUGACACAAAACACGCAUAGCCUAACUUGUUGGAUUCCGAUUACACAAAACGCAAGCAAAAUUUAAUAAUAGUUACGUCAUCUCUUGUGAAAUAAUCUAGAAAAAAUAACAUUAGAACCAACAUGUUCAACUAAGAACACAAAUGCAAUUCAAACCAGCAAUCACAUAACUUCACCCAAUAUCCUCUCCAAAUGCUUACUCCUAAUGUCAUUAAGCCUAAGUUUAGGAUCUUUUACCUACAUUUCAUAAUUUUUCACCCCCACCAAAAAUAAUCAACUAAGUAUACUGAAUAUUCAUAAGGAAAUGACGCAUUAUUGAUGCCACAAAUGACGAAUUUCCUACCCUCACAAAAAACAAAUCAAACCCAAUUAAAUCAAUCCAGCAAGAGUGAACUUACCUCUCAAAAUCAAUCGGGAGCUCCGAAGUCAGUAAGCUUGAGAGAAUGUGGUGGACAUUAGAGAAGACUCUUUGGUAUUGGAGACUCCAUCUCUACCAAAAUCGAGGAACGAACUGCUGCUACGGCGUCUAGCUACAGAAAAAGAUAUGCUACUUUACUUUCAUCUGGAAUCUUGUUUGCUGAACGAAAAAGAGAAAGGGUUUUCACUUGAGCCAUAGAAUCAAAACAAGGCAACAUCUAGGUAAGAGCCAUUAAUCGUCAUAUCGAGGAUACCAUAGAUCGCAGGCCUCCCAAGGAGCUGAUGACAAUGGAGCGACUAUAGGGUUUGGGAGCUUUGGAUCCUUCUAAUUGUGGGUUUGCGUUACAUUCAAAAAAAGAGGAGUGUGUUGUUGAGUUUUUCACAUAGAGGGAAAGAGGGAAAGAUCUUCAACUGAAGUUGGGUUUCCAACGGGUCAAAUUUCAACCCGGUUCUACAUGCACCCUCUUUUAAAAACUCACCGUUGGAUUUCAUCCAACGGCUCGUACAUACCCCUCAAAAACACCCCUUAUAACUUUCCACUCACUAUAGAAGCUCUCCCCAGGAAAUGCUUCGAGGUAGAUUUUAUGUUUUGGGCCUUGGGACCCAACUUCACAAAAAGAAAACAAAUUUGACCAAAAAACAAAGUUGAAGGACAUUGAUAUUGUACCUGUAGGAUAGGUUAAAACACUAAAAGGAAGGUAAAUAGUACGUUUACAGAGUUUAAGUGUAAUAAAGGAAUAAAAACAUGCCCAGAGAAUUGAUAAGUGAUAUCAAUUCUUGAAUAUAUAGAACGUAAAAUAAAGGAAUACGUAGAAAAUUAUUUUAUGUGGUAAAACUCAAUCUAUGGGGCCACGGGACUUCUUAGUCCAAAAAAAAUCCAUUGAACGAUGAUUACAAGAAGUACUCACACACUUAUCCUAGACACAUUCUAGAUAAUUUUUACUAACAUCUUUGUAACUCAACUUCUGUCAUAGGAUGAUUUUUUGACACUCCUUAUGUUGAACGCAAUACUGGUCACGAUUUCUUCAAGCUCGCAGGAACUCUCCUUAUAUUGAAUAUGAUACUAGUCACGAUAGAUUCAAGCUCAUCGGAGAAAAACAGCCACAACGGUCUUGGUGCCCUCAAUGGUAUGAGUCACUGAACAUGCAAAUAAAUACAAUAUGAAUGAUAAAAGUGUUUGAUAAAUCACCAAGUUAUGGAACACUUGAUGAUUUAUCUCAAAUAAAAACUCAGCUUUCCAAAGUUUAUGAAUUGAAAAUAUGAUCGUUAAAGCUCUCUAAACAAAGAAGACGAAGAUCUUAUUUUAUAGAAUUUUUCUUUAUAAGAAAGAAAACACAUUGAAAACCAAAUCUCCAAGGCUUGACAGAAAAUCACAAAAGUAUCUUUCCUAUUCUAGAGAUUGGUCACAUGUAGUCCAACCAAUAGGACAUGAGAUAUUUAAGAAAUGAAGAUUUUGAUCAAUAUCAAUAUCAAAUGAAUUCUUAUACGCCUAGUCAACUAUUAAGGGUAUCUUGACUCCUUGAUAUUGUGAUAUGAUUGAAACAUGAUUUCCACGUUAGAAAAUUAAGGGGAUGUUAAAACAUGAAAGUAAUAGGAGAAUCAAAUUGAUUUCGGCCAAAAUUGCCUAAAAAGAAAACACUCCUAAAUAAACUCAAUUCACUUUUAAAAACAGUAAAACGUGAUUGAAUUGUUCUUUAAAACAAUUCCCUAAUAUACAUGCAUGAUAAUGACAUCACUUACCUCUGAAUCAAAUGCCUUUCAUAGGUCAAGCCACAAGUCUGUGUUUUGGGGAUUGCUGAGCUGCAUCAAUCCUGCCAAUGUCAAUGCUGCCCCUAUGCUCUCUCAAAGCACGUUUACAACCUAUGCUAACAUAUACCCUAAACCCUAGUAUCAAGAAAAUGCCAACACUAAUUUCGUAACACGUAGAAAUUGUUAGAGAUUGGAAGUUUUUUUUCUUCAAGUCUCUCCACCACUCACUAAUACAGAUUGCUCAUGUGAUGAGUUUACAAAACCUAUUUCUCUACUCUCACAAAGACUAUACUUCUUCUCAAAAGACUAUAUCACUUUACCUCUAUCUCUGUGAAAUGUAAAAAGUUGAAACUUUAAUGUCAAACCUCGACAAAAGAUGAACUUCCAUAAGUUACGUUGAAUUUGGAUUUGUUGAACUUAAGUGGUUUUACUUUUCUGUCAGUGUUUGAUGACUUAAUUUGGUAUUUACUUCUUCUUUUUUUCCUUGGAAAUGUGUUCCACCAACGUGAGGAAGAAAAAUAUGCACAAAUUAAUAUAUUUAAUAGAAGCCCAAGAUUUCGGAAGCACAUAAUUUCUACAAAAUUCUACAAAGUGUUCUACUUUACAAACUUCAUAUGUCUACCAAUUUUUACUAAAAUUAAUUUAUCUGCAGUGCUCAAAUUCAUCAUAUGUGUGUCCUUAAUUUUAGUGAAAAUUGGAAGUUUCCAUUAUUUUUGUUUUACGGGAAUUUUUUGAACCAAGGAAAAUCAAGUAAAAUUAAUAAAGCAUAAAUUGGAAAGGGAAAAUAUCUAGAGGAUGCAUUGUAGGAUUGCUCAUGCCAAUAAUUGUACCCUCUAAAUAUAUAGGGACAUAUUUUUUUUGCUCAUACCACUUGUUGCAGUACACAUUCACCCGUUUUCAAAGAAAGAAAUUCUACCAAUCGAUAAUGUCUCAAAUUUAAUCACAUAUUUUAUGGACCAUCCAGCUAUGAGGUUUUAUCUCAAAAACCUUCGGUACAUUUCUCCCACAUGCCACAAUUGUAUAUUCACAAUUACGUCUGAUACAUCACAUCAUGCCACUUGCCUCAAAUGAAUUUAAGUGAGUGAGGCAGUUGGAAGUAAUUAAGCUCUAUAUUGGUGGGUGGAGUGUUAGUUCUGGGUACCCCUCAUCAUUCGUCUAUAAAAUGGUGAAGCCAGUUGCUACUGUUACCAUAAGAGCCAGCUCCGACUUUCUUUAAUUUCUUGCUUCAUAUCCACUAGCUACAUCUGUUGCUCUUCUCAGUGUAAGCUCUGCAAUUUGAUUAACUUUCCCAUUAUCUCUCACUGUACUCUAUAUAAAGGAAUAAGUGUCGUCCAUUAAUUCUCUCCGAAAGUGUCGUCCUGAUUUUAAUUAGAGUUCGAAUUAAUGUUGCAGCUAGCAGCGGUUGCACUGGCAAACCAUGCUGCUCAACCGGUACCUCAACUUUACUGGAACUCCGUCCUGCCAAACACACAGAUGCCAAGAUCUAUCAGUGAACUUCUGCAUCCUGGUUUGUGUUUGAGCACUUUAGAAUCUUAGAUAUCUCUUCUACCUGCCAUUUUACUAAAAUAUGUUCAACCACAUAUUUAUCAGUUAACUACUGUCAUUACAUGAGUGACACAUAUUCACAAAUCGGCUGAUCACUUAUUUUCCAUUAUGACGUUGAUAUAUAAUGUUGGGAAUGGAAAGCCAAUUGACCACAAGGGAAAACCUGAAAAUACUGUACUACCACAGCUAGCACGAAGCCCAUUUUCUUACAAGAGUGAUGUGGGGACCAAAUCUCAUGUAUCAUAGCUUAACCCAUAUGCCACAACUAAAAGACGUGGGAUGAUCGAACAGCAUACCCACAUGGUCAUGGAUCUCUUCAGAUAAUCAAUAUUAAACAACCCAUAAACUUCUCCCUUUGAAGAACAAAUUAAAACCAAUUUCUAGAGGAAGGUUACAAAACAUUUUAGCCCGUGAAGAACAAAUCAAGACAAUAUAACCCAUUUGAUAACAAAAUCAAAAUGAGAUUUACCAAUACUAGAUGACCACGGCGCCAGUAUAAUGGUACGACGGCGGCGUUAUUGUAACGGUGGAGAAGUGGAUGGUAUGACGACGGUGUUAGUGUGACGGUGGAGGAAACGAUAUUAUGAAGGAGGCGUUGCUAUGUUCGGUGGAGGAGUCGUGUGUUUCACAGUUCAAUAUAUCCUUUUUAGUCAUUUUAUAUUAGGGUAAAUCAGUAAUUCAAUAAAUAAUUUGAUAGUAUGGUGUACUCAGUUAAUAUUAGGGUUCAUUUAACAGCACUCAAAUUAACUAGUGUAGAGUCUAUCUAUAUUAUUAAUACUAAAAAUAAAUAUAUGACUAAAUAACUCAAAAAAAAAAUAAAUCUACAAUCUUUUUUUUAAAAAAUUUUUUUUAUAGAAUUUUAUUAGAUUAAUAGGCACUACUAAAAAAUCUCCUUAUAAACUACAAAUACACGCAUAACUUAUACUAAUGUGAGCUACUGACACCACCUGCCACAUGACAGUUGUCCAAGCAUAGUGUUGUCAUUCAUUAUUCCCCACAGCAACUAACAUCCAAUAAAGGGUUGGGGCCCACCCAUACUCCACCUCUCUGUAUGUAGCUCUUUGAGAAUACAGAAGAAAUAUUUUUUAGGGAAAUAGCUUAAAAUGAUACCCAUUUCAUAAUUUUAAUUAAAAAUACCACCCCUUUCCAAUUUUUGUACAACUAUCACCUAUAAAUAUAAAAUUAUUGUCCACUUAUUGCUGAUUUUUCACAAGUUCAGAAAUUUUGGAAAGAAGAAGCUCACACAGCUCUCUCUCUCUCUCUCUCUCUCUCUCUCUCUCUCUAGCACAACUCUCUUUCUUUGGUAUCUGUCUAUCACAGCUCUCUGUGUCUCUCUUGGCUCUCUCUAUCUUGGCUCUCUCUCUCUCUAGCACAACUCUCUGUCUCUCUCUUUGCUCUCUUUCUCAUAGCGCAGCUGUUUCUCUCUCUAGCUUCGUUAUGUCUCUUUCUCCCCUAUUCGAUCUCUUGCUUUCUGUUUGGAAUCGCGAACCCCUCCCUUUAGCUAUGUCUUCUGAAUAGCUGCUUGCAACCUUGAAGCUCUAGUGGAUUGCCGACCUCGAAAAGGUAGUGUUGAUGGUUAUUUUCUUAAUAUCAGUGGGAUUAUGUGAAAUGGGUUAUAGUUUGAUUGUUUGGGUUUGUGUUAAAUUCGUUUUGGCUUUAAUUUCUUUGGGUUAGGUUUUGUUGAAUAUUCAUACUCAUUCAUCUGGGUUUGUACCAAUUGCAUUUAGAUUGGUCUGGAUAUGUGAAUCUUGAAACUUGGGAUUUUCUAUUUGAUGUAGUAGAUCUGUAUAGUGUGAUUCUGUUGUGUUCCUCUUAUUUUACAGUCGUAUUGCUGUUAUAUUGUCAUUAUAUUGCUUAUAUAUUGCUGUUAUAUUGUGGUUAUAUUGCUAUUGUAUUGUUUGGUUAUUGUGGUUAUAUUGUGUUAAUGAAAUGUUGUUUUGUCAUGGUCAGAAAUGGAGACAAUUGUUAUUCUCGUGUGCUACAAUGGAAAAUGGGUCACCUCGAAGAAGAUGUGCAAAUACGAAGGGGGUGACUCAAAAGGCUUAAUAGUUCCACGGACCAUCAAAUUUGUUGAACUGUUGGACCGUGUGCAUUAGAUUGGUAAUACAAACAGCAGGGAAGACAAGGUUUGCUUAAAAUUCUCAGUUUUGGUGGCCUCGAAUGAGUGGAAGCACAUAAAUAUUGAGGACGAUGAUGAUAUCAAUUUUUUUAUGAAGUACAAUUCCGAGGUAACACCUUCAAAACUAGCUCCCUUACUCGUGAGUAUAGAAGAUAAAGGAUUGACAAAUGAUGUAGUUCAUAGUAUGCAUAUCACGACAGAUAGUAGUCGGAUGGGUCAUUCUUCAGUUGCCAUUGUUGAAAGCAAUGAAGUAACUUGGAAUAAUACGAAUGUCACUGAUGUGGGAGGUGAAGUAGGGACAGAUUUUGUGGAUAUGAUUGAUUUUAGCGAGGUGUAGGAGAUGCAUGGUGGUGAUAAUAGUACUGAAAGAAAUGAAGUGUCAGUGUACUCUGCCCCUCCUAAUUUGGGCUGCUUCAACAUAGCUGCCCAGUUGCCAAUAAUGCGUUUAGGAGGAGAAUCUGAACCCACUCGUCAACAUUAUUGGAGUCAAAUAGGUGAACAAAAUCGGUACAAUGCAGCCGGUGUAAAUGAUGAAGAAGCAUAUUUGGACAGCGGGUUUUCACGAAGUGAUUGGAAUCCGAAAAUUACAGUUGGGCAAAUUUUCUCUAGUAAGAAAGCAUUGUUGACGGAGUUACGGUUGACGGCAUUAAGAGGCCACUUUGAAUUUAAGGUGCAAUUCUCUUGCACUAAAAGGUUGCUUGUGGUUUGUUGUCAACGUCCAUGCCCAUGGCGGGUCCGAGCAUCGAGAAUUGGAGAAUACAGCUUCAUGAUUGUGAGGUGUACAACUGUCCAUGAAUGUGAUUUGAGGUUCGUAAGUGACAAGCAUCGUCAAGCAACCGCAGCACUUGUAGCCACUUCACUUAAAAGGAAGUGACAUUAUGAGAGAUGUGAAACACAACUUUGGUUGCACCAUCCAUUAUUCGAAAGCUUGGAAAGCAAAGGAGUUAGCUCUAUUGUCCAUUAGAGGAUCAGCGGAGGAGGCAUAUUAUAUCCUUCCAGCUUAUUGCUAUGAAUUGGAGCGUAUGAAUCCCGGCACAAAAACACACAUCCAAACUGAUGAGAACAAUCACUUUGUGUAUUUAUUUAUGGCGGUUGGCGCAUGUAUUAGAGGGUUCCGUUCUUCCAUGCGCCCAGUGAUAGCCGUGGAUGCCACUCAUUUAAAAUCCAAGUACAAGGGUGUUAUGUUUGUAGCAAAUGCAUUCGAUGGUAAUUGAAAUAUAUAUCCUCUUGCUUUUGGGAUCGGGGAUUUGGAGACGGAUGCAUCAUGGCAUUGGUUUUUCACUAAACUUCAUGAAGCCAUUGGUGAGUGUCCCAAUCUUGUUAUUAUUUCUGAUCGCAAUGUUAGCAUAGAGAAUGUGUGGAACAAAAUUUUUCCAACUGCACAACGUGGCAUAUGCUUUUAUCAUAUGAAGGGGAACAUGAAACGCACUUGCUAGUUGAAAAAGCGUGAUCACAUACUUAUGCACUUUGAGCAGGCUGCGAAAUCUUAUUCCAUUGCUGAAUUUGAUUGUCAUUUUUGCAAGAUCAAGCGAAAGGAACAUGUUGCUCAAUAUCUUGAAGAGACAGGGUUACAUAAGUGGUCUAGAGCUCACAUGGAUGGACGCCGCUACAAUGUAAUGACAACAAAUAUUGCAGAGUCAAUCAACUCAGUCCUUAGGUUUGCAAGGAUGCUGCCAGUGGUUCAUUUGAUAGGGGAAAUUGUUAAUCUCCUUGUGAAAUGGUUCACCGAACGUUGUGAGUUGGUUUUGAAUUGCACAACAACAUUGUGCCCCAAUUUUGGAGAGAAGAAGUUGAGGAACAGGUUGGAGGAUGCUGCAAGGAUGAAUGUGGUUAAAGUAAAUAAUGCACAGUUUAAUGUUUUGGACGGUGAUAUGGACGGCCUCGUAGAUUUGGCGAACAGCAGUUGUAGUUGUAGAAAGUUUCAGCUUGAGCAGCUACCUUGCAAGCAUGUAGUUGCAGUUUGCCGCUUCUUGAAAGUAAAUGUAUACGCAAAGGCUUCUCGGUAUUACACUCAGAAAACCUGGAUGAUGCUUAUUCGGAUAGCAUCUACCCGGCACAACCUCACGGAAUGUGGGAUAUUCCUGAAGAUGUUCGAAGUCGAGUUGUGCUGCCUCCCAUGGCAAGGGUCAUGCCAGGCAGACGAAAGAAGAUCAGAAUUCCCUCGCAAGGAGAGGGCACCAUUAGAAGAAAGUGCUCAAGGUGCGGUUCCGCAGGCCACAAUAAAAGCACAUGUAAAAACAAUAUUCCAUUGCGCAAUGUAUCUUAGACAAUAUGAUUUGUGUUGCUUUGGUAGGUCAUGUAAACUCUACUUUUAUUUGUGGUGGGUUUCGUGUUAUGUUGAAUGGGAAUUCUUUUAAAUUUGCAUAAUUUGGGUUGCAUUGCUACAGCAUGCUGUAUUGCUGACAGAUUGCUAUUAUAUUGGACUUUUAUUGUACUGGUAUUGCUUCCAGAUUGCUAUUAUAAUUUGAGUGCGAAAUUAAAGGGACUGGAAUGUAAUUCCAAAUGGAUCCAAAUCAUUAAAGUUCUUAGAAUUCCUAUAUUACACAGUUACUGUGAUACUCCGACUAUACCUUCUUUUAUGAUUACAAAUUCGGCCAAUGCAUAGGCCAGAUGUGGGGCAAAUACAAGGUGAAAUGUCCUAUGUGUUUGACUACAUAUACUUGUUGAAGGAGCAUUACGAAUGCUAACCUCAAUAGAUUGCUCAUGUCUUGCCAAGAACACUCUUGAAUUUAUGCAAUGUGCCCAAGCCAGUCCCAAAGCUGGACUCACCCGUCUGCCUGAUGUGUCCAGGGACUCCAAGUUUCCCAACCUCACCUCAUUCACUUUAUCAUGUGGCCCAAUAAAAUCCACCACUUGGUUGGUGACAACCACCGCCAACCCAAACUUAUUUGCUAAACCCUUCAAUGUCCCAGAUAUGUUGAAAAAUAUUUCAAACCGCCAUUUCAAAUCUGCUGGUGUUGUCUGAUACUGUGAUCGGAACAAUGCAGCAAUGGAAUCAAUGACAAUGAGUUUCACAGGUAGGUGGGUGUGAUCAAUGGCAAUAAAUGCUUCUAUGUCUCCAAGGACAUGGAUGAGUUGUUGAGCAUCAUGAACACCAUGAACAUAUAUGUCUUCCAAUGGCUCCAACCUUAUUAAGUUGGGGUAUGAUGCAUGAUAAAGGUUGCCUAGUUGUUGCAAUCGACGAAAUGGGAAGCUGAAUUCUGUGAAUAUGUAGACGGUGGAGCCCUCUAGUCCGCCAUGUGAGGGUGGGAGCUGAGCUGGUACCGUAAGUUGGAGACAAAGUUGCGUCUUCCCAGAACCACUCUCCCCUACCAAUUCUGUUAUAGAGUUGCAGGGUAUCCCACCCCCCAAGCAGUCAUCUAGUAUUGGGCAUCCAAUGGAUAAUUGAGGGGUUGAAAGAGGAAGGAGCAUGAGGUUUUAGGGUGUCAUAUUUGUGUAAUUUAGGGGGGGAUGUGAUGGUGCUACAAGGCAUGCAUUAUAUAUAUAUAUAUAUGUAGAGUUCAUUUUGAAGGUCUGUAUUGUAGGCCAUAUGUCUUUUAAGGGAUGUAUAAUCCAUCCUUUUUUCAGGUUGUAAUUAAUUUUUUGUUUAUUUAUUAGUAUUUUUUUGGACCAAAUAAUUUAAAAAACAUUAUGAUGCAGUACGUACUGUAAUAGGAUCAUAUUGUAACUCUAUCAUCACUCUAUUGUACUCUUAUUGACAUAAUAUUGCCGUUAUAUGCAUGUUUAUUAUAUAGUUAUUACUGCUAUAUCGCCACUGAACUGGACACCGAUAAACUGUAUACGCACAAAUACAAAAAGAGGCUUCAUCAUUCCAUAAAAUCCUAUUUCCAAACUUACAUAAUACAACAACAGGCCACCCCAUCGUUACAUAAUACAAAAAUACGCCACCUCAUAGUUCCAUUUCCCUACUGUUGACAAAUUCGAAGUUGCAUACUCUUCAAGUGCGGUGACCGCGACGCAUGAAAUUCAUGACCCCGGCCACAGUGAUGUUGGCCUAGUUUCCUGCCGGAUCCACUAUUUUUGCAAACUUACGAAAUAGUUCGAAUCCGCUUUCCACUUCUUCUUGCUUCAACUUGGCCGUUGCUUCUGAUUCCUUGAAUACCAUAAUUGCAGUGGUAGGGGCAAUUUCAAUUUUUGCUUUCAUUGUCUUUAUAUGUAGGAGAUGCAUGCGCGCAUGAUAACGAGAGCGAAUUGUGCGGUUUUUUAUGACACCCCAUCUAGUUUGGCCCUCCACAAUUUUGAAACUAUGUCUGCAUGAAGAUUUUUCCAAAACAUGGUAUUGCCUCGACAUUGCUGCAUGCCAUGGACCAAGUCUGCAGGGAGUGAAUUGGGUGACUUGGCUUGUGUUUCAGUCUUCUCUCCUUCAGUAAUUGAAAGUGUUGGGUGUGGUGUGAGGUUAUGGUCCAUGGUCUUCGAUAUUUAUUGUAGCCUAGUGUACAACUUAAUUGGAAAAAAAGGGGACUAAAUGCGAUGGGAGUGAAAUCAGUGGGGAAGGUAGUGGCUGUAAGCAGGAGUUAAUGUGAUGGAAGUUUUCAUUUCAAACAACUGGGUUGAUUAAUAUAGGCAAGUUUUAAUGACCUGGAGUAACUCAGAGAGUUAUUGGUGGGAGGGAUUAGAGGGAGUAAUUGGCGGGAGGGAUUGGCGGGAGUCUUAGGCGGGAUAGUAUUGGGCGGGAGUUAUUACCCAGUUGACUGUAUGCCUUUUUGUAAUAUAUUUGUAUGUUGGACGUUCCAAACUUGGUAAUUUUCCCAUUAUGUAAUUCAAAUAAGGGAUUUGCCUAUUUGCCUAAUUGACCAACUCAUUCAAAUUGACCAAUAUGGUUAUUGUCUUAUUUCUCAUUUCAGCAAUCUCAAUUCGUUUCCAUUUUUCCAUUCUUCAUAUUUUCCUAUUUUCCAUGUGUCAUCCAAUUUUCCAAUUUUCCAAUUUUUCAUUAUUUUUGCCUAUUUUUUCCUAUUCCCUAUUUUCCUAUUGUGCAAUUUCCCAAGUUUCCUUUUGUUGUAUUUCUAGUUUUCCAAUUUUUCAAUGUUCCCAUUUUCCCAUUAUGUAAUUUAAAAAAAGUUGCCUGCUUUGCCUAAUUCAGAAAGUAAUUAAAAUGGUCCAAUAUGGUAAUUGUCUUAUUUUCCAUUUCCACAAUUUCAAUUCGUUUCCAAUUUUCUUAUUUUCCAUGUGUCCCUAUUUCCUAUUUCCAUUUUUCAAAUUUUAAGUUUUUGUCCAAUUAUCCAAUUAUCUUUUUUCCAAUUGGACUAUUUUCUAAGUUUCCUUUUUUUCCUAUUUCCAAUUUUCCAAUUUUUCAAUUUGCUAACUUUCCUUUUGUUCUAUUUCCAAUUUUGCUAUUUUCCAAGUUGCCUUAUUUCCUAUUUUUCAAUUAUCCAGUUAUCCAAUAUUCCAAUUUUCCAAUUAUCCAAUUUUCAAUUUUCCAAUUUGCGAAUUUGCCUAUUUUCCAAGUGUCCUUUUUUCCUAUUUCCUAUUUCAAAUUUUCCAAUUUUCAUGUUUUCAGAGUUUCCUUUUUUUUUCCUAUUUUCCAAGUUUCCUUUUGUCCAAUUUCAAAUUUUCCAAUUUUCCAAGUUGCUUUAUUUUCCAAUUACCCAAAUUUCCUAUUUUCCAAGUGUCCUUUUUUCCUUUUUCCAAUUUUCCAAUUUUCCAAGUGUCAUGUAAUCCUAUUGCCUAGUUUCCUCUUUCCAAUUUUUCCUUUUUUCCUAUUUCCAAUUUUCAAUUUUCCAAAUUUCCCAAAUUUCCAACUUUCCAUUUUUUCGUAUUUCCGAUUUGCCAAUUUUCCUUUUGUUCUAUUUCCAAUUUUCCAAGUUUCCUUAUUUCCCAUUCUCCAAGUUUUCACUUUUCCUAUUUUUCAAUUUCGCUAUUUUCCAAUUUUCUGUUCUGAAAUUCGCAAUAAAUGCUUAGUUACACAGUCCUAUUUUGGGUUGAAAUCCACAAUUUUCAAUUUCCCAUUAAGGUUUGCUUUUUUGUCGUUUGGAAGCCAAUUUUAUUGUUGUUAAUGUAAUGUUGUACUGUUGUAAAUUACAGCCAAUGAGUUAAUGAUGUAGUUUGCAAUCCCAUCAAUUGAAUGCACCAACUAAAUACCCAAUAUACUUCAUAUAAGUUCGUACAUAUAACUCAACCUUCCUAUACAGAACUGCAACAGAGGCACCUUCUUAACGGGAAAGGUAAUUAGUCUUACUAAAACGCAAAUAUUCUCCACUACAGCUAACCAAUUGUCGUUUACAACUGGAGACUGAAUCUACCUUUAUUUGUUUUGUUGCAGGCAACAGCUGUGAAUUGUCCCCGGCAAUACUUAAAGAUGUCGGAUGUACGCCCUCCAAAUGAGCAUGUCACAGUUACCCGGGGGACCAGCCGUGGCAUGUGCCAUUCCCAUCUCCACCUCGGACUCCCAAUCAUGAUCCCACUUCAUCUGGAAGUGAGGCUGAGAGCAAUGAUCCGCUUGACAAAAUCUCUGCCGUCAAGCACCACCUCCAAUAUAUGUCAAAGGCAACGGAUUGGUGGGAGAGUAAGUGCGAUAUUCAUGGCCAAGUUAUGGGAAACUUGGCCAACAAGUUGAACAAAGCAUACGCUGGAGAGGUGAAGCAAACUCUAAAAGCAAAAAGUCGGAGCAAAGAGUUAGAGUCCUUGAAGUUGAAAUUGGAAGAGAGAAAGAAAAAUGCUGUCGAAAAAUUCACACAAUCUGAAGAAUAUAACCAUGAAAUGGUUGAAUGUUUCAACAACGGCUUUGAAAUGUUCCGAGAUUAUGCUUCGGUCAUCUCACCAGACUACAAUUGGAGUGAAAUUGAUGUAGCUGGUGUUUGGCAGGUGCUGAAUAUGGGUGCUGAGGGAAUGGCUCAUCAUAGCCUCGUGCAUGCAGCAAGGAGAAAGGACAAAGACUUGGAUCUUUUGAUGGACCUGUAGUAACAGUGAGUGCUGCUUCAGUUCAACUCACCUGAGUACAUGGAUCUUUUGUUGCCUUCAUUUUCCCUUCGCAGGCUAGUAUUGUUAAGGUUCGGUGGCGAUUUCUUUUGCAUGUGUAAAAUGUUGUCUGUAAUGUGUAUGUAUUGUAUGUAGAUUGACUUAAUAUUGUAGUUCUAUUGUAUGUAUAUUGCCUUAAUAUUGCCUUUGUAUAGCAUAGAUAGUGUAUGCAUAUUGCCACCGUAUUGGAUGUAUAUUGUAAAACUAUUGGUAUCGUAUUGCCCUUAUAUUGCUCUAAUAUUGCCUCUAUAGUGCACCUAUAUUGACCUAAUAUUGCUCUUAUAUCGUAUGUCAAUGGCAUGUGCUCUAAUAAGUCUCCAGUUCGUUGAAAGUAAUCCUGAAUUCAAAUAUGAUGGACAAGACAAUUGUUAUCCAUCCUUAUAUUACCAUGAAUUGAUUUGGACCUUUCAAAUGAUAGUUGGAGUUGCACAUGGAUUCAUAUUCAAAAGGAAAGUAAUUCUCUCCCUCAAUGAAUUGUCGUUCAAAAGAAGGCAGCUAUCAAAUUUUGGGUACAAAAAGGCAACAUCCACGGUAAAUUAAUUGGGCACAAACCACAUAUUACAAAACCAGGAUGAUUUUUGGCAUGCUUCAAAAGAGAAGGGCCAAAUACAACAGAAAAGAAAAUCCAUUCAAGCUUGUACAAUAGAAUGCACAAUAACCCUUUUACAUGUCCUUCCAACACCAGUGUUUUGCCUACUUUAGAGUCGCAGGAGGAGAGCUUAUUGCCAUUGUGCAAUUCGAGGGGGCAGUCAAUUUGGAAUGGUGGCAUAAACAUGUUUACUCCACGGAUCACCUAUAUGGGACAGAGCUUCCUUCUUCCCUUGUCGUCUGUAGGUUUCAACUUCACACUUUUUAUAUACAUGUAUGAGAACUUGUGGCUAUUUAUUUAUGGCCUUCUAACACUUGUUCUGCCAUUCCAAAGUGGGUUGGAGACUUUUUGAGUUGAAUGACUGGAAAGACUUCAGAUGACAGAAACUAGAGAGUUUGAAGAAAAAGGGUUACCAAGAACAGCAGUCAUGCCCACGACAUAAACUAAACAUGCUAUAAGCUCCACAGUAAUAUUUACUUCAUCUCCAUAAUCAGAAUAUUGGGAAAAAAAUACCACGGAGAAAUACGUGAAAUGAAAAACAACUCGGCAGUUACUGUGAGAUUGUGUACAUAAAACUUGGAACAACCAAACCAAUUAAAGCUAAGCCAUCUCAUACGUAUACCUACAUCAAAUAACAGUGUAUGGUCAUCUUGUUUAGAAUAUUGCAAUCAACACUUGGUUGAGACCGACCUGCAAAAACAACUGGGUUAAGUACAGAUGAAGCCAUUUAUGAAGGGCAGUUCCAGAAUUAAGACCUACGUUAAUUUGUAACUGCCACCGAAUCAGUUCAUAGUGCCAAAUGCAUCUACCAAGCACACAGAUAUGACCAGCCAAAAGAAAAAAAAGCAAAGUAAAAAAGAUAAAAGAGGCAUGCCAUAAAUGGGAACCUCAGCAGAAAUCAUCAGAUAUGCAUACAAGCAGAUUGAGUAACAUCUCACUAAGUAGAGGUCAUGUUGGUAAUCGCAUGUUGUGUUUGCACACAGACAUUUGGUUUUUGCAAACACAACAUGCAAUUGCAUUCCAUGAUGUGUGUGUUGUGUUUGCACACAGACAUUUGGUUUUUGCAAACACAACAUGCAAUUGCAUGAUGUGUGUGUUGUGUUUGCACACAGACAUAUGGUUUUUGCAAACACAACAUGCAAUUGCAUAUUGUGUGUGUUGUGUUUGCACACAGACAUAUGGUUUUUGCAAACACAACAUGCAAUUGCAUAUUGUGUGUGUUGUGUUUGCACACAGACAUUUGGUUUUUACACACACGAUAUGUAACAUUUAGUUUUACCCUUUUAUUCUUAUUUUCUUCGUUCAAACAUGGUGGUGAGAAAAGCACCAAACCAUCCCAUCAUAUAAAGCAAAACUCAUACAAUAUUUUAGAUGCAAAAGUUAUAUAUUUUAUAUAAAUGCAUCAUCCGCAUGGCUUGAAAUUACAAAUUCACGUUCACAUAUUACUUUUCACAAGCGCACAGACUAACAAUAAUAAUAAUCAACCAAGUAGUUGCGACAUUCAUCCUAUUACGUCCAUAUUGAUAAUGUCAGAAGUUUCAUCGAUAAGCCUCAUCAAACUACAAGUUUUUUAAUUUGAAUUAUGAAUUCAGAACUAAAAGCUCAUGAUAUGCAGAAAAUGACAUACAUUGUCCACAAUCGACUUUUCGAUAUAUUUCUGCUCUAGCAAUUUAUCGUCCAAAUUCUGGACUCUCUGUGUCAGGUGCUUCUUUGUGUUCUAUCCAGCAUAAGAAUAUUUAAUAGUGUGAUUUCAAUUGUUUAUACAAAUUCUAUAAGUAAUAUUGAUGAGUGCUGUAAAUCUAUUUGAUAUUGGGAACAAACAUGGUCCCACUAACAGAAACUCAAACAAAACAGGAAUUUUUUUUUAUUUUUUUUGGCAUAGACAGCCGAAAAGAAACUUACAGCAAUAGCCUCUGUCACGCUCUCCAGACGUUUAUGCAAUUUUGAAACAGCAGCAUUCAUACUACGCUUUGUCACAUACAGAAGAUCUGAGAAUUUUAGACCCUAACCAUUUGUGAAGAGCAAAUAUUAGAUUUGCUUAAAGAAGACAACAACUCACAGAACCAAUGGAUGAAAUAAUAUGAACAUAAAUAUAUCAUUUGGAUACCUUCCACCACAUGUAACCAUAACCCAAUGCCCCCAAGGUAGCUGUUGGCAUUAUUAGUGAUGUCAAACCUAUUAAAAAAAUCAAAAAAAAAAAUAUAACCAAGUAUAAAAUGUUUCUAUUGCAUUAUGAAAUACAUACGUGUAAGGAAUUAAUCGUUUUACAACUUAACCAAAAAGUCAAGGCAGGAGCAUGCAUUCAUUGAGUGGUUAUAAGCAAGAGGAAAAAGCACAAAGCAUGCUAAGAAUUCAUUUGAACACAGAAGAGAAAGUAAGCUACCUUGGAAUUUGGCUGUCAUUCCCCUUCAGGACGGCUCUCUGUAGUGACGAGUCUAGUUGUCGGACCUCAGCUGCCAGUCGGCGCACCUAAAACAAAGUAACACAGGAAAAUUGAUAUCCAUUACAAAAAACAAAAAUUGAACACGAGAAAGCAUCCUUCGACACUAAAUUUAUAGCAGUUUUUCCAAUACCUGUGAUGCGAUCGCAUAAAAGUCACCUUCUGAUUGUUCUCCGGUUCCAUUGAACAAAGGCUGCAAACAAAACAGAAAUAGACACAAAUCCAUCAAUUUUUUGAGCAACAAGACACAAGCUCCGAAAUAAAUAAACUAUCUAACUGAUCAAAACCCUAGUUUACCAAAUGCAUUACAAAAUUAAAAACUCAUACAAAAAUAACACCAAAUACAAAUGUUCUGCGAGUUCCACUAGCAAAGCAGAGUACAAAUCAUGAAAAUGGUACCUGAAGUUCACCGAUCAAUUCAGAUAAUUGACCAUUCUUACGCAGGAUGGUGCUCGUAUACCCUGUAGAAAGAGAACAAUCACUCAGAUCAAAUGUAGCUAAAUACACAAGGAAACUAAUCCAGUAUGCAAGAUGAAAGAGGAGUGAUUGGUACCUACUCCAGCGAAGAUCAGCAAACACAGUAUGAGGUUCCAAAUUCAAAUAACAACAUAAUGCUAAGCAGAGAAGUAGAAUUGCUGCCGAAAUUAUUUAAAACGAACUAAGUCAAAACUAAAUGGAGAAAUGUUAACAAAGUUGUAUGCUUCAGUAAGUCCAGUAACAGAUUCCCAAAACCACAGAGACAAAAUGUGAACAAUGGCUACAAAAGCAUCCAUAAAGAGCAACUAUGUUUAUAUAUGGAGGUGUACAAAAUAGUUAACCUUCAAAAUCGAAACAGUGUGUGUGCCAUGUAAGGCAAUUAGCCACUGCUUCUAGACUAUACAAUAUUACACCUCACAAUAAUAACUAAACCAACUAGCUCUAGCAAAAAGGCAGGAUGACCAUAUAAAGUACCCCCAGCAAAGCAUCUACGUCUGCAUCUUCAUAUCAAGGAGUUCCUGACAUAAGUAAUGAGCAAAGUGAAUUCCCAAGUCAUAAGUCCAGAAUGAGGUGAAUUCACGGACAUUAAAACAUUUACCUCAUAAAUAUGCCUCCCCCCUUAAACCCUCAAUUGCAAGCCUCAGCCGGUAAUAUUUGAUCUUCAAAGGGUCAACUUUAUCUACCGAAAUCCCAGCACUGAGAUGCUCGAUGAAUUUGACGGUCAUGAUUCCGCAAGACGUACUGUGAGACCAAUAAGUUGGGAAAUUAGAACUGCAGUUAUGUAAGAUUUGGAUAAACUGCACUAAAUUCACAAAGCUUACCCAUCUCGUUGUUGUGGCACAUCUGCAAUGCUGCAAACUGAGAAUGGCGUAAACGUCAACAUCUUCAGCCCCUUUUGCUUAACCUUUUCAACCUCAGAAUCUUCAUAAAAGUGCAUAUCGUACAGCACUCGUGCCAGCGUAUCGCUAAUAGGGUGCAGAAGUGUAACCAGCUUCGAACAUUUGGUAAAAGCAACAUAUGAGUCAUACACAGUUGCAGUAUGUCAGACGAAAUCAAUUUCGAUUGCAACCCAGUAAGACCCUUUAAGAUUAUAUGGAAUAUAGACCUUCCGGACUUUUGUCCAAGCUUGGCCAUACCCGUGUUGCCACGUACCGCGUACAAAGUAAUGUAUAUUCUGCAGCUUGCUGGGUGGAAGGUCAACGGUGUUUGAAGCAACUGCCUUCUUCGAUCCACGUUUCUUGGCAGUCGGUUUGAACGGAUCUAGAAAUUGCUGCAUAAAUUGAAAUGAAGGCAUAUUAGAAAAUCACAACCGAAAGCAAAUGAAGCAGCGAAUGUAACAUGGUAACAUGUUUACCUGCAAGCAACAAUCUGCUGUUGUCCAGUCAGUUCCAAAUACCAACGGAUGAGAGAGUUGCCUUUUCCAGAUAAGAAAGGUUGCCAUGUCCAGGUGCUGAAAGUUGACACACAUAAUAUCAGCACAAUUUCAUACAACUGUACACUUAAAAAAGGUGAGAAAACAAUUUAAUUAUCGCAAUAAAGUAGAGCUUUGUGUAUUCUUACCCUUGAGCUAAUCCAUUCCGUUUCAUCGAUAAGUCUGUAGAAAAAAUCAGCGCCCACUGAAAAUAAUUCCAGCUGCACCUCCGCACUACAAAAGGCAAACUUGCAAUGGUUACUUUUAUAGUCAUCUCAUAAUUCUGACUUUGUUGAUGACAAAAAUACACAUGUAUAUUAAAGCAAACUCUACGUUUUCUCAUUAGUCUAUGACUACAUACUAGAAUAGGAUGAAGAUUGGAAUUCAAAGGUAAAGAAUCCUAACCUGAUAUCGUUUUUCCAGGCAGUACAAAACUCUAUUACUGCCUUCACAUCUUCAAUGGGCACGGAUUUUGAUGGAUCAAAACAUGGCGGGGUUGCAGUCGCAGCCAACACACUCAUCGUCCUCUUCUUCCUCAAAGGAUCAGUAAAUGGGCUCAACAAUGUCUGCGCCGGGCGCUUCUGUCUGCACCCUUUACCUUCCACUUCUUUUUUUUCCACACUCGAACUACCUUCUUCAUCACCAGCCAUACUAACUGUGGGUAGACUUGGAGGAUUCAUCGGACCUCCCGAUGGCAUACUCUUAGUCACUUUCCAAUCUUCUAACAGAGACAACACUUUUUGGCAGAUUUCGUCACACCCGGCCACAUCUUCCGGGGUAGGCAGCUUCUCGGAUUGUGCCUGCUCAGCUGCUUCAUGCACUUGUAAGUGAGGAACUGAAGCGGCCAUUUCUGCCUCUUCGACUACCAUGGCUGCGGAAGGUUCGGCUCCAUCACCGGGAACUUGUGUUUCCAUUACCGCCGGUUCUGUAGGCGGACUAACAUGGUCAUGUAAUGGCGACAAGUGAUUGUCGCCUCCUUCAUUCAUAUGAGGACUACUGAGGUCCUCAUGUCCUUUCCCACCUUCAUUCACCCCACCAUUUCGUUUUUUCAGCUGCUCUAUCUCCACAUUAAAAUAAUGCUCCAUUAAAGCCAGGGUGUUGCGGAAAUCCUCCACACACUUUUUAUUUUUUUCGAACUCUCUUUCAACUUUCAAUGACUCCUUCCGUACCAUGUCUUCCAACUGAUGCACUCUGUUGCGAAGCGCUCGAUUUGAUAUGGCAACUUUGGCCAAUUCAUCCUUUGUCCUUUGAAAGUCACGCUUCAAAGUGCGUAACUCUCUGGACGCGACUGUACCCUGCAUUCAGUUAUAAUGCAAGUGUUACAAUAUUUUCAAAAUAUAUUGCAACAAUACAGCAGUUAUUUUCCUAUUGUAUUAUGACGUAUAUCUUGGAAAAAAAUGUAAUGCUUGCCUUAGAAGACGACGGAAGGCUAGCAGUUUCGUCAAUGUCCUUAUCUUUUUCUUCUACAGAGGCAGAAGUGCUGGUUUUUUGUUCAGCGUCAUCGCCAAACAACUGAACAAGUUCUUCAGUGUCGUCAACACUGUCACCCCAAGUCCAAUACGGCUGCUGCUUGUCGAUUACAGAUGGCCGGAGAAGUUGCACAUCAACCUGCAAUUUACACAUACAAUAUACAUAUCAGUAAACUUAUUAUAUUAUAUUUUCAUAUGCCUAACAUUAUCAUUAAAAACUUAACUAACCUCACGGUUCUCGAAUACUUGGCUCAUUAGCUCAUAAAAACACGGCGAACUAUUGCUCCUCCAAUGUAGUAAACGAGGGAUGUAGGCAUUAUCUUCGUGCACCACCAAAUGUAGUGCAGCCAACGCUGGAAAAACCUCAUAAGCCCAAAUCUGGUUUGAGGAAUAAAACGUGAGUCACUGUAAACAAAUGAAAUUUAACUUCAACAUGAAUGGAAAUUUGCUCACCUGAAGUGCAUAGGCAAAACCUUUGAGGUGGUACUCUCUUGGUCUACCAGUUGCCGUUGUUUUUGCUUUCUUUUCAGAUUUUUUUGUUUUUGCAGCUUUUUUGGGCACUUUCACUCGCUGGUAAUCUGUACAAAGUGCCCUCAGAAGUGACACAAUUGUCUUGGCAUAACACACAGCACCCCAUGGAUACUUCCCAAACUCUUCAAGGUCUUCCACCAACUUCAAAUAUCGCAUGUCAAUCUGGACAUGUUUUUCACUGCCCAACAGCACAAACACAGCAAAGUAUACAAAUCUGAGCUUCAAUACAUCGUCCGCAUCAACGCAUUUGAGGAAGGCCUUUUCUAAUUCCAAAACAUUGACAGUUUUAUAGUUGCCAAAGUACUUCCUUUUCAAUGAGCAGUUCUCAUUAGUGGGAAUCGGAAUAAAGGGAAGGUUUCCAAACCUUAGCCCUGUCACGAUGCAAAAUUGCUGCGCCGUGAAUUGGAUCACCUUAUUGCCAACGAUGAAUUUGAUCCCGUUGAGUUGGGAAACUGUCUUUGGAUCAGCUUUCCUCAGCAGCAAGCCGUGGACAAUUGGCGAAGUCCACUUGAGGUCCUCAAUCAGUAGGAGAUGCCCAAAACAACUCUCUUCAAACCUUUGUAGCUGUUGUUCACUGAAUUUCUCCUUUAUCGUGCUGAUUGCAGUCUUCGUAUGGGAUAGGGACAAUGCUUUUCCUUGGAACUUUUCUUCCUCUGCAAUCAUCAACUUCAUUUGAGCAACCAUCUUUCCCUGCAUGCCAAUAUUAUAAAAAAAAAUUCAGUCCGUUGCAAUCUAGACAAUAACAAGCAAUAAACAAUCAGCACUUAUCUACAGCCUAUUAUAGGAUAUUAAGUGAAAACAAAAAAACAAAAAAUACAGGGCAUAAACAAAACCCCAGCUAUUUACAACUGACCUACUAAUUCAAUAGCUCAAAGCCACAUCCCAAGACACCCAGUACUCUACCACUCUUGCAUAAUAUAAUAUCUAAAGACACAUCUCAACACACCAGAUAAUCAUGACACAGCUUCAGCUAGAAUGGGAAUGUGCGGUAGCACAAGCCUAAUUGAGAACAAUUCAAGACUAACGAUAGAAAUCUAUCUGACUAGAAAGAGUUUUAAAAAAACAAGAAGACAUCGGGAAAGAAUUGAUUGACUUCAAGGUAUAAUGUAAUGGAACAUCCUAUGAAUUAGUGGCAACCAUAAUAAUGACUCCACUAUGGCCCUCCUUUCAAAUGUAAGAAAAUGAAUGAAAUUGGCACCAUCCCUUCAGUUUUUUCUUAACAAAAUAAGAGAUUUGUAUGUAUUCUCUGCUUUAUCGAUAUCAAAGAUAAAUUAAUAAAUAAACCAUCAAAACUGUAUAAAAUGUUUGUUAGACAUGUACAAUUACAAAAUUAUAAGUUCUCCUCAGAAACAAAGUUCUCUAAGUACGCAAACAAGAAAAGCAAAAGCUUAAAGAGUUAGCUUAUAGCAAAAUCAAUGUCCCCAUUUCUCUAAACCACACCUGCUGGUGGUAGGUUCCCAUCUUCACUCAUUUCCCGCUUUCUUUUAAACAGACAAUGAUCAAGCACAAAAGAGCAAACUUUUAAAUAACUCAUAUUACACCACAAAUAGUUCUAAAGAAAACUUAUUCAUAUCCAAUAUGCAACCCCUAAAGUUAGUAAACAGAGUUAUAAAAAAAUAUGUCAAAUUAACAAGCAUUAUUCUCAAACAAAAAGUAUGAUAUGGUUGGGAGUUUACAAGUUCAAAAUGAUAUACACAGGUUAAUUGUCUUAGACUUUAGAUAUCAUCUUCAACAAAGAAAAUAGAUACCGAUUAGACUUGUAAGAAGGUUAAAUGCAAUGGUCAUAAAGACCCAUAGUAAGCCACCAAAUACCAAUCAAUAACUGCUAUAAAAACCAUAAUAAAACCAUAAUAAACUAAAAAUACAACAGCACUAAAAUGCCAACACAACAUCACUACAUUAGCAAUAUAGUAGCAACAAAACCACAAUACGACAUCAAUAGCAACAGCAAAACAACAGCAGUGCAAGCAUCAGUCCACAAAGAACAAACCCAUUCACUGUUUCAAACAAGGAAUCAUCAUACUAAGAUCAUUUCAGAGAAACCCCAAAACCAAUUUCAGUGAAACCCCUAAACCAAUUUCAGAGAAACCCCUAAACCAAUUUCAGAGAAACCCCUAAACCUUCAACCAAUUUCGAACAAAUCCCUGAACCAAUUUCAUAGAAAUGCAUAAACCCUAAACCAACUUCAAAGAAACCCUAAACUGUAAGAAAAUGACGAUGAACAGUACCUGUUCAAGGUGAACGAUGGAGUUGAGCUUCGAUGAACAAAUUUCGCUCGGAGAGGAAGAGAGAAGAGAGAGUCAGAGCUGAGCGACGAGAGAUUAAGGGCUGAGCGACGAGAGAGUGAGAGCUGAUCGACGAGAGAUGAGAGAGUGAGAGCAAAGUGACGACAGAGUGAAGAGAAAUUGAGAGAAGGAGCCAAGAGAGAGAGCUGAGAGAGAACUUCAGCAAAACUGAUAGAGAACUUCAGCAAAAGUGAUAUGUGUACAAUAAGGGGACAAUAAAUAUAUAUUUAUAGGUUAUAGUUCCAAAUUUUUUUAAAAAGAGUGGUAUUUUCAGUUACAAUUAUAAAAAUGGUGGCAUUUUGAGCUAUUUCCUUAUUUUUUAUUCAACAUGGACGCAGAAACUGUUGCUAAACUGCAAACUUCUUAAAAUAUUUGUCUCACUUUCUCAACCCUAUAUUUGUCUAACUUUCUAGAUCCAUGUACUGAGAUUUAUUAGGGAAAUAUUGUAGAAACUGAUUAUUUUGAAAUAUUAAAUGUGAAAAACUGAACAAAAAUUUGAUGGGUUACAUAUUUCAACUCAUUUCAGCAGCUUAGAUUUUGAAGACCUCGGAAGAGGCCAUGCAGUGAGCCUAGCUAGUGCACUGUUGAUCACUUCAGUGUCUACCGAUCUGUAAUUUUUCCAGAUUGGUUAUAUUUUCCUUUACAUAUUCUUAUAUUAUUCCCAGCUGUAAGUGUUUUACACACUUGUCUAUUAGAAAAGGGGAGACUUAUAAAUAAAUCCAAAAUGGGUACAGUAUUUAUAAAGAAUGACAAAAUUAAAGUGUUUGGGCAAUAAUGCCCUUAUUCAUUUUGAGAUUGCCUAAGGAAUAUUUUUUCUGAUUUUCAGAAGAUGCCAAAGGACCGUUGUUUGAUGAUUGCCGUAAGGAGCUAAGAAAACUUGCUUUGAUAGUUUUGGACAGAUGCAUGCUACUGUUGCUGGGAUGAUCUCUUCACGUGAAAUGAGGAUGAUGAUGCUUCUACACUACACAAUCCAACGAAUUCACAUGUCUAUUUCAGAUACAAGUAUAAACUAACAAGGCUUUAAAAUAUGGGCUGAUGCACUGUUGUUGAUGUUGCUGACACUGUUACUGUGUUGUUGAUACUGUCACUGCGUUGCUGUUGGAAAAAGCACAAGGACUUCACAUGUUGCUUUCGUCUUUUGUGGAGGAGAGAGACCUAGGACUUGCAUGUCUUAGAUAUUUAAGAUAAGGGGCUUUCGUUCCAUUUUGAAAAUACUUUGGGUGUUUUUGAAAGGUGAUUGUUUCUUUUGGGUUUCUCACUAAAUUUCGCUUUAGAAGGGAAAAUAAUAAUAAUAAUGUCAAACAAAGUAGGGUAAAUAUUCAGAUAUGCUCAUAUUAUUAUUCUUCUCCAAUAUUGAGGUAUUUAUACAAGUACAAAGAUGUGUUAACCCUAAAUAAAAUAGGAAAUAUAUCUAAAUUAUAAUAGGCAGUAAAUCUCUAUUACAAUAGGACUAAAUAAUAAUUGGUAAGUAACCAAAAUUCUAAUGAAAUAAGGAAUCAAAAUCCUAACUAAGUAAGGACUCGCCAACACUCCCCCUCAAGUUAGGGCAAACAUAUUUCGCAUGCCUAACUUGACAAGCGAGUCAUAGAACACCAUACUUGAGAAGCACCAAUUGUAGAGAAGGUCUUUUCGUCAACCACGAGUGAAACAAGUGACAAACUAAAGCAAAGUUCGCAGCGGAAACACAAGAGCGAAUCCUAAAAAAUAGGGCACAUAGCAGAACACAAAAAUCCUGGAGCACGACAGUAGAUAAGGCAGAACACAGAAACCCUGUUAGCACGGCAAUAGGUAAGGCAGAAAAAGUCAAGAGCAAAGGCAAGGUCAACAGGCGUGACCACAACGAAAACACACCAGCAAAGACAUGAGCAACAAUAUUAGCACCAUAAUAGACAUGAGCAACAAUACUGGUACCAACAACAGCAAUACAAGGCACUGGCACCAGCAAGAGCAACAAGGCAUGGACAUAACAUGCAUAAUCAAUAGUAAUCAACAUUGUCCCCAACAAGAGUCAUAAUAGGCAUGAGCAAUAACAUUGUCCCCACUAAGAGACUUAACAGGUAUGAGUAACAGUACUGGCACCAGCAAAGGGCAUAGUAGUCAGCAGCAAUAACAAUGACAAAUACUUCUAUUAUUGCAGAGACAACUUCUCUUCACUCCCCAUCUCCCCUUGAAGAGAAGGGGUCAUCGGAACCAUAAGAAAAGUGGCACUUAAGAAACAGAAGUUGACUGACGCUCAAAUGUAGAAGAAUCAGCCAUGGCAAAUAGGUAGCUGAAUUGCAGCGGAAUAGAUGAGCAGCGGUGUCACUCCCCCUCAUAUCUGAUAAUGUAUGAGAGUCGAGAUUUGGAGAAAGCAAUAUCGAAAAAUAAAGUUGCAGAACCCAAAUAAAGUUGCAUCUAUCUCCCCAUCAAAUCCGACACUGGUAAAGGGUCGAGAUUUGAAAGAGGAGAAAUUGAAAUAAUAGUAAAGAGACUCAAACAUGCAGUCUCAUGGCAGAAACAAAUGCAAGAGGGGAAGAUGGUAGCAUACGGUUGUCCCAUGAAGAAAAAACUUCAGAAAAGGAGAAUAGUAAGGGAGGAAACCUAGCAAAUCAUGAACAGAGACAAAGACAAAGAUGCUCAAACUGAGAAGCGGAAAGGCAACUCAAGAGAGCAACCGAAGAAGACAGAGGCCCGCAGAACAGUCAAAGUUAAGGCUCGGCGAGUGGUGACGAUGCUCGCGGAGGAAAGCAACGGCUCGGUGAGCGGUGAUGAGGCUCACGGAGUAAAGAGACUUGUUAUGAAGUUUCAAAGAUAGAGAAGCUGAGACAUCAAGAAAGACCAUCUGGCAUACAAAGAUGAAAAAUAAAAAUUUUGGAACAGUAGCAAAGAAGCAUGUGAAGGCUGGUGCGGUGAAAACACAUAUGAAAGGAUGAACAAAAGAAGAUGACUAUACAAGAUGAAGACCCAUGAUGGGUUAGGAAUGAGGAGUGCCAACGACUCUCAAUUUGGCAGAGGUUAUCGCAGGUUAGGAACCUGGCUCUGAUACCAUGUCAAACAAAGUAGGGUAAAUAUUCAGUUAUGCUCAGAUAUGCUCAUAUUAUUAUUUUUCUCCAAUAUGGAGAUAAUUAUACAAGUACAAAGAUGUGUUAACCCUAAAUAAAAUAGAAAAUAUAUCUAAAUUACAAUUGGAAGUAAAUCUAUAUUACAAUAGGACUAAAUAAUAAUUGGUAAGUAACUAAAAUUCUAAUGAAAUAAGGAACCAAAAUCCUAACUAAGUUAGGACUCGCCAACAAAUAAUAGUACAACUCUUAUUAGCAACAGGUUACAAACUUCUUCUACAACACACCAACAUGAAUCUAGCCCUGAUCCACUCUUUUACAUACUUGAAAACAAAACAAAACACGAAAAACAAAAAACAAGAAACAAGAUAGGGAGAAAAUGGCUACGGAGAGACUUCCUGCUAAUCAGGGGCGGCCCUGGGGUGGUGCAAGUGGCGUCACCGCACAGGGCCCCCGAUUCUUAAGGGCCCCCAAAAAAUAAUUCUUUAUAUUAUAUAUAUAUAUAUUAAUAUUAUAUGAAUCGUAUAUAAAGUAUAGCGUCUGGAUGAUAAAGAGACUCAUUAUCAUUAUCUUAGUCAUAAGAUUCAAAAUGAAUUGAUACUUUUGUUAGCUUCUGAGCUCAAAAGUGCAAUCAUUAAAAAGAUUGAAGAAGCUAAAUAUUUUUCUGUGAUUCUUGAUUGUACUCCAGAUGCUAGAAACCAAGAACAAAUGAGUUUGAUAGUAAGAUGUGUGGAUGUCUCUACUAAUUCAAUAAAGGUUGAAGAAUUCUUUUUGGAAUUUUUGAUUGUGAAUGAUACAACAGGACAAGGACUUUUUGAAGAGUUGCAAACGGUGUUGCAAAAACUUAAGCUUGAUAUUGAUAAUGUGAGAGGACAAGGCUAUGACAAUGGAUCAAAUAUGAGUGGGAAAUAUCAAGGUGUCCAAAGAAAAUUUUUGGAUGUAAAUCCUAGAGCAUUGUACACACCUUGUGGUUGUCAUAGUCUUAAUUUAACACUUUGCGAUAUUGCAAACUCUUGUGGAAAAGCAAAAGAUUUUUUUGGAAUCAUACAACGUAUUUAUACAUUGUUUGCUAAUUCUACAAAGCGGUGGAAGAUAUUGAAAGAUAAUGUUAAACACUUAACUCUGAAAUCAUUGUCAGUUACACGUUGGGAAAGUCGUAUUGAAAGUGUGAGAGCAAUAAGAUUCCAAGCUGCAGAUUUAAGAGAAGCUUUACUUCAGUUAGCAGAAAGUGACGGUGACUCCAAAAUAACAAGUGAAGCUAAUUCUUUGGCAACAUAUGAACUUGGAAAUUUUGAGUUCUUAUUGGGCAUGGUUAUUUGGUAUGAUAUAUUAGGUGGUGUCAAUGUAGUGAGCAAAAACUUACAAUCUGAAGACAUGCUUAUUGAUGUUGCUAUUGAUAAAGUGAAAGGGUUGAUUACUUUUUUUUUGAAAAGUAUAGAGAAAAUGGGUUUACAGAAGCUAUGUGUACUGCUAAAAAAAUUGCUACUGACAUGGGAAUUGACCCGGUGUUUCCUGAGAAGCGAAAAAUUCGUAGAAAAAAACAUUUUGAUGAGAAUACUUGUGAGCUAUCCCAAUCAGUUCCUGAAUCAACUGAAGAAAAGUUUAGAAUUGAUUAUUUCUUGUAUUUAGUGGACCAAGCUAUUGGUUCUUUACGAAGAAGGUUUCGACAAUAUCAAGAGUAUGAGAAUUUUUGGGUUUUUGUUUACUUCAGAGAAGUUAAAUUCAUUGGAUGAUUGCGAUUUGAAGAAUAGUUGCAGUCAUCUGGAAAGCAUUUUGAAAAAUGACAAGUUUUCUGAUGUCGAUGGGGAGGAUUUAUUUGUUGAGUUGAAAGUUUUACAAGAGCUUUUACCAAAAGUAAAUACCACAGCUACUGCAAUAUUAAAUUUCUUGAAAAGAUUAAAUUGUUUUCCAAAUGCAUUCAUUGCAUAUAGAAUCCUAUUGACUAUUCCUGUUACUGUUGCAUCUGCGGAAAGAAGUUUUUCAAAAUUAAAAUUGUUAAAAUCAUACUUGAGAUCAACUAUGUCGCAAGAAAGAUUAAAUGGACUAGCUUUGAUUUCAAUUGAAAGUGAACUUCUUGAAAAACUUGAUUAUGAACAUUUGAUUGAUGAUUUCUCUUCUAAAAAUUCAAGAAGAUCAAUUUUCAGACAUUAGUAUUGUACUAGCUGUGUUUUUUUUUUUCUUCUAGGGUAAAAGCUCUCAUAAUAAUUUUAAUUCUUCAAAUAAGACAGCAAAUACAAUGUGAUGAAUUUUGGAUAAUCAGGUAUGUUUUUGUUGUUGCUUUUGUGUUUAAUGCAAUAUAAUCUAAUUUUUUUAAUGACAUUUGUGUGCAACUACUCUUUGAUUUGUGAUUGCCAAUUUUUUUUUCUUUCUAUUAAACACAGAUUGCUUAUUGGAGGCAGCAAGAGACCUUAUAGGGGCACAAGGAGCUUAUUUUUGUACAAAACAUUUAACUUUAUCAAAUGGAAACAUUUAAAUUUUUAUGAAUUUGAUUUCUGAUUGUCAUUGCAUAUUUAUUGAUGGUGAAUUUUAGUUAUAAAAAAAAAAUUGUUUAUGACAUUAAGUUAUGGCAAAUUUUUAUAGUAUUUUCGUAUUAGAUUAUGCGAGGUCCCAAUUUAAGUUUCGCACAGGGCCCUCAAAAUCUCAGGAACGGCCCUGCUGCUAAUACUUGAUCAAUAACAGAGAUAAUAGAGCACACUGUUUGUAUGACAAUGAGUAUCAGAAGAAUAAUAGCUGCAAAGAGAGAAAUAGCUGCCCAAGGUGUGUUGAAAUACUUUUGUCUCAAAUUUGCCUUCCGUCUGUUCGUGGUCUUCUUGCAGUACUCGUUUAGUUUGCCAGCAAGAUCACCAAAAUAGUAGUUUCCGUGGUUCGGAGCAACUUUACUGCAAAGCUUGUUAAUCAUAAUGGAAACCUUAUUGUUGUCACCUAGCGUGUUUACAACAAUUCCAUUGUCAACAAGCAACUCUACAUCCUUUGGGGUGUUUACAAAUUUAUCCAGGAUGAAAACAUAAUCGCUUAUGUAUUUAUCCACGCAAUGGCCUUGUUCAAAGGCAAUGAGAUUUCUAUGUGUAAGCUGUGUAAUCAUGUAUUUCAAUUUUUGGAAUUUCCAAGGUGUUUUUCUUGAACUGUAUAUCGAAUAAGUUCUUGCUUGAUCCCACGUUAAACUUAACUCCGGCCUGGUGUAGUUUUGUCAUGCUGGGUGUACUUUGGAGCCCUCCAUUUUUUUUUCUUUUGGCAGAUGUAAAGUUCUAAUAAAAUCAACAAAAUGUAAAGGUUUUUUAGGAUCAGGAGGCAUAAAAGACUUACGGAAGGCUGGUGAGUUCUCCAAGUUUUCUAAACGCAGUGCCUGUUGGAAGAACUUGUAAGAGAGUUCAAUUAUUGAAGGCUCCCCAGUCUGAGCACCUGUGAGAUUGUAAAGAUCCUCGAGAAUGAAAAAUGGCAGCUGAUUUACGAGCAUAAGCAUGUCAGGCAAUAUAUUUUGUAGCACCCAUGGUUUUUUAAAUAUCCAAGCAUCAUCAUCCUGCAAUUUUUCUUCCUGAAAUUUUUCUUCGGAUUUAUUCCUCAACAAUAGCUCAAUGACAAAGGCGGCAUCAACUAGAAUGAUAUUCACAAAAGUAGCAAUGUUAAACUUCUUAGGGCUAGUUUGGCGGCGUUGUGCUUUUAAAAAAAUAUGCUUCUGCUGUGCUGUGAAAAUAAUUAGCUGUGAAAAAAAGCUACUAGGCGUUUGGUAAACUGUUUUUGAAAAACUGCUGUGAGUAGUCAAAGUGUUUGGUAAAUUUUUAUCAGAAGUACUUUUAGUGUGUAUAAUGACCAAAAAGGACAUGAUGAUGAAAUUGUUUGUUAUUUUCUUCAUUCUUUUUCUACUUUAAAAAAAAAAAAAACCCAAUUUCACUACAUAAAUUUUUAUUCUUUUUUAAUUCACACCUUUUUAUCAAAAAAUUUAAUCUACAAUUAACAUACAUAUUUUACCAUAAAUUAUAAAUUACUAUUAUAACAAAAGUAAUUCUAAAUAUUGUUAUAUUAAUAUGGGCUUCGGACAUGACAAAAAUACAAAAAUUGUUCAAUUUUAAAAUGCCCCAAUAGAUCACUACAAUAUAAAAGAAGCUAAUUAGAUGCAUUCAUUAAACUUGUAGCGAUGCUAUUUCUUAAUGCAUUCAUUAGCUUCUUUUUUUGGUUUCCAAUGGUUCUCUAACAAUUUUAACUAAAAAAACAACCAUAAUGCUUUGUGAACAAUAAAUUCAAGUCCAAAUCUGCUAUUGCCCACACCAUACAUAUAUACAUAAUUGUUCCUUUCAUAAAACUUGAAGAUUCAAUAGUAAUUACACAGUUUACCAAUCUUGAUUCCAACUAUAUCCAUAAAAUUAAACUAUAAUUAGAAAUAGAGGAGCUACAUGUGAUUACUCAUAAAUGCUUCCCACUCUCAUCAUCAUCAUCAUCAUCAUCUUCCUCCUCUGUACUUUGCCUUUCACAAAUGGACAAGACCAGAUGGUAACGUACACGACAUGGUCCACAUAUAGAUAAAUUUUGGGUUCACUGGAGAACAUAAAAGAGUUUUUACACGAAUACAAAGUUAGUUAAGUAGUGAAUAAAGUAAAACUAUUCUGUACAAUUCUAGCUGAUGCAGUCCAAAAAGAAUAUAUGUCUAAUAACUUAAAUAACAAUAAAGAGAAACAAAAGCCUCAUGAAAAAUGCUAGAGUAAAAGUUACAUAACUGAAUCGAUGGACAGAGAACUCCACAGGCAGAGAAACAGCAACAAAAAUUGUCAAAACAGUAGCAAGACCAUGUUGGAGUCAAGGCCAAAGAUCAUAUUUCCUGUGUAUCUUCUUCCAUUCUGAAUUAUUCUCGUAUUCAAAUACUGUAACUCUAUUUCAAGUGCACCCCAAAAUACUUAUCUAAGGCCAGUACAUAGGACUUCAUAAAGGGUGCGAUAAAAAAUAUUGCCCCUUAAUUGAUAAACAGAACCAAGAUCCCAACAGCACACCAAAACUAUACCAACCACACCUACAUAAUAUGGACAGAAAAUCCUGUUGUUCCGAUCUCUAACCACACCAAUGACAUUCAUUAGGAAAAUACAAAAGAUGGGUACCCUGCAUUUCUAACAUUUAAGAUAAAAUUCACUGCCAGCUAAUCACAAAUUUGAAAAGAUGGCAAGAAAAUUGGCUAAGCUUUAACAAAAACCAGAGCAGUCCUUGCAUAGACCUGACUUUUUGCUCCAAGCUUUAGCAGAUCACUUACUGGUAGAGAGCAGAGAACAUGUAUGUGAAUAUCUGAAGUUGGAAGGGUAAGCCAUCACAAACACCAAGAGAUCUGAUUCUCAUCUCUUGUUACAACAACAAAUCACAAACACCAAUACAUCUGAUUCAGAAUCUCAUAAACAAUGGAGGAACAAACACAUAUUCACACACAUAUAAAUCCCUAAACAGAAAAAAUAAAAAAUAAAAAAAAAACCAUGAAAGUCAUAGGAGAAUCAAAUUGAUUUGGGCCAAAAUUGCCUAAAAAGAAAACACUCCUAAAUAAACUUCAAUUCACUUUUAAAAACAGUAAAACAUGAUUGAAUCAUUCUUUAAAACAAUUCCCUAAUAUACAUGCAUGAUAAUGACAUCAUUUACCCCUGAAUCAAAUGCCUUUCACUGGUCAAGCCACAAGUCUGUGUUUUGGGAAUUGCUGAGCUGCAUCAAUCCUGCCAAUGUAAAUUCUGCCCCUAGGCUCUCUCAAAGUGCGUUUACAACCUAUGCUAACAUAUACUAGAGUUUGUUUUAGUAUCUAGAAAAUGCCAACACUAAUUUCGUAACACGUAGAAAUUGUUACAUAUUGGAAGUUUUUAUCAUUUUUUCUUCCAGUCUCUCCACCACUCACUAAUACAGAUUACUCAUGUGAUGAGUUUACAAAACAUAUUUCUCUACUCCCACAAAGACCAUACUUUUUCUCAAAAGACUAUAUCACUUUAUCUCUAUCUUUGUGAAAUGUAAAAAGUUGAAACUUUAAUGUCAAACCUCGACAAAAGAUGAACAUCCAUCAUCAAUUACAUUGAAUUUGAAUUUGUUGAACUUAAGUAGUUUUACUUCUCUGUCAGCGUUUGAUGACUUGAUUUGUUAUUUACUUCUUCUUUUUUCCUUGGAAAUGUGUUCCAUCAACGUGAGGAAGAAAAAUAUGCACAAAUUAAUAUAUUUAAUAGAAGCAAAAAUUAAUAUUUACAAAAAUAUGCACAAAUCAAGUAAAAUUAAUAAAGCAUAAAUUGGAAAGGGAAAAUAUGUAGAGGAUGCAUUGUAGGAUUGCUCAUGCCAAUAAUUGUACCCUCUAAAUAUAUAGGGACAUAUUUUUUUUUGUUUUCAUGACAUGUGGUCCUAAAAUUAUUGUUCUUAGCGGGCUCUCCACCCCUCUCGACUGAAAACCUAUUGUGUAAAUCUUCAAUCCUGAAUGAUGCACCUAAAACUCAUGUUGCAAUACACAUCCACCCAUUCUCAGGCCAAUUAUUACUCCUAGUGGGCUCUCCACCCCCUCUCAAAUUUAAGUGGUCCAUUAUUAUUAACCGUAUAUUUUAUGGACCAGCCAGCUGUGAGGUUUUAUCUCAAAAACCUUUCUCCCACAUGCCACAAUUUAUGUCUGAUACAUCACAUCAUGCCAGUUGUCUCAAAUGAAUUUAAGUGAGUGAGGCAGUGUUACUUCUGGGUACCCCUCAUUAUUCGUCUAUAAAUUGGUGAAGCCAGUUGCUACUGUUACCAUAAGAGCCAGCUCCGACUUUCAAAAUAAAAAUUCCAACAACGGUCUUAGUGCCUUCAAUUGUAUGAGUCAUUGAACAUGCAAAUGAAUAAAAUAUGAAUGAUAAAAGUGUUUGAUAAAUCACCAAGUUAUAGAACACUUGAUGAUUUAUCUCAAAUAAAAAUUCAGCUUUCUAAAGUUUGUGAAUUGAAAAUAUAAUCGUUAAAGCUCUCUAAACAAAGAAGACGAAAGUCUUAUUUUAUAGAAUUUUUCUUUACAAGAAAGAAAACAUGUUGAAAACCAAAUCUCCAAUUUCCAAGGCUUGACAGAAAAUCAAAAAAAUAUCUUUCCUAUUCUAGAGAUUGGUCACAUGUAGUUCAACCAAUAGGAAAUGAGAUAUUUAAGAAAGCAAGAUUUUGAUCAAUACCAAUAUCAAAUGAAUUCUUAUACGCCUAGUCAACUAUUAAGGGUAUCUUGACUCCUUGAUAUUGUGAUAUGAUUGAAACAUGAUUUCCAUGUUAGAAAAUUAAGGGGAUGUUAAAACAUGAAAGUAAUAGGAGAAUCAAAUUGAUUUGGACUAAAAUUGCCUAAAAAGAAAACACUCUUAAAUAAACUUCAAUUCACUUUUAAAAACAGUAAAACAUGAUUGAAUCAUUUUUUAAAACAAUUCCCUAAUAUACAUGCAUGAUAAUGACAUCACUUACCCCUAAAUCAAAUUGUCACGCCCCGGACCUGGGGGUCAGUGGAAACCCCACGUUCGGUGCGUGAGAAAAUAAAAAGUAAAAUAAAAUAAAAAGAAUGCCGAAACAAGGGUUUAAAAUAAACUUCUCUUAUAAAAAUAACUCCAAAAUCUUACAACUUUACAAGAAAUAAAUAAAGCCCUAUCAUUCUUAUCUAAUUCAGCCUCAACUGGUUUAGUCCUUGUCUUGCCCACUAAUUCAUCUAAAAAAUGAAGAGUGUUGCUAAACGAACCCUAAAAUUAAUUGAGUACACCCUACUACCAAACGAUUUAUUGAAUUUGUCACAUCUCGGGAUCAACUCCGCCGUAGCACGAUAUUGUUCGCUUUGGGCCCUCCCUCUCUGGCUCGCAUGGUUUUGUUUCUGGGAACUCACGAGUAACUUCCCAGUGGGUCACCAAUCCUGGGAUUGCUCUAGCCCACAACUCGCUUAACUUCGGAGUUCCUACGACUCCGAAGCCUGUGAGCUCCCAAAAGGUCUCGUGCUAGAUGGAUGCGGGUGUGCACAUAUAAGGCACAUCACCCCCUCUCCGUUGGUUGAUGUGGGAUCUUAUAGAAUUACUAAUUUAUCCUAAUAUAAAAUGACCAAAGAAGAUAAAAUAAUAUUGGUAUCUAUUGCUUUGAAUCCAUGCCUUCAAACAAAUUGACUUAAUUUUUAACAAACAACACGGAGUCCAGGAGAAGUGUAUUGAUCCAAGUUGAUUUUUGUAUGCGUAAAACUUAAACAAUCAAUAACACAAAGCAGUUCAUGCUGAAAUAUUGGAAACCCACACCCAAAGAGUUCUCCGCUGCGAGGUUGAAGGCAGGAGAGAUGGGUGACAGAUUUUACUUCCACUGCGAAGUUGGAGGCUAGGAGAGUCUGUGACUGCCAUGGUUGAGGGAGAAGAUGCGUUCAAAAUGCCUAUUGAUAUUUUACAUUAUUGGCUUUUUUCAAAAGUGAAAGUUUUUUUAUGGGUAAAACCUAAAUUUACUUUUUCUAUACAAGUUAACAGUGUUUGUGUAUUGUGAAAAGGUGGAGAGACGUGUCAAAAUUUUAGACAAAGGACAGGAGGAGAUAGGGAAUUUGGGGACAGCAGAUCUCAACUCCCUUGAGACCCUAUUCUCUACGCCACCCCUCCCCCUCAACAACCCUAGUCACCAUUUCUCCUUCAACUCCAACGGCAACUCAUUAAAACCCAAUUCUCAAAUGCAACAAUCUAAUCCCAAUCCCAAUUCAGAUGUUUCUAAAAAACCCAUUGUCGUGGUGGAGAACUGCAAUUCCAGGUGGUGGUGGUGGUACCACAUGGGAGAGAGAAAAAAGAAGAAGAAGAAGCAGGAGAGAGAGAGUUUUUUAUUUUAUUAUUAUUUUACUGUAAUUUUUUAAUUUAAAUAAUUAAAAAAAUUAAAAGUUAAAGAGGAUGUACCAUGGGUAUUUUUGGUAGUUAAAUAAGGUGUACUUAGGGUCAGUUUGGCAUUGCUGUGCUGUGAAAAUAAUAGCUGUCAGAUUUGCUGUGAGAGAAAUCAGCUGUGAGAGAAAUCAGUUUGGCGUUUGAUAAAAUUUUUGUUAAAAGUGUGUUGAUAUUGAUUUUAUGCUUAAUCCGAAAAUGAUUGCUGCAUAAUCAUUAAACCCAGCGCCUCUUCGAAACUGAUUCCUAUAUAAUCAGAAAAUGAAAGCACCUCAUUAGCUGCUUUCCUUUAUAGCUUUCUCUCACAGCAAUUUUUAACAAUAAGUGAUUUUCUCACAGUUUACCAAACGGGUUGGGCUUCUCAAAAUUUUUUAAAAAUCACUUAUUACCCCAAAUAAGCAAUACCAAACGGGCACUUAGUUAAUUUUACAUUUUAAUUUAAACAUUAGGGUGUACUCAGUUAAUUUUAGGGUUCGUUCAGCAGCACUCAAAAUUAAACAAGGUGAGGGAUGAGCAAGUAGGGACAUGAGACAUUGCCACAGUAGAUUGAUAUAACUAAAUAUUAUUAUAAACAUAGAAAUAUAUAAGUAUUAUUAUAAUAGGAUUCAUAAUAAUUAAUAUAAAAGUAUAACAACAAUAUUUACAUUUAUGUACCAAGAUAAUUACACAUAUAAAUAUAACCAAUAUAUAUUUUUAUAUAUUUUAAAAUAUAAGUCUUUACGUAAAUGCCUUUCACGGGUCAAGCCACAAGUCUGUGUUUUGGGGAUUGCUGAGCUGCAUCAAUCCUGCCAAUGUCAAUUCUGCCCCUGAGCUCUCUCAAAGCACGUUUAAAACCUAUGCUAACAUAUACUAGAGUUUAUGCUGUAUCUAGAAAAUGCCAACACUAAUUUCGUAACACGUAGAAAUUGUUAGAGAUUGGAAGUUUUUAUCAUUUUUUCUUCCAGUCUCUCCACUACUUAUUAAUACAGAUUACUCAUGUGAUGAGUUUACAAAACCUAUUUCUCUACUCUCGCAAAGACUAAACUUCUUCUCAAAAGACUAGAUCACUUUACCUCUAUCUCUGUGAAAUGUAAAAAGUUGAAACUUUAAUGUCAAACCUCGACAAAGUGUUCUACUUUACAAACUUCUUGUGUCUACCAAUUUGUACUAAAAUUAAUUUCUCUACAGUGCUCAGAUUCAUCAUAUGUGUGUCCUUAAUUUUAGUGGAAAUUGGAAGUUUCCAUAAUUUUUGCUUUAAGUCACUCUUCUGAAGGAAGUUGAGGUUCCACUUCAUAAUCCAAAAUGUCAGGUUGACUUAUGGCAAACAAUGUAAAUAUGUAGGAGUACUAUGACCUUUUAUAGCAUUUUUAGUUUGAAUUUGGGUUUUAUACAUAGAUUUCAAAAUUAAUAGGUUGAUGCCUAGGAAAUAGAAAUUGUAAGGGCCUAUAUUAGAGUAGCCCUCUUAAAAAUAAUAUUAAUUAAUGAAUAUUUGUUCUUCUUGUUGUUUUGAAGUAGUGGUGGGAGGCAGACCAACAAAAAAAAAAUAUAGUGAAGGCUUAUAAGAGCAUUUACAAUCAUGCUCCCUAUUUUUUAGUUAAAAUUUAGCUAAAAAUAGAAAAAAAGUUAUUAUAGGAGCUCUUUAUAAAGCUCCUUUAUAAAAUUUGAACUCCAAUCAUACUCCCUAGUUUAGGGAGUCAAAAAUACUAUAGUUAUUUUUUAAUUCAAUUUGAUUUUGGUUAAUCUCUAUAAAUAUGAAAAAAUAGUUAGCAUUAAUUAAAAGUUUAAACUAUGCAUAAAACAAAGAAACAUUAAAUUAUAGGGAGCCACUAUGAGUCAUUACUCUCUCCUCAGAUUUAGGAGCUCCUAAAGGUCUCCCUAUUUUAUGAGGUGGAUAAGGAGCAUGGUUGGAGUUGUAUUUCUUCAAUUUCCUCCCUAAAAUUUGUCUAAGGAUGUGGUUUAGGGAGCCCAUUGUGAAUGCUCUAACUCUGGUAAAACACGAGUGACAUGGACAACAUAUGUUACGUCGUACUGAAGAUUUUUGGGUUUCUUUAAUUGGUUAAGUAGCAUCCACACAGCUUCCUAAAUCAUCUCCUUAGACAAAUUUUAGGGAGGAAUUGGAAAAGUACAACUCCAACUAUGCUCCCUAUCCACCAACUAAAAUAGGGAGACUUCUAGGAGCUCCUAAAUCUGAUGAGAGAGAAAGGACUCUUAAUGACUCCCUAUAAUUUAAUGUUGCUUUAUAUUAUUUUGUAUACAGACGGGUCAAUUAUAUUAAAUUAAAAAAUAAUUAAAGUAUUUAUGACUCUCUAAACUAGUGAGCAUAAUUGUAGAUCAUCUUAUAUACCUUAAUUUGAAGAUUCUUUAUUUGGGUUUCUUUCAAGACUUAUCACCUUAGCCACGCCACCUACACGUCUGCAAGCUUUCCUAACAAGGAAGGGGAGGCUGCGCAAUACUUAUCACCUUAGCCACACUACACCAAAUUGACGUCUGCAAGCUUUCGUAAUCUAACAAGGAAGGGGAGGCUGCGCAAUACUUAUCACCUUAGCCACACCAACACCACAAGACCAAUAUGUGUAGUCCAGGAGGCUUUCCCAUUUUAAUAUAUAUUAUCAAAUAAAAUAAAAAUCAAUCUAUUAUCAUAUAUAUUAUAAAAUAAAGAUUAUUGCUCCAUCCUCCAUGCACUUGCAUGCCUCUUACAAAGUGUGAAGUAGAUUUUGUGUGCUCCAAGUCAUUGACGAGAGCUGUAACAUGGUUAGCUGGAUUUAUAAGAUCUUUUCUUUUCUGGGAAUUUUCUGAAUCAAGAAAAAUUAAGUAAAAUUAAUAAAGCAUAAAUUAGAAAGGAAAAAUAUCUAGAGGAUGCAUUGUAGGAUUGCACAUGCCAAUAAUUGUAUCCUCUAAAUAUAUAGGGACAUAUUUUUUUGUUUUCAUGACAUGUGGCCCUAAAAUUAUUGUUCCUAGCGGGCUCUCCACCCCCUCUCGAUUGAAAACUAAUUGUGUAAAUCUUCAAUCUUGAAUGAUGCACCUAAAACUCAAGUGUCCCAGGCCAAUUAUUGCUCUCAUACCACUUGUUGUAAUAAACAUCCAUCCAUUCUAAAGGAAAGAUAACCAUCGAUAUUAUCUCAAAUUUAACCACUUAAGUUCAUUAUGAUUAACUAUGUAUCUUAUGGACCAAUCCAAUCAUGAGGUUUUAUACCCAAUUAGAUCGACUAAUACAAAGUUCACACGUGGAUUGAAAAGCGCUAUCAGUAGGGGAGUGUUCGGCACCCUUUACUGCCGAACGCAACACAAGACCCCUUGCAUGCCUUCACUAAGUUGAGCCUAUCUAUUUUUUAGCAUUAACAAUAUAUAUAGAUUGAAAAAAUAAAAUAAAAAUCAAUCUAUUAUCAUAUAAAAUAAAUAUUAUUGCUCCAUCCUCCAUACACUUGCAUGCCCUCUUACAAAGUGUGAAGUAGAUUUUUUGUGCUCCAACUCAUUGACUAGGGCUGAAACAUGGUUAGUUGGAUUUAUAAGAUCUUUUCUUUUCUGGGAAUUUUCUGAAGCACGGAAAAUCAAAUAAAAUUAAUAAAGCAGAAACUGUACCCUUUAAUUAUAUAUGGACGUAUGUUUUUUUGUUUUCAAGUCUUAGAUGACAUGGGGACCUAAAAUUAUUGCUCCUAGUGGACUCUCGACCCCUCUCAAAUUUAAGUGGUCCAUUAUUAUUAACCACAUAUUUUAUGGACCAUGCAGCUGUGAGGUUUUAUCUCAAAAACCUUCGGUACAUUUCUCCCACAUGCCACAAUUGUAUAUUCACAAUUACGGCUGUUACGUCACAUCAUGCCACUUGCCUCACAUGCAACAAGUCUGUGUUUUGGGGAUUGCCGAGCUGCAUCAAUUCUGCCAAUGUCAAUUCUGCCCCUGGACUCUCUCAAAGCACAUUUAAAACCUAUGCGAACAUAUAUUAGAGUUUAUGAUGUAUGUAUCUAGAAAAUGCCAACACUAAUUUCGUAACAUGUAAAAAUUAUUAGAGAUUGGAAGUUUUUAUCAUUUUUUCUUCCAGUCUCUCCACCACUUAUUAAUACAGAUUACUCAUGUGAUGAGUUUACAAAACCUAUUUCUCUACUCUCGCAAAGACUAAACUUCUUCUCAAAAGACUAGAUCACUUUACCUCUAUCUCUGUGAAAUGUAAAAAGUUGAAACUUUAAUGUCAAACCUCGACAAAGUGUUCUACUUUACAAACUUCUUGUGUCUACCAAUUUGUACUAAAAUUAAUUUAUCUACGGUGCUCAGCUUCAUCGUAUGUGUGUCCUUAAUUUUAGUGGAAAUUGGAAGUUUCCAUAAUUUUUGCUUUAAGUCACUCUUCUGAAGGAAGUUGAGGUUCCACUCCAUAAUCCCAAAUGUCAGGUUGACUUAUGGCAAACAAUGUAAAUAUGUAGGAGUACUAUGACCUUUUAUAGCAUUUUUAGUUUGAAUUUGGGUUUUAUACAUAGAUUUCAAAAUUAAUAGGUUGAUGCCUAGGAAAUAGAAAUUGUAAGGGCCUAUAUUAGAGUAGCCCUCUUAAAAAUAAUAUUAAUUAAUGAAUAUUUGUUCUUCUUGUUGUUUUGAAGUAGUGGUGGGAGGCAGACCAACAAAAAAAAUAUAGUGAAGGCUUAUAAGAGCAUUUACAAUCAUGCUCCCUAUUUUUUAGUUAAAAUUUAGCUAAAAAUAGAAAAAAGUUAUUAUAGGAGCUCUUUAUAAAAUUUGAAUUCCAAUCGUACUCCCUAAUUUAGGGAGUCAUAAAUAUUAUAGUUAUUUUUUAAUUCAAUUUGAUUUUGGUUAAUCUCUAUAAAUAAAUAAAAAUAUGAAAAAAUAGUUAGCAUUAAUUAAAAGUUUAAACUAUGCAUAAAACAAAGAAACAUUAAAUUAUAGGGAGCCACUAUGCCAAUAAUUGUAUCCUCUAAAUAUAUAGGGACAUAUUUUUUUUGUUUUCAUGACAUGUGGCCCUAAAAUUAUUGUUCCUAGCGGGCUCUCCAACCCCUCUCGAUUGAAAACCAAUUGUGUAAAUCUUCAAUCUUGAAUGAUGCACCUAAAACUCAAGUGUCCCAGGCCAAUUAUUGCUCUCAUACCACGUGUUGUAAUAAACAUCCAUCCAUUCUAAAGGAAAGAUAACCAUCGAUAUUAUCUCAAAUUUAACCACUUAAGUUCAUUAUGAUUAACUAUGUAUCUUAUGAACCAAUCCAAUCGUGAGGUUUUAUACCCAAUUAGAUCGACCAAUACAAAGUUCACACGUGGAUUGAAAAGCACUAUCAAUAGGGGAGUGUUCGGCACCCUUUACUGCCGAGCGCAACACAAGAUCCCUUGCAUGCCCUCACUAAGUUGAGCCCAACUAUUUUUUAGCAUUAACAAUAUAUAUAGAUUGAAAAAAUAAAAUAAAAAUCAAUCUAUUAUCAUAUAUUUUAUAAAAUACAUAUUAUUGCUCCAUCCUCCAUACACUUGCAUGCCCUCUUACAAAGUGUGAAGUAGAUUUUUUGUGCUCCAACUCAUUGACUAGGGCUGAAACAUGGUUAGUUAGAUUUAUAAGAUCUUUUGUUUUUUGGGAAUUUUCUGAAGCAAGGAAAAUCAAAUAAAAUUAAUAAAGCAGAAACUGUACCCUUUAAUUAUAUAUGGACAUAUGUUUUUUUGUUUUUUUGCUCUCGACCCCUCUCAAAUUUAAGUGGUCCAUUAUUGUUAACCACAUAUUUUAUGGACCAUCCAGCUUCGGUACAUUUCAAAAAGCUUCGGUACAUUUCUCCCACAUGACACAAUUGUAUAUUCACAAUUACUUCUGGGUACCCCUCAUCAGUCGUCUAUAAAAUGGUGAAGCCAGUUGCUACUGUUACCAUAAGAGCCAGCUCCGACUUUCUUUAAUUUCUUGCUACAUCUGUUGCUAAGUUAAUUUCAGUCCUAAUGGGGUUUCAUCUCCCACUCAUCUUUGCUAUUCUCAGUGUAAGCUCUGCAAUUUGAUUAACUUUUCCAUUCUCUCUCAUUGUACUCUAUAUAUAUAAAUGAAAGUUUUGUGUUCCUAUAAUUCUCUCCGAUUUUAUUUAGUACGUACUUAAGUGUCGUCCACUAAUUAAUUACACUUUGUGAGAUUUGAUUUUAAUUAGAGUUCGAAUUAAUGUUGCAGCUAGCAGCGGUUGCACUGGCAAACAAUGCUGCUCAACCAGCACCUCAACUUUACUGGAACUCCGUCCUGCCAAACACACAGAUGCCAAGAUCUAUCAGUGAACUUCUGCAUCCUGGUUUGUGUUCAGCUCUUUAUAAUCUUAGAUAUCUCUUCUACCUGCCAUUUUACUAAAAUAUGUUCGACCACAUAUUUAUCAGCUAACUACUGUGAUUACAAGAAUGACACUUAUUUUCCAAUAUAAUUUGCAGACUCCACAAAUGAAGAAAAGAGCAAACCUGAAAUUUUCCCAUUGCAGGGCAAUAGAGUUUACACUCAAAGCCAUUAUAAAAAACGUCCUCCUCCUCCAUCUGACGAGGGCAAACCUGAAACUUUCCCAUUGGGCAAUAGCCAUUACACUCAAACCCGUUAUAAAAAACGUCCUCCUCCUCCAUCUGACGAGGGCAAACCUGAAAAUUUCCCAUUGGGCAAUAGCCAUUACACUCAAACCCGUUAUAAAAAACGUCCUCCUCCUCCAUCCGACGAGGGCAAACCUGAAAAUUUCCCAUUGGCCAAUAGCUUUUACACUCAAACCCGUUAUAAAAAACGUCCUCCUCCUCCAUCUGACGAGGGCAAACCUGAAAAUUUCCCAUUGGCCAAUAGCUUUUACACUCAAAGCCAUUAUAAAAAACGUCCUCCUCCUCCAUCUGACGAGGGCAAACCUGAAAAUUUCCCAUUGGCACGUUCUCCUCCAUCUGACAGUCAACUAAAGCAUUACAAAGACUUAGCUAUUUUCUUCUUCGAGAAGGACAUGCGCCCGGGCACAACUAUGAAGUUCCAAUUCCCUAGAAAUUCAAACACGGCUACUUUCCUGCCACGCGAAAGUGCUCAAUCGAUCCCCUUCUCCUCUAAGAAACUACCAGAAAUUUUCAACCAUUUUUCAGUGAAGCCAACAUCUGAGGAAGCCAAAACAAUUAAGCAAACAAUCGAAGAGUGUGAAGCUCCAGGCCUUAAGGGAGAGGAAAAAUAUUGCGCCACAUCUUUAGAAUCAAUGGUUGAUUUUAGCACUUCGAAGCUUGGAACAAGAAACGUUGAAGCAAUCUCAACGGAGGUAUUGGAAGAAGGAGCCACCAAGUACAUGCACAACUAUACAACAAUGCCGGGACUGAAGAAGUUGGAAGGUGACAAAGUCGUUGUGUGUCAUAAGGAGAACUAUCCCUAUGCUGUGUUUCUCUGCCAUGCAAUAAAACAAACAGAAGCUUAUGUUCUCUCCCUGAAAGCCGAUGAUGGGAUGAAGGUGAAAGCAGUAACCAUCUGCCAUCUAGACACAUCAGAAUGGGACCCAGAGCAUUUGUCCUUCCAAAUCCUCAACGUUAAGCCCGGAACCACUCCCAUCUGCCAUUUCCUUACCACUGAUGCUAUUGCCUGGGUUCCAAAACACAAAUCUGCAUGAUCAUCACUUAGCACUGUACGUGUAAUAAGCUUGGUCGGGUUGCACCCUAGGCCUGCAUAAUUAUCUCCCUACUUAUUUCUGCCUCUUCAUCAUGCGGUGUAAGAUAUAUGAUGAGAUGAAGUUUUCUCUUGUAACUAUGUAGACUACUUCAACUUGUACUCAUAAUAAAGCACGCUGUUGGGGGGUUCUACUUAAUUUCGUUCUCUCCAAUGUUUGAGUGUUGAAUUGUUACGUUGGAAUAGGCUGCUAAUGCAUGUAGUUAGAGAAGCCUUCAUUUAUAUCAAAGUCCUCAAACUAUCAAGAAUUAAUGUAUCCAGAAACAUAUACCAAGACGCAAAACAACAUAUUUUCCAUUCUCUGUCUGUAACACCAAAGCAAACUUCCUUUAUCACAUCAUUUAAAGGAUCAAAUUCCAGUACUAAUCUAAUCCAUCAUGUAAAGCAUACAAGUGCCUACCUAAAUUUGUCCAUUGGAUAUAUAUGUCACUUUUUAUUUUUUGAUAGAGAUAUAAAUGUUGAAAAAAUUAGAGUACACAACUCUUAUAGACACUACUACGAUUUACUAUUUGCGCGACGGAAGUUUGCGCGACGAACAUUGUUUCGUCGCGCAAAAAGCACUAUUGCGACGAAAAAAAAAUACCGUAGCGCAAACAACAUAACACAAGCGCGACAAACAGUUUCGUCGCGCAAACAAUCUAUGCGCGACCAAUAUUAAUUUCGUCGCGCAAAGGUAGGGGAAAAAAACCCGGUUUUUUUUUUUUGGCGCCAUAAUCUUGCGCGACAACAACAAUCGUCGCGCAUGACAAUAUUGCGCGACAAUUCAAAGAAUUCGUCAGGUAAAGAUGGACAGAAAAUUGUCUCAUUUUUUUGGCGGUAAAAAACUUUGCGCGACGAAAUUUUUCGUCUCAAAAGACAACUUAGCGCGACGGAAAUAUGUACCGUCGCGUAAAAAAACGAGGGAUACUUAUUUUUGGCGCCAAAAUGCAGGGUGGAUAAAAAAAAUUUUGCGCGACGGAAUUACCUUCGUCGCGUAAAGUGUAAUGCCGGUGCUUUCUUGCGCGACGAAAUAAAUAAUUUGCGCGACGUAAUUUAAACCUUGCGCGACGAAAAGUAUUAUUUGCGCGACGAAAUUUUGUGCGACGAAUAAUAUGUUUCGUCGCACAAAAAAGCAGAUGUCGACAGGUAAUUGCGCGACGGAAAUGUUGUUUUGUGCGAUGGAAAAGUGGGUUUUCGCGACGGCAUUUUGCGCGACGGAUAUUGGUGUUCGUCGCGCAAAGUCCUUCUUCUUCAUAUUAGUAUCUGCCAUUGCAGAGGCAGAAUGCAGAAAUUGCAUUCUGCCUCUCUCUCACUCUCCCUGCCGCUGCUCUGCUGUGAAUUCAAUACGUUCAUUGGGUAUGUAUUUUUUGUCGUUAGUUUAAAUGUAUUAAUGUAAAUUCGUAGUAACGCUAUUAAUUUUGUUAUCGUUAGGGAUAUUUGUGAUUAGUGAUUGGUGGAGAACGAUUGAGAAGGUAUGUUAUUGUAAAAGUUUGUUUGUUAUGUUUGUAAUUUUUUUGUGAAGUUAUAUGUAUAUAAUGUUGUGAAAUUGUGCGUGACAUAGCACAAUGUGUUGUGAUGUACGAAGUUAAUUGAAAUUAACUUCGUACUUUUAUUUUUAUGUUUAGUAACACGUAGUUUCCCGUUCGAGAUUAGUUGGAUUUCGUGCAUGGAUGAGUAAUGCAUGACUGCGGUCCAAUUAAUUCUUGAAUUGUCCCAUUAUUUGGACAGUUUGGUAAUGCAUAGUGUUGUCACAUAAUCUUCGGCUACAGGAUUAGGUUUCGAUUGUGGAGAUUUCGGUGUCAUCUCGGUACGUUCUUCGAGUGGUACGUAGGUAUUUAUACCUAUGCCCACUUCAAGAACUGUGUCGAGAUGCUGCCGAAAUUAAUCCACGUCGAAAUCUAAUCUCAUGUAGCCGUAGGUUACGUGACAGGACUAUGCAUUCCCGAAUGGGAUAGGGCCCUUACCGGAGGCAUAAGGUGACAUUAUAACUUCGUAUGAAGUUGUUGUGAUUGUUGUGUCGUGAUUGUGGUUUCAUGAAUUAUGAGCAGAAGGUGGAUACAUAACCCGAAUAGAUGCGCAGACGAAUACUUGGAUGGAAUCGAGGAUUUUAUUGAGUUUGCACAUAGACACAACCCGGGUGCAAGUAGAAUCCGUUGUCCUUGUAGGAGGUGUAACAACACGUUGUGGGAGACAAUUGAAAAUGUUGGAUUUCAUUUAGUAAGGAAUGGAAUGAUUGAAACAUAUAGCAUUUGGAACCUUCACGGCGAACAUGUAGGCCAUGCUUCGUCUUCAAAUGCCCCAAGAGUGGACAAUGUUGAACCUAUUGUGGAUCCUAAUGAUCAAGUCAUGGGUAUUAUACAGGAUGCUUUUCCAUUCGCAUCGACCAACAUCAAUCAGGAAGGGGAAGAUAACGUGCCUACACCAAUAGACAGUGCGGAGUUUGAACAGUAUGAAAAACUGUUAAAAAAUGCCAACCAAGAGUUAUACCCGGGGUACGAGAGCUUUUCCGUUCUCACUUCUAUUGUGGAGCUAAUGCACGGAAAAAUAAAGUAUCGUAUGUCGAACUUGUGUUUCGAUUACUUUUUGGGGGUUUUCAAGAGAAUGCUUCCGACGGAUAAUUAUUUGCCGAAAGACCAGAAACAUGCACAGAAGGUGUUGCAUGGUCUUGGAUUGGGUUAUGAAAAAAUCCACGCUUGCAAAAACAAUUGCAUGUUAUUCUACAAAGAGCAUGAAACGUUGGAUACAUGCCCUAUAUGCAAUGAGUCGAGGUUCAAAAUGACAUCCCAGAAUAGAACGACUAAGAUACCACAAAAAGUCAUGCGUUAUCUGCCCCUUAAACCUGGGUUGCAGCGAUUGUAUAUGUCGACGCAUACUGCCACAGACAUGAGAUGGCAUAAGGAAAAACGGGUAGACGAUGAUGUGAUGCGGCAUCCUGCAGAUGGGGAGGCAUGGAAAGAGUUCGAUCGAACGUUCCCCGAGUUUGCUGCUGAUCCCCGAAAUGUAAGAUUGGGACUUGCCACUGACGGAUUCAAUCCGUAUGGGGUUCUAAACCAACACCACAGCACUUGGCCGAUUUUCGCAUUCCCAUAUAAUUUGCCGCCUUGGAAAUGCAUGAAAAAAGAAUACAUGAUGAUGACUGUUUUGAUAACUGAGGAUCCUGGCAGGUCAAUUGAUGUGUACUUAAGGCCUCUGGUUGAUGAGCUGAAAGAUUUAUGGACAAACGGUGUUCGCACGUACGAUAAAUCAACUGGGAGGAUGUUCACUUUGCGAGCAGCAAUUAUGUGGACUGUGAAUGAUUUUCCAGCAUAUGCAAUGGUUUCUGGGUGGAGCACAAAAGGUUAUAUGGCAUGUCAUGUAUGCAAGGAAGAUGUAACUUCUGGUUGGCACGCGGGAAAAGUUUGUUACCUUGGUCAUCGGAGAUGGUUGCCAUGGGACCACGAGUGGCGAGAAAAAGAUAAAGAGUUCAACGGGAACACAGAGCGUCGCCUCAGACCUGGAGAAUGGUCCGGUGAUGAGAUCUUGGAACAGCUGAACCGUUUGGAUUUUGGUCCGUUCGGAAAAACAAUUAGUCGGACCAGACCUUCUACACAUUUGAACUGGACGCACAAGCCUAUGUUUUUUGAGCUCCCAUAUUGGUCGAAACUGAAAUUGAGGCACAAUCUAGAUGUGAUGCAUGUUGAGAAAAAUGUAUUCGACACAUUGGUGGGCACGAUUCUAGAUAUCGAGGGGAAGACGAAGGACACGAUCAAAGCUCGUCUUGAUUUGGAAAGAAUGGGCAUACGAAGGGGUUUAUGGAUGAAUAGGGACAGUGAUAAAGCUAGAAGGGAUCUUGCAUUCUUUUCUAUGAAACCGAAUGACAAAAAGGAGUUUCUAAAGUUUGUAUCGUCUGUCAAAUUUCCCGAUGGGUAUGCUUCUAAUAUCGCACGUUGCGUGAAUGUCGAUGGGGGUAAAUUUACUGGACUUAAGAGCCAUGACUGCCAUGUUCCUGUGGGUAUUCGACACCUACUGCCGGAAGAUGUGGUGAAGCCAAUCAUGUUGUUAUCCAGAUUUUUUUCCCAACUGACGGCAAAAACAUUGCGAAGGACAGACAUGUUUCAGUUGCGCCAUGACAUUGUCCAAGUCCUAUGCAAGUUUGAGAUGAUAUUUCCUCCGGCUUUCUUUACAAGUAUGAUGCACGUAAUGGUUCACUUGCCAGAAGAGGCAUUGCUUGCUGGUCCUGUCAACUAUCGCUGGAUGUAUCCAAUAGAAAGGUAUAUAAUCUUUAUCAUUUGUGUAUGCAUCAUUAUCGACACUUUGCUAAUUUGUAUCAUAUCGUUUUAUUUUGGCAGGCUUCUCGGAGAGCUGAAAAAAAGUGUACGCAACAGGGCAAAGCCCGAAGGAUUAAUUAUAGAGGCUUGGGUUCAAUAUGAGUCGCUUACUUUCUGUGGAAUGUAUUUAAAAGAUGUGGAGACGGUUUUCAAUCGUCCUCAACGCAAUAAUGACGGAGGUAUGAGAAAUGAAAAACUUUUUGUUUUUGCCCAAAGCGCAUGACCAUUUGGAGAUCCUGGACGAGGAGAGUCGUUUUCUAGAAAUGACAUGGAGGUAGCGCAUUGGUUCGUACUGAACAAUUGUGAUGAGAUAAUGGCCUACUUAGAUGAGCAUGAACAGAUGAUGAAGCGAGAACAUCCAUCACAUUUGGUUGCCCGGAAACAUCGUGAAUUAUUUCCACAAUGGUUUUUGGAUUCUGUAAGUUAUAACUGUUUUGUAAUUGACAAAUAUAAAUUGUAGUAUUUAAUUUUGUCAGACUAACAUGUAAAUGAUUUUGUAUACUAUUAGGUGAAUAAAUUGAAAUCAUCGAAUUCCCCCACUUACAGUGAUGAGUUAUAUAACUUGGCGUUCGGCCCAAUUCGUGCUGAGUUGUUCUCGGGUUGUAAUGUUAACGGCGUCAAAUUUUUGGGGGCCGCACGAGAUGACAAGUUGUGUAUGCAAAACAGCGGUGUCCAUGUCCCAGGUGGAGGCGAAAGUACGGACAUUGAUUUCUAUGGCAAACUGACAACUGUCGUGCAAUUGCUUUAGAAAGAUCGAUACCAAGUCAUCAUGUUUAAGUGUCGAUGGUUCGAUACCAACCCAAAUAGGGCGGGAAGUGUUAAAAUCGACCAUGGAGUACUGUUUGUGAACAUGGCGUCCCAAAUUGUGUAUCUAGAUGACCCUAAAGCCGGGAGCGGGUGAAAAGUUGUGCAGAAGAUGGAUCAUAGGAACGUGUAUGAUAUACCAGAACUAGACCCAAGUGACAACGACGUCGACAAUGUGGCUGACCAACGUUUAGAAUCUUCAAUGGAAAAUGAUGCGGAAACACUUCGAGAUACAAAUGUUAUACAAGAACCGUUUCAAAUAGAAGGAGUGUCUUCAGUAGAAAUACCGAUUCAGUCAAUUACAAUUGACCUCGGUGAUCUUCCCCGAUACGAUGUUGCAGUGGGUCCUAGCAACGCCGAUGAUGCAGUUAUAGAGGAGGAGGAGGAAGAAGAUUGGGAGACCGAGAGUGAUGAUAGCGAUGAUAACGAAAGUUAUUAUAGUUCAGAUGAUGAAUAAUGAAUUUAUUUGUAAAGUUAUUAUGUUAGUGUAUUCAUUUUGUGUAAUACAAAUCUUUGAAUAUAUGUAGUUGUCCAUAUGUAGUUGUGUAUUCAUUCUCCAUAUUUCAUCACAAACUUCAUUGGAAUGUCAAUACUUUAGUCAAUACUUAUUACGACCCCAUGCUUGUCGAUUGGUUUUUAUUUAUUUAUUUAUUAAUGUCUUUAACUCUUCAAUUAUUAUUUUUUUCUUUUGAGAUAUAGUUAUUUCUUCAUGUUUAAACAAAAAAUAUAAGUUAUUUCUCCAAUAUUAUCUGUGUGCCACUUAUUUUUCUUCACUUUGGUUCAUGAUUAGUGGCAUCAAUCUAGUCAAACCGAUAAAAUCGGUCGAUUCAAAUCUUAAUUAUCAAUUUAGUUUGGUUUUGAUGAAGAAAUACAAAGCCUUUCCAAAAAAUACAGAGCAUAAAAAAUGAUGAAUACAAAACCUUUCCAAAAAAUACAAAGCAUACACAAUUUGAAUUAAAUGAGGAUUUAUGGCGCCAAAUCCUUGCGCAACGAUAAGGAGCCCUUCGUCGCGCAAAUAUAUAUUAGGUAACGUUAUAGUAUAAUAUAUACCCACAUAUAUAUUUAAAAUUGGCGAUCGAAGUAGUUCAUUGUAUUCAUAUGAAGUGUAGGACUGUAGCUGCAAAAAAUCAUCAACAUCGGAGUUAAAAUAACCGUUCAAUCAUCACUUUUUAUUUAGAACCGUCGAAAAGUUUUACCCCGUUACUUAAUCUCUGAAUGUUUUUUUUGUCUGAUUUUUGCUGUCUAUGAUCUCGAAGUAUAACAAAACAAGUUUGACGGCUGGAUGACUGAAGCUAGUUUCGUAGACUGCGUGUGCUAUCAAAAUCAUAUAUUCACCAAAAACUCAAAAAUUUGUUCAUACAUUUGUGAAAAUGUAACUUAAUGUUUAUGUGGUAUCCCCUAGUGUAAAAAUAUGAAAUUGAAGAUCAAAUUCAGUCAUUGUAUUCAUAUAGGGUCAACAAAUGUUGCUGUAAAAAAUGAUCAAAAUCGGAGUUAAAAUAACCGUUAAAUCAUGACUUUUCAUUUAUAACCGUCAAAAUAUUUUGUCCUGUUCCCUGAUAUCUGAAUGUUUGGUCGUUUUGAUUUUUGGCGUAUACGAUCUCCAAGUAUAAACAAAUAAGUUUGCCGGUUGGAUCAUUGAAACUAUUUUAGGGUUUAGGGUUUAGGGCUUAGGGCUUAGGGUUUAGGGUUUACAUUUUAGGGUUUAGGUUUUGCGCGACGAAUAAACAUUCCUUUCGUCGCACAAAGUGAAAGUGACAAAGAUUGCGCGACGGAUAAGUCUUCCAUUCGUCGCGUAAUCUGGGACACACAUUUCACCCCUCCAUACCCUUUGAACACUUAGUGAAAAUUUCAACCGAAUGAAAUUCUUGAACCCGCGCGACGAACAAAGCAAAUACGUCGCGUAAAGUGGACGUGAACAAGAUUGCGCGACGGAUAAAUCUGGUAUUCGUCGCGCAAUCUGGGCCACACUUUCACCCUUCCAUCCCCUUUGAACACUUAGUGAAAAUUUCAACCGAAUGAAAUUUUUGAACUCGCGCGACGAACAAAACAAAUACGUUGCGCAAAGUGGACGUGAACAAGAUUGUGCGACGGAUAAAUCUAAUUUUCGUCGCGCAAUCUGGGCCACGCUUUCACCCUUCCAUCCCCUUUGAACACUUAGUGAAAAUUUCAAGCGAAGCAAAAUCUUCAACUCGCGCGACGAAUAAAAGUAUUCGUCGCGCAAAAGGCACAGGCCUCUGAUUUUUGUUAGCAAACAUUGCGCGACGUUUACUGUCUUCGUCGCGCAAAAGGCACAGACCCUUCAGUUUCAGCCUCCCGCUAAACCCAAAAUUUUCCCAAAAUUUUGGCGGAACGACAGCGUUUUGCGCGACGAACAUAUGACUUUCCGUCGCACAAGGUUAACCUUGCUCGACGUUUACUAUCUUCGUCGCGCAAAAGCACAAACCCUUCAGUUUCAGCCUCCCGCUAAACCCUAAGUCCCAAAAUUUGGGCGGAACGACAUCGUUUUGCGCGACGAAUAUAUGAUUUUCCGUCGCGCAAGGAGAACCUUGCGCAACGUUUACUAUCUUCGUCGCGCAAAAUCACAGUUUCAGCCUCCCGCUAAACCCUAAAUCCCAAAAUUUUGGUGGAACAACAGCGUUUUGCGCGACGAACCAUGUAUUUUUCGUCGCGCAAAAGGCACAGACCCUAAUCCCCAUUCAAAAUUUGGCGUUCUGGGAGACCUUGCGCGACGGAUAUUUCAUCGCGCAAGAUUCAUUAAUACCAUUUUGCACGACGCAUUCUGUUCUUCGUCGCGCAAAGUCGAAUAAAUUUGCAGAAACGGCCCGAUGCCUCCUUCUUCCCCAUUUUCUGGUUUCUCUCCGUUUCUUCCUCUCUCUCCGCCGUCACCUUAGCCCUCUCUCUCUGCCAUCACCUCAGCCACCUCCGCUCGUUCCGUAGCCUCCCUGCCGUCACCGUCGAGCCUGCCGUCGCAAUUUCGUCAGUUUUUCCCGAUUCUUCGCCGGCCGAUUUCUCUCUCCUCCGGCCACCAUUUUCGACGCCUAAGGUAUGAUUUCUCGACUAUUUUUUGUGCUCUAGCUGAUGGUUGGUUAGGAUUUCUUGAAUUUUCGCUAUAGGAAAUAGGAAUUAAAACCCUAGGUUUUGGCCGCUUUGGGAAUUUCAAAUCCGGCCACUUCCGGCCAUUUUUCGGGGUAGGUCCGAGAACAAAAGUGGCUCCAAUUAAUGUUUUCAACCUAGGGUAGGAACCUUGGCCCUUAGUUUUUAGAAUUUUCCGACGAAUGUUAUCGCUUUGGACACCCACGCGCUGCCGGCGCGUGUGGUGGCGCGUGGGAUGUUGUGGCAGUGGGGCAUUGGGUCCCAGAGCAAUCCCCUGUUUGUCACGAGCGCGUAGGUUUGCUCGGAUUUGAAUUUGGUUAUCGUUUGAGUCUUGAUCGGAUUUCGGCUAUUGUGCGAUUUCCAGGUUUGAUAUGUUCGGACCGUUGGAUCGAACUCAAACUCACGUAGUUGUACCUUUGUGUUUCUACGAUCGUUUAGGAUUCGACCGAUCGUUGAUCGGUGUCCCGGAUACUUCGAAAUUCCAAACCCUAGGUGAAGCUAUGCUUUUAAUUAAUUAGUUUAAAUUCUUAAUGAAAUUAUAUGUGCAGAUGUCAGAUUUGAUUAGACGUGGUAGGUCGAUGAUGACUGCACCGAGUUCGGAUCCCCCUGCUCAGUCGGCAUAUGCUGCCACUGCUCCAGCUUUGAUGGAGCACGUGCUGGUUGGUCCCGGGGCGUCCCAGGCGCCUGCGUCAUCUGCGUCAUCCGUCGCGCAGCCAGCUAGUGCUAGGCGGCGGCACCGGCCCGCCGACACGACAUCGACCGACGGUACUGGUGCCUCGGGAUCACAGCCAGAUAUAACUACCAUUUUGUAUUGUUAAUUUUAUAUUGAAAUUUGACAAUGUUGUUUAUUUAACAUUAAUAUCUUUUUUCUUUGCAGCGAAGAAGAACACCUGAGGGCCGUGUCGUCAGCUGAAGACGGCGAAGGUCACCCGGGUGACCAACAGUCGUAUCAGCAUCGGAUACGACGAGCGCCAUCGGGCUGCACCGACGGCGGAGUUGCAUAGCUCCUUGGCCCACGACAUUGGCCACGUCGUGCGGACCCAUUGCCUGAUGCAAUGGAAGUCUUGGAGGGUCAUGCCUGACGAGAUCAAGGUGGAGGUUCGCGGCCAGUUGUCGGUAUGUACCUUACAUUUUCAUUAAUUUUCUUUAAAAUUGUGUAUAUUUCUAUUACUUAACGUAUCUAAUUAAUUGAUUGCAGACGAACUAUAACUUGGAGGAUCUCGACGAAGAGUCGUUGGCGUACGUCAACAGACUCUUCGCUGAGAGGUACAAGCAGUGGAAGAGCGACUUGCACCAUCAUUUUCAGGCCUUUGAUGAUCCGCAAGUCGCUCUUCAGGAGGGUUGCCCGAAGGAGCUUGAGGGGCGGGAGGAUAGUUGGGAGUGGCUCUGCGCUCAUUUUCAAGCGUCCGAAUAUGUGGUAUUUUUUUAAUAAUAUUUGUUUAAUUAUUACUUAUUUCUUAUUAAUGUUUAUUUCAUUUUUUUUAUUUCAUUAUUAUUUAAUUUGUUAUGUUUUAACUAAUACGUUUCAUUUUUUGUAUAACAGAAUAAGGCCCAAGUGAAUAAGGGUAAUAGGAAGAAGAAGACCCUUCUCCACCAUUCCGGCUCCAGGCCCUUUUCGUAUAGGAUGGAUGCCCGGCGACGGGUAAUAAUCACAUAAUUUAUAUUUCAUUUUUAAUGUCAUUUUUAUUAAUUUAUUUUUUUCAUACUAAUAUUUUUCUUCUCUUGUUCAAUUUAGGAGGGGUCCAAGUUCCCAGAGAUCGACGUCUUUGGUGACGUUUAUGUUCGACCCGGGAAUGAGUUGGCCGAGUCCCUUCAUGUAAGUAUUAUUUAAUUUUAAUUCUUAUGUUACGCAUUCAAUUUAUAUGCAUGUUUAAAUUUAUAUUUUAUGUUAUGUUCAACAGACGACGAUGGUGGAGAGGAGCCAGUUGGUUCUUCAGGAGUCCGCCUCCCAGCUUCCUCCCGAGACUCCGAUCGAGUCUGUGGCUCCUCCACAGGAUGCUGGAUUUCAGAUCUUGACGGAGACGUUGGAUCAGACUCUCGGGAGGAGGCCGGGGACAUAUUGUCGAGGGAUGGGGAAUGCCCGGCGGAGGGAACCUAGACCUCGUUCAUCGGCCCAGUCAAACAGUCAGGUGACUGCUUUGACAGCACAGGUGGCCGAGCUUCAGGGUCAGAUGUCGGUGAUUCUACAGUCCCUCGCACAGAGCGGCUUUCCAAUCCCGCAGUUUCGUGCGUCAACCUCCCAGCCCGUCCACCCCGAGUAUGCCCACCAGACCACUGCCCCGGUGGACGCCCAGACCUCCGAGCCGCAUACUGGCGACGACCCGAUUGAUUUUGCUUCAUUAUUUGAUUAGUGUAUUUAUUUUCAUCAUAAACAUUUAUUUUAUUUGUAAUACAUUUAUUUUAUUUUAUAACAAAAUUUUGUUCUAAUUUAUUUUUAUUGCAAUUUCAUUGUUUAAUCAAUAAAAAAACCAAUUUUAUUUAAAAAAAAUAAAAAUAAAUAAAAAACAAAAACAAAAAAAACAAAAAAAAAUUGUAAUAUUAUUUUUGCGCGACGGAAGACAUUUCGUCGCGCAAAACCACAUGUAACAAAAAAAAUUAAAAAAAUCAAUUUUUUAUUACUUUAAUUCUUGCGCGACGAAUACAUACGUCUCGCAAACAUUUUUUGCGCGACGAAAUGUUUCGUCGCGCAACAGCUUUUGCGCGACGACUGAAAUUUUCGUCGCCAAAUAGAUGAGCGACGAAAACUUUCUCAUCGCGCGAAUAGUUCUGCGACGAAUAUAUACGUCUCCCGGACUAGUUUUGCGCGACGAAUUAUUUUCGUCGCGCUAUUCGUUUCGUCGCGCAAAUAUACGUGCGCCGAAUACUUUAUCGUCGCGCAAAUAUUUAUGCGACGAACAGUUGUUUCGUCUCCACACCGUUGGUGCAACGAUGGUUUACCCGUCGCACAAUUAUGCGCGACGAAGUGUUGUACCUCGUCGCGCAAAGGCUUUCUUCACGAUCUUCGCGCGACGGAAGGUGCGCGACGAAUUUUUUGUCGCGCUGAAAUUAGGGCGACUAAAUAAGACUUUGCGCGACGUUUUGUUAUUCGUCGCGCAAAGAGUAAAAUGUAGUAGUGAGACUUGUUGGAGACAAAACAGGUAAACAAAUUACUUGUAUUAGACUCACAAAAUAUUACAACAAGACAACUCUCAAAGAAAAGACAAACUCUCACACUUCUCACAAGGACUACUUAACUUUAUAGCUUAUUGCAUAUAGCAUAUGCAAACACAAUUAGAACAUACCUACGUACACUAUGGGAACACUCGUGUAUAUUUCAACACAAGAAAACAUGUGCACCGUGCACGGUUCACAUGAAGUAAGAAAUGAAGAGGAAAUAAAGAAGAAGAAUACAAAAGAAAAUGGAGAUGAGAAAAAAAAAAAAACCGAAUAAUGAAAAAUGAAUUGACAAUUAUAUAUGGUUGACAUUAGAUCUAAUAUUAUAUGUAACAACUAUUGAUCUAAAAUAAACAUUAAAUCAAACAAUAAUUAAAAGAUUUGACAAUAUAAAAAUUUAUUGAGGACAAAAAAAGGCAAAAACUUAUGAAAAAUGGAAACAAUAAAUAUGAACUGAGUCAUCAACUCACCAUGGUAAGUUUGCUGACGUAUAAAAAUAGUCAAUGGACAUCGAAAAGUAAUUGGCUUACAUCAAAAAUUAAAAUCACGUGGGUUAUUCCUAAGAAACCUUAAUAUUUGCCUUCCAUUUGUUCCAGCAAAAUAAAAGUCAUUGCUACUUAUUGUAACCCCUUUUCCAAGCUUAUUAAUCAAAGUAGACACCUCACUGCUGUCACCUAGCCAAUUUUCAACAAUGUCAUACUUAACAAGCAACUCCACAUCCUUUGAGGUGUUCACAAAACGAUCCAUGAGACUAACAUAAUCACUUAUGUACGUCUCCUCGUAGUGGCAUUGUUCAAAUGCGAUGAGAUUUCUAAUUAAUACCUCUGUAUGAUCGCUUAUUUUCAAUCUUGGAAUUUCAAGAGUCCGGCCAGCAAAUCUAAUAAGGUAUUCAUUGAUCCCUCAUUCAACUUGAACCCUGCCCUGUGUAGCUCUGUGAUGCUGGGUGUGUUUAUAGUUAUGAGUUUCCCGUCAUUAGUUUUUAGGGUUAUUCGUUAUAUGAGUCCCUGAACUUAGACCCGAUUUGCAUUUUAGUCCCUCAAUUUCCAAAAUCGUUCCAGUGGUCCUUCAACUUUAGUUUCGUUAGGACAAAUGGUCCUGCCGUCAAAUGAUUAUAAAGUGGAAAAAACAAGAACAAAAAAGGAAGUGAGUUAAAUUUGCACCUGCUAUGUUCAAACGACAAAGUUCGUUUCCGUUUGGUCGAUUACAAGAGAAGCUCAAUGCAGCUUACUUGGUUCCUCUUGGUAGAUGGAAAUAUAAUUUUUCUCCUAAUAACAAAGGUUUAGUGCAAUCAAUGAUGGGCUGUAUAGAACAACUUUUUUGUUUUAUAUGUUUAUGUGAGACAAGUUUUGCCAGAUUGAAUUAAUGUCUUCUAGCUAUGUACCUUAUCUUUUUGCCGGGCCAUGAGUUGAAUGUAGAGGCAGAGCAUGGCCUUGGGUUUGUAAAAGACAAAAGACUGAACCAGACGUAAUUAUUUAGAUUUUGGAUCCAGUUCCACAUCCCAAAGAGAAAACCACAAGUUUGCAAGCAAGUUUGUCCAUAUUAACACUACGUAGAGUAUAGGCAGUGUGCUACUCAUCUCACUUUCUCAACCUACCCUAUAUUUGUCUAAAAGAGUUUCUAAUUUCGUGUACUGAUUCACUACUACAUUUUACACUUUGUGCGACGAAGAGAAUUUCGUCACGCAAAAUACAUUGGUCGCGCAAAGUUUAAAAAAAAUUUUAAAAAAAUAAAAAAUUCCCGCGUCCAAUUUUUGGUACUUGUCCAAAUUUUUUGAGUUUUGCGCGACGAAUACUAACAUCGCGCAAAUAUUUGCGCGACGAAAUAUUUUUUGUUUUAAAUUUUUUUAAUUUAAAAUAAACUAAUUUAAUAGUUUGCGCUACGAAAUAUUUUGUCGCGCAAGGUUUUUGACUUUUUGUUUUAUUAUUUCUUUAAUAUGAAUUUAUUUAUAUGAAUUUUUUGAAAUUUUUACUUUUUAAAUUUAAUUUAAUUGUAUGAUUUCUUUUUAAAAUUACUUUAAUUUAAAUUGAUAUUAAUUUUUACUUUUUAAAUUUAAUUUAAUUGUAUGAUUUUUUUUAAUUACUUUAAUUUAAAUUGACAUAUUCAAAAUAAAAUUACAUAUGAAAAAUAGUGAUUAAAUUAUCCAAUAAAUAUAUAUAUAUAUAUAAUAUUCAAAAUGUACACAUAAAUUAACAAAGCACAAUAAUAAAAUCCUAAUACAAGCGUAUUGUGGUGGUAGUGUCGGAGGAUAUGUUUUGAUAGCUUCCUAAUCCUCAACUUUAGCCGUCAAAGUCUCGAUGAUUCCCUACAAAAAAAAUAAAUAUGGUCAAAUAACCACAAACAAAAAAAAAAAAAAAAAAAAAGGCAUAAUCUCCCCUAAAAUUGUUAUACCACAAAUCCAACCCAAACUCCAAUCCCUCCCCUUUACUCAACCCCAAAACCCACACAAACUCAAAAUUAACUCCAAAAACACAUAUUAAUGAAAAAAAUUUAAAAUUUGGAGAGAAUAUACCUUUUGGCAAGAUUGAGAGUGAAUGAGAGGGAGAAGUGAGUGUGAGAGAAUUAGAGAAGAUAGUGAUAGAGAGAUGAGAGAGAUGAGAGAGUGAGUGAGAGAGAGUGAGAGAUAGUGAAGAGAGAGAUGAGAGAUUAAGUGAGAGGAGUGAGUGAGAGAAAUGGUGGGAUUUGGGGAGAGGGAAAGAGAAAGGAGAGGUAAGAGUAGAGAAAGGCAUUGAGAAAAUGGUGGAUGAGUUAUUUCGGUUUUAAAAACCGUAUCACUUUGCGUGACGAAAAAUAUUGUUGGUCGCGCAAAGGUUUGCGCGACGAAAAAUAUUGGAAUAUUGAUCGCGCAAACUUUUGAGCGACGAAACAUAUUGGUCGCGCAAAGUCUAAAAAAAUUAUUUAAAAAAAAUAAAAAUCCCCGCGUCCCAUUUUUGGUACCCGCCAAAAUUUUUAAAUUUUUGCGCGACGAAUAUAGGAAUAUUGAUCGCGCAAAGUCUAAAAAAAUUAUUUAAAAAAAUAAAAAUCCCCGCGUCCCAUUUUUGGUACCCGCCAAAAUUUUUAAAUUUUUGCGCGACGAAUAUAGGAAUAUUGGUCGCGCAAAGUCUAAAAAAAUUAUUUAAAAAAAUAAAAAUCCCCGCGUCCCAUUUUUGGUACCCGCCAAAAUUUUUCAAUUUUUGCGCGACGAAAAAUACAUAUUGGUCGCGCAAAGUCUAAAAAAAUUAUUUAAAAAAAUAAAAAUCCCCGCGUCCCAUUUUUGGUACCCGCCAAAAUUUUUAAAUUUUUGCGCGACGAAAAAUACAUACUGGUCGCGCAAAGUCUAAAAAAAUUCCCGCGUCCGAUUUUUGGUACCCGCCCAAAUUUUUGCGAGACGAAAAAUAUAUAUUGGUCGCGCAAAGUUUUGAGCGACAAAAAAUAUUGGUCGCGCAAAGUCUAAAAUUUUUUUAUUUUUUUUUUAAAAUCCAGCGUCCCAUUUUUGGUACCCGUCCAAAUUUUUAGAGUUUUGCGCGACAAACUGUUGGUUGCGCAAACUUUUGAGAGACGAAAAAUUGGUUCGUAACACAAUAUUUAUAAAAAUAAUUGUUAUGAAUAAUAAAAAUAAAAUUAUUUUAUUUUACAAUUUAAAAUAUAAAUAAGGUUAAAGCUGCUUAAGAAAUAUAUAUACUAUUCAAUUUCUUAAGUGUUAUACGUACAAAAUAAAUAAAUUUAAAGGUACUUAAUAAAUAAAUAUAUAUACACACACCAUUCAACGAUCCAACCGUCAGACUUAUUUGUAUAUACUUCAAGAUCGUAUACCCCAAAAAUCACAAAAAACAAACAUUUAGAGAUCUAGUAACGAGACAAAACUUUUCGAUGGUUAUAAAUGAAAAAUUACGAUUUAACGGUUAUUUUAACUCCGAUUUUGAUGAUUUUUUUUUACAGCUACACUCCUUGACCAUAUAUGAAUACAAUGACUGAAUUUGAUCUUCAAUUUAAAAUAUUUACACUAGUGGAUACCACAAAAUCUUAUGUUAUAUCUAACGAACGUAUAAAUAACCUCUUAAUUGUUAGUGAAUAUAUUGUUUUGAUGGCAUAUGCAUUCACCAAAACUAGUUUCAACGAUCCAACCAUCAAACUUGUUUGUUUAUACUUCGAGAUCAUAUACGCCAAAAAUCAGAAAAAAUAAACAUUCAGAGAUCAAGUAAUGGGACAAAAAUUUUCGACGGUUAUAAUGAAAAAUCACGAUUUAACGGUUAUUUUAACUCCGAUUUUGAUGAUUUUUUACAGCUACACUCCUUGACCCUAUAUGAAUACAAUGACUGAAUUUGAUCUUCAAUUUAAAAUAUUUACACUAGUGUAUACCACAAAAUCUUAUGUUAUAUUUAACGAACGUAUAAAUAAACUCUUAAUUGUUAGUGAAUAUAUUGUUUUGAUGGCAUAUGCAUUCACCAAAACUAGUUUCAACGAUCCAACCGUCAAACUUGUUUGUUUAUACUUCGAGAUCAUAUACGCCAAAAAUCGGAAAAAAUAAACAUUCAGAGAUCAAGUAAUGGGACAAAACUUUUCGACGGUUAUAAUGAAAAAUCACGAUUUAACGGUUAUUUUAACUCCGAUUUUGAUGAUUUUUUACAGCUACACUCCUUGAACCUAUAUGAAUACAAUGACUGAAUUUGAUCUUCAAUUUAAAAUAUUUACACUAGUGGAUACCACAAAAUCUUAUGUUAUAUUUAACGAACGUAUAAAUAAACUCUUAAUUGUUAGUGAAUAUAUUGUUUUGAUGGCAUAUGCAUUUACCAAAACUAGUUUCAACGAUCCAACCGUCAACCUUGUUUGUUUAUACUUCGAGAUCAUAUACGCCAAAAAUCGGAAAAAAUAAACAUUCAGAGAUCAAGUAAUGAGACAAAACUUUUCGACGGUUAUAAUGAAAAAUCACGAUUUAACGGUUAUUUUAACUCCGAUUUUGAUGAUUUUUUACAGCUACACUCCUUGACCCUAUAUGAAUACAAUGAACUAAUUCGAUCGUCAAUUUAAAAUAUAUAUUUUCUAACAAAAACCCAAUCUGAACAACAAUAAUAUAUUUUUCUAACAAAAAUCCGAUCCGAUCUAAAAUAAUAAAUUUAAAGCUACUUAAUAAAUAUAUAUACUGUUUAAUUUCUUAAGUGUUAUGCAUACAAAAUAAAAAACAAAAAUAAAUUAGUAUAGGCGACAAAAUGUUUGGAUUACGUCAUGCAAAGAUUUUAAAAUAUAUAUAUAUAUUAUUUUUAUAAGGACUUUGCGCGACGAAGUUCAUUGUUUCGUCGCGCAAAGUCACUUUGAGCGACGAUGUAUUGUUGUCGCGCAAAAGUUUGUCGCGCAAAGUUACUUUGCGCGACGAAUUUUUUUUCAUCGCUCAAAAUUUGGUCGCGCAAGACUUUGAGUGACGAUGUAUUGUCGUCGCGCAAAAGUUUGUCGCGCGAAGUGACUUUGCGCUACGAAUUGUUUUUCGUCACGCAAAAUUUGGUCGCGCAAGACUUUGAGCGACGAAGUUUUGAGUUUCGUCGCGCAAAGUGACUUUGAGCGACGAAUAGUUUUUCGUCGCGCAAAAUUUGGUCGCGCAAGGGGUUUUUUUUUACUAGUAUGAGUUUUAUAUACAAUUUAUAACAAUAUUUUCAGGCAAAAAAAUGUCUUGGCAAGAAAAUGUACAAUUUGUUACGUACUUAACUGGAACGAUUACCUUCAAAUUCCUAUGGCCAAUUACCUUCUUUUUUCUUCCUUUUUUUUUUUUUUUUUUUUUUGGUUGUUGUUGUUCUUUUGAUCAAGUUGCAUAUUCCAAAGAACGAAAACCAGUACAGGCUCUUUUCCAAUGCAAGCUCUUUUCCCAUGUUUCCCUCUGUUUUUCUCCUAUUUUUCUUAUAUGGAAGUGAUUAAAAUACACCUCUAAGCUUGUUUUGCGUUUGGUAACCGACUGUAAAAGCUCAAUGCAGAUAGUUUGAGGUAGAAUUUUCUCCAAUUUUACUAGCACAGUGAUAAGCUAUACUAUAUGUAACAACAAAUUGCUUUAAUAAUGAUAAUGAAAAAAGUGUGAUCCAUCGAAUAUUUGCGGGGUUUUGUUCCAAGUCAACACAUCAAAUUCUUUUACACCAUGAAAUUAAAAAAAAUUUAUUCAACCAUCUCGACCUUAUGCUCGAUCAUUUUGCACAAGCAACCGUCCACGUACCCCAAUAAUUUAAAAGGGCUGAUGAUCUUUAAUUUGGCGAAAGCUUCUAUCUACUUCUACCGCGCUAUAUAUGAGCUAUGCAAUUGUGACGGUGUUACAUGACGUCACAAUGUCGUAGGGAUAAAAAAAUAAUAGUCAUGGUUUCUUAUUAAUGUUAAUACAGGCAUAGCAAAAAGCUUGUAUUUCUAGUGGUUAAGAACAAUUACCCAUGCACUUGAGAUAUUAUGUGCUUAAAUCCCCUCUUCCCCAAUAUUUCUUGUAUAAAAAUAAAAAUAAAAAUAAAAAUAAUAAAGAUAUUGAUAUUGUAUUCUAUAAAGUGUUGGACAUGUUUUAUACCCCUUUACUGCAAAUUACAGUUUGACACAUGUACAAAAAUAAUAGGUAAGUGUUGGACAUCAAGAGUACUUACAUAUAGGUUUAAUAGGUAAGUUUUGAAUAUUUCUGUCUUUAGCUUUAAUUAUUGAAAAUCAACCUAUUAUCAUAUUAAAGACUUAUCCAUGUUCAACGUACAUUCUCUUAUUUUUCUCUCAUUGAAGUAAAUACAAAACUAAGCACAUAGUGGAAAAGUAGGUCACGAUUAGGGGUGGGUUUGGUCUGGGUUGGUUCAGUUUUGGGCUCAACCCGAACACCGAACCGUAGACCUCGAUUUGGCUAUUUUGGAAACCAAAACUAAACCAUAAUUAAUGAAAACCGACCACUUCAAUUACCUUCUGGUCUUCCAACCAGAAGAAAACUCAAAACUUUAACCAUACCAAGUGCAACAGAAUUACACCAGGCUGGAGUCAAGUUUAUGAUGGUUAAAGAUAAAAACUUAUUUGACAUACAAUUUGAGAAUGGAAUCCUCAAAAUUCCACACCUGCGAAUACAGGGUUAAACAGAAAUUUUCUUCCGCAAUUUUAUUGCCUAUGAGCAGUGUGAGCUCCAUGAUCAUUACAUCAACAACUAUGUCUUCGUCAUGGACCGCCUGGUCGACAGUGCCAGGGAUGUGGAAUUGCUUGUGAAGAGUGGAAUUCUUGAAUCCAUGCUACCGGACAGCGAGGCAGCAGGGGAAUUUAUUAAUUCUCUUGACUUGGGGCCUAUUUUAGGCAAGCUUGAAACAAGACUAUUUCAGUUCACCAUGGGCUGGCCUGUCUAUUAUUGUAGCCGCUAUACUAGUUGUGCUCACAUUUAUUCAAACAGUGUGCUCCGUAAUGGCGCUGUAGGUUCUUCAUUUCCUCAAUUUCAUGUUUAGUGGUUGCAGAUUUGUUGCUCAUGUACGUGUUUAUCUAAAGUUAAAUAAGAGUGAUUGACUGAUAGUCUGUUAGUUUGUUUUUCUGGGGUUUUUCCCCUGUUCGUCAAAAAAGAAAAAGAGAAAGAGUGAUUGCUUGUGCCUGUUUGGGCCUAAUUUGACACACCCAAUCCAAAAUCAAAAAGUCCAUGUCAAUUUUGGACAGCCACCAGCAUUCCCUUUGUAAUUAGGCCAAAAACUGCACACCCAACCUAGCACUGGAGCCUAGAACAAACAAGGUAAACUCAGGACCCAAGCAGUUUGAUUUUUUCAUUUAAAUUGGAAUCAAGGGCCCCAAGUCAAAAAAGCCCAAGCCCAAGGCAGAUUUUUUACCAAAAAGACCCAAGGAAGCCCAGUGCAUGCGAAUUGCUUAGCCCACAAUCCCAAAACUCAAAACUAAGUUUGGCAUGAUUAAAUAAAGAUAGAGAGAAGCCCAAAAUUGAAGAAACCCAAAACAGUUUUAUCAAAAUUGUCAGCUCUCUACCCAAGACCUAAAAAGGGUCAAAAAUACCACUAUUGGCAAAAUUGACGCACUCAGCCUUGGAUCACAAAGAAAUCCACGUGACUAUUUGACUUUGAGAAGUCAACAAUUUCAACUAGUCACAAGAGAAGUUGAUUGGAAUUAAUGUAGGCAGGUCAUUACAGAAAAGACUUCUUUGAAACUCUGUAGCCAAAAGAUCAAAAUCCCUUUCUAUAUAAUUCUGCAUCAGAGUAGGUGGUCUUUCCAAGAGAUAAGCAGACUACGUUUUCAAGAGAUAAGUAGAGAAUGAGGGAGUUGUUCAACAAGAAAAGCAAACUAACCAUCAUGAUAGGUUGUGUUCUUUCUCUCUACAAAAAACAAUAGGGAACAAAGAAGAGUUGGUUUUUCUUUCAGAAAAAGGAAGGAAAAGACCUACAUGAAAACUAAUUAUUGAUGGUUCUUCUCUGCCAGAACAGAUAACUUCUCAUUUUCUUUGACAUUUAAAAAUGAAAGGUCUCGCUUUUACAAAAUCUGCCGCCCAUUAUUUAAAGAUUAGAAAACCCACUCCAGCAUUUCCUAUAAAUAUGAGAGGAGGUGAUGUCACAUCACGGGAUUGGCUCUGCCGUAGCACGAUAUUGUCCACUUUGCGCCCCCCUCUCUACCCUCACGGUUUUAUUUUUGGGAACUCACGAGCAACUUCCCAGUGGGUCACUCAUCUUGGGAUUGCUCUAGCCCCCAGCUCGCUUAACUUCGGAGUUCCCAUGACUCCGAAGCCAAUGAGCUCCCAAAAGGCCUCGUGUUAGAUGGAGGCGGGCAUGUACAUAUAAGGCACAUCACCUCCUCUCCGUUGGUCGAUGUGGGAUGUUACAGGUGAACAUAUCAAAGGACAGCCAAAAAAUCAAUCAAAGACAAAAACUCAAAAUGAUCACUUGAUCUCAAAAGCCUUCAAAACACUGAAGCAAGCAAAGCUCAUUGAGCCACAACGAACAAGUCAGCUAGAAUUCAGAAUCUUUAGAGUCAGUUCAGUUUCAGAGAAAUAAUCAAAGAAAGCGAGAUCUCUCUCGUUACAAAUUUGGUUCAGCUUAAAGCCAAAACAAGCAGAGUUCAGGUUCUUACAAAUAUGAAAACCUCAAUAAAUUUAUGGAGAGCCCUGAUCAAGCAAAACAGGUACUACAGUGCAGUUCUAGCUUAGUAAUAAUCAAAUCCACCCACUUCUGCCCCUUCCAGAUUGAGAAGGUCCCAAUUCUGCCCAUUCAAAAAGCCUUCCAAGACUUGAAAUAGAUUAAAGCUCUGCCAAACUCAAAUGUUGGAAUCAAUUCGCAGCUGAAACAUGACAGUUGAAGGUGUUGAUAGUCCAGUCCAGCACAGACAUACCCAGUCUAGCCCAGAUCAGAAGCAUUCACCGAGGCAGAAAUUGAAGUCCAAAGCUCUUUUUGUCUUUUUAGAGUUGGUCUUCCUUUUCUGAGCUUUGUAAAAGGCAAUUCUGCCUAAAACAGUUCACUUUCUUAUCAUUUAUUCUGGCCAGAACUACCAGUUUUGUACUGUGAAAAAUUAUGAAGUCCUCACCAGUCUAAGGCAAGAAAAGAACUUACUUGGGAGAUAUUCCUCACCAAAUUCACAACCGUUUGUUUAGAAAUCAGUAACUUGGUGUAACGACCCGGUCCUAAAUAAAUUGGUAAUUAUUAAUUUAUUCAGAUAAAAGACCAUUUUGCCCAUAGAAUAUUUUAAUAGGUUUACAUGUUGACCCGGGAGGCUUCGGUGAAAUUGUUACAUCUCGGUCCGAAAAAGUGUUAAAAUAAUUAAAGUAGAGUGCUGCUAAAAGAACCCUAAAAUUAACUGAGUACACCCUAUGAUCUAAGUACACCCUAAUAUUUUAAUUAAAAUAUAAAAUUAACUAAGUACACCCUAUAAAACUAUCAAAAAUAACACUGAUACACCCUAAUACUUGUAGCAUUAUUUUAUAGUUGAUUAUUUUAAUAGUGUUUAUAAAUCUUUGACUUUUCAUAUGGAUUUAUGCUUCUACUAAAAUUGUUGCCACUUUUUUUCCAAUUCCAAGUUCUUGCAAUCACCACAUCUUUCGUUAAAAACACAAUAGGACAAGCAAUCUCUUGAUUAGGGUUGAAUAUGGUUAGUAGGGUGUACUUAUUAAUAUUAUAUUUGUUUCACAAUUCCAUAUAUCCUUUUUGGUCAUUUUAUAUUAGGGUAAACCAGUAAUUCAAUAUAUACUUUUAUAGUAGGGUGUACUCAGUUAAUUUUAGGGUUCGUUUAGCAGCACUCUUAAAGUAAGAGAGAAUAAAAUGAAAUAAACAUUAAAAUAAAAUGAUUUGAAUUAAUUAAGGUUUUUGAGAAAUUAAAAUAUUAUUUAAUAUUAUAAGGGGAAAAAGAUCAUUUUAAGUUUGGGAAGGAAUUUGGAAAUUCCAAUUGUACCGUUGUGUAGAGCAUGUCGAAACGAGUCCGUAGACACGUAGUGGACUCGAAUCGUAGUUAUAACGGAGAAAUGGCGAUCAAAAGAAGUUCAGUGGCAUAGCCAUAAAUAUUUCGAAGUUCAGUUUUUUUAAAACCCAAAUUUCUUCUCUCUGGGGAGUGGGAGAGCCAACUUCAAAUGGUGAUUUCUCCCAACUCCGACCACCACACUUCCCUCUUCCUUCAGUUUUGGCAUCAUGAUGGGUUCCAUCCCGGAAUGACACAUUUUCGACGCUAAGGACGUCACAAAUGGUAUUUGAGAUGCUUUGUAAAUUUGUAACCAUGGAAAACACAAUGAACUUUAUGUUCGGAGUUGCAAGAGAACAUUAAGGGGAAUAUGGAGAGUGGGAAAAUAGUAAUAAGUGGAGAUCUGUAUGCUUACUUACUACUGAACUUCCGUCGUGGUGGUUAGUAUGAAAAAGUGUUAGAGAUUAUAGAUUUUAUGGAGGAACAUGGUUGUACACUGAUAAGUAGUCGGUAGGAGUUGAUUUAAGUUCCAAGAGAAAUUCAUUAUGAACUGGGAUGAAUUACUGCAAGAUUCUUGCUGUUUUGAAGUUAUUGAUUUUAGGGGCAUCACCUCUGAAUGAUCAUAAUAACCAUGCGUGGGCUCUGCAUGAGGUUUCUUUGACAUUGUUUGAUUUUGUGUAUUGAUAAUUACACUUAGGGGUGUCACGUUUCUAGAAACGUGUCUAUCCAAAUUGUUGUAUCUCAAUAUCCUAUGGAAGGAAAGCUGAGAAGCUGAAAAUACUGGAUUUAUGGUGGUGAGAUAAAAAUUGUCAGGAACUUUCAAAAGUCAAAUUAUUUCACAAAGGGAAAUACUGGAGAGAAGUAUUAGAGAAUUUUCUUUGGAUAAGUUAUAUAGGAGUGGAGGAGUUGCGAGUUUAACCAAGGAGGGUUGUGACAAUUUAAAUUGAGAAGUAGUGGUGUUGGGUGAAGUAUUAUUUCAUUCGCGUGGGCUUGAAUGCCGCGAUUGACAGGAAUGGAACAUUAGGGUUCUUCUUCCUUGCUCUCUCACGCGAGCUCGCCAUAGAGAGUAUUUCUUGGCGUGGUACUGGCUUCGUCCGACCUCCGAUUACUGUGAUUUUUGAAAGGACCCGGCCCAAAUUUCUCAAAAUCCGAGGCGAAUCCUGUGAAAUUCCCGACAUCACUCCGAUGCCAGGCCCACUUACUAAAGACCGAGACUUUCUGCCGAACUUUCGGCAGAGUCUCCCCUAUAAAUUGGACAUUUUCCAAAACUACCACCUGCAUAAAACACAAUUUAUAUCCCCAACUGGCAGCAUGCACAAGAUAAUUUCAUGCAAAUCACAUAAUCGGCCUGCGGCCUUCAAAUAAUUCAAAACGAAACCACCAAGCACACUAUCAAAUUAAUUCCUACCUUAAACAAGGCAAACAAUAAAUUUAAAUAUGAAUUAUGACUACUAAAUUUCAACAUACGAGGUUUUAACCUCCUAACACAAUCACAUCUAUGUCCGCGGCUGCACCUAAUAACCUUAGGCUGCCUACGUACCUUCACUGAGGGAUCAAGCCACACGUAGUUCUUCCGUAAAACCCAAUUCCACACAUAGGCAAUACCUUUAUUCAUUUCUCUGUAUUUCACAUAAUCUCCCCAUACGCCAGUACUACCAUUGCCACGUAUGGGACUUGUCAACAAGCCGGAUAACCUACACCACGUGCGAUCUCAACAUAAUAUCACAUAAUCUCCUCAUACGCCGGUACAACCAGCGCCACGUAUGGGGCCUGUCAACACGCCGGAUAACCUACGCCACGUGCGACCUCAUCAUACUAUCACAUGAUCUCCCCAUACGCAGGUACAACCAACACCACGUAUGGGGCCUGUCUCAACGCCGGAUAACCUACGCCACGUGAGACCUGAACAUAAUAUCACAUAUCUCCUCAUACGCCGGUACAACCAAUGCCACGUAUGGGGCCUGUCAACACGCCGGAUAACCUACGCCACAUGCGACCUCAAUAUACUAUCACAAUAUCUCCCCAUACGCCGGUGCAACCAACGCCACAUAUAGGGUCUGUCUCAAAUUGGAUAACCUACGCCACGCUAGACCUCAACAUCAUAUCACAAUAUCUCCUCAUACGCCGGUACAACCAACGUCACGUAUGGGGUCUGUCCGCAUGCCGGAUAACCUACGCCAUGUGGGACCUAACUUUCACAGAGUGGUACUUGUAGUGUAACCAAAAUCUGGGGAGGUGCCUAAGGUAGUGCAUAUAGCACUUCAAACUGACAUUCUCUCACUUAUCUAAACUAAUACUAGAGGUCUUCCCAUUUUAAUGGUACCAGUCUAUAGUAGAUUGUAACGUAAUUUAAUCAUAAAAAUAAUAUUAUUUCUAGACCAACGAUUAUUCACAUAAACAUGAAUUUCAUAAUUUCACUAUUUAAAAUAAUAUCUAAAAGUUUCCUAUAAUACAAAUAAACACUCUAAAGAUCCCAACUUAGUCAACACAGCUCAACAAUGCUCAAGACCUGUCAUUAGGGUCAUUAUGAUCCUUCUAGGAAGGUAAAACUACCUCGAAAGACUCAAGGUCAACCAAGGGUCAAACCACCCACAAUUGGUCAAACGGGCCCACGGGGCCCACGACCUCCAAAUUCCAAUCCGAAGGUUCCUAUGGGAUCUACAAGGUAUAGGACACUCGUCUUGCAAGUUAAGCCUAGAUCGGAUGGUCAGAUCGCUCACGAUCGCACAAUCUGAUGGUUAAUAUAAAACAUAAACUUUAAAUUAUUUAAUCGGAACAUCCGGGGCUCCCGAUUCACGAUCUGUUCCUACACGAUCCUAGAAAUACAUAGAUUAACAUAUAUUAAAUUUGAGACCAUCCAACGGUCCUAACCUAUCGAACCCGGAUAACGCGCAAUAGGCGAUAUUCGUUCGAUAGUCAAACGACGUCCGAAUUGAGAUUUACGAAAUCCUACGCACUCGUGACAACCUAAGGAUCUCAUUGAGACAUAUUGCUAUCCCAAAACCGACCGAAAUCCAAUUCGAAAAUCGAGUUACUUACGUUAAGAAUCGACCGAAUCCUACCCAACAGGCAGCUAGAGCAUGAAAAGUAUGUGAGAAACCAUACCUCACUCGUCGAAAUCAGUGGCCAAAGGAGGGAGAUCGACGAUAGAGAAGUUCGGACGAACUGACCGCUUCUUCUCCAUUUUUCAGCGAAACCACGGUAGCUGGUGGCGGGACCUAGCUGGGGUUGGAAGAGGAUGACGCCCCGGUCAUUUUGGUAUCGGCCUCGUGGUCAUCGGUGGCCGGAUGAGAAAACAGCCGGCGAAAAUGUGACCGGCUGCCGUUGCGCACGCGAGAGAGACCACGAGAGAGAGAGAGAGAGAGAGAGAGAGAGAAAUCUGAUUGUGCCACUGAGAUUCUUUUGACCAUAUCUCUCUCGUUACAACUCCGAUUCAAGCCCACCACGUGUCUACGGACUCAUCUCGGUACGACCUAUCCAAAAAUACCAAUCACUACCCCAAAUACUUUUUGGAUCAGAAAGUGACCAAAUUACCCCUACCUCAAUGGUAACUUUGUAAUUUCACUUAAAUAAUUUAAAUAAGGGAUUAAAUUUGGAGUCGGGGUGUUACAAUUUUUGUUGCUAAAUGUUGUCAUCAUUUCUCCUCUACAUCACUCAGUGAUCAUUCACUCCCAUUUCUCUAGUUUACACGGUGAAUUUUAUUUCUAAAAUUUCUUAAAAUUCCGGCCACUGUGAGUUUGACCAGCGACUUGGGUUACUUUUGCCCAUCUUUUUGGAAAUGGAACCGAUUUGAGGAAGAUUAGGAGGAAAGAUACAUAGGCCGCUGAGGCAGAAGUAAAGCCGGAGCUUUACCAUAGACAGAAGUUGUUUUAGAAGUCCUGGAAGAUUGUGAACAGGAAUUGGAAGUUUGCAUGGGGUGAUAGGAUUUUUAGUACUUGUGCAAACAGUGUUAAAAAUCACAUAAAAUACUUGCAAGAAUACAAGGCUAUUGUAGUCUAGAUGCUCAUGCAAGGUCGUUUUCCUCAAGGACUAAUUAGCAAUUUAUGUAAAAAUAAAUUCCAAUUACUACUUAAAAUAAAAAGUCAAGAAAGAUGAUUAUAAAUUUGGUUGAUUCUAAAAAACAAAUAUUAAACAAAAACAAAUACGAUUGAAAGAAAGAGUUUUGAAUAUCAAUUUAUAAAAACACUAGGGUUUCACCAUCACCUAGCAAUCCUAUGAACUUUUACCAAUUACUUAUGAUUUGCACAUGCCACUUUGAAGGUUAGGUUUUCCUAAUGUAUAUUCUACUUAGAACCUCCAACACAGAAUGUAUAUCCAACAUGCAACCCGUCCGGACGUUCGGAUCAAAUCUGAACAUGAAAGACUCAUUAAGUUUUGUGAAAACCCUUUGAAAAACCAUGCAACCCUUAAGACGUGGUGUUCAUCUUAAGUGAAAUUACAAUUAUUAAUCAGAAGAAGCUAGCAUCAAUUUCAGGGAACCUUCCGACCAAAAUUGCAUCCAAUUACUUUUCUAAAGAUCCUAAUGGUGAUCAGGCAUUAAGACAAUUAGAUAGUUUAAAACAGUGAUUAACAAUUCAAAAUACGCAUGCACUCAUCAUAAGCAAUUAAAUAAAAAUCACAUAUUCAUGCUAAGGUUCAAGGCUUCACCCUAGCAAAAGAAAUUUAGUUACGCAUACUCAUAAUUGAAAUCCAAGAAAAUAUCAUUAAGAAGAAAAGAACGAAAACACCUGAAAGUUGUGAAAACCCAAAACCCUAGCAAUUGCUCUCCACAAUGCAAAGUUCAAAAGUGAAAAGGGAGUCCUCCAUUCCUUGUGAGAAAGAGCUUAAAUACCCCUUAAAACCUAGCUGCCAAUGUACAGCUUUUCUAUCCCCACAAGGAAACUAAUUAAAAUAAAAUAAUACUAGGAAAUAAAGUCCAAAUUGGAAUAGGAGAAUCUGCUCAAAAUCUGCCCAGCCACGUUUUGGCCCCAAAUCUCCUCCAAAUCUGGCCCAAGAUAGCUUGUUUUAAAGAUAAAAAAUGUUCUGAACACUUCUUUAGAAGGCCACGAACCCAUCCGAGGUCAUCUUGGGCUCCAAAAACGCAAUAAAAGCCCAACACGUCACUAUUCCAGCACCGCGCACUGCUCCUUUAUUUUGUUGCCAGAAAAUAACCGCUUGGAAGAAAAAUCUGAAAUUUUGAUACGAUCAAGCUAAGUGACUCAAGAACGUCCUCCAACUGGAAUUACUCCAAAAUUCCUCAAUUUGAUUAUGUUUUGCUCCAGAGAGAUUCGAAAGUCCUAUAUUGGAAAUAUAAUUCAAAGUAUCAAAAGUCUUCCAAAAUAAUAACCAAAAUAUACUAAGAAUGAGGUUAAAUAUAUAAUAUAAAAUAUGUCCAUCAAAAUACCCCCAAACUUAGCUUUUGCUUGUCCUCAAGUGAAACAAGACUCAAACAAAAAUAAAAACUUAACAGAUUAGACAUCUGGCUAACACUUAACUAGGACAAAAUUUCCACCUUCAAGUUGCAAUCCAUAGAAAAUUUUAAAAACUAGAACAUCCUUUCAAUAGAUCUAAGUAAUCCCACCACAAAGUCUAAGCUAUUUAGACUCAAUUAGAAAAGAAUUCACAAACUUCUUUCGGUGCAAAGUGAACCAUUAUGGUUAUGGAGACUUGACUAAAACCCUUAACUCUCAUCCCUUUUAUUCAUACUUCACACACUCCACACUUUUUGUUUUUUUUGUUUUUUGUUUUUUGUUUUUUUGUUUUUUUUUCUUUUUGUUUUUAUAGUAACAGUAGUGGUUGUGCAAUGUUGGUUCCCUUAAGCUUUCAAUCCAACCGUGUAGCCAGCUUUAGGUCAAUGUCUCCCAAACCACUCGGGUUUUAGGGCACUAGGUGUAGAACACCCCUAAGGACUUAUUAACUCAAGCUGAAAAGGCUACGAAACCAACUAACCACCCUGCCUCAUGCCAAAACUCUACCUUUUGUCUCGAGAAUCACUGCUGAUUAGGCAGGAUUGACCCGGUUACUAGCAAAGCUUCGGGUGAGGUAAUUAUUACUUUAUAACACAAACUAACUUUAUUUAUAUUGAACAUAAAUUAAAACACAUUUGGACAAAAAGUAAGUAUUCCAAUCUCACUCCCCAAAAACCAUGUUGGUGUGAUGUGCAAAUUUCAAAGUAUAAUUCAUGAAUUAAUGUCUAAGCAACAAUAAAUAGAAAAUACUCUACCGUGGGAUUGAUUUUCACCAUGUCCAUUUGUUCUAACGUUUAAAAUAAUCUAUGGAUAUUGACUGAAAAACGAAAAUUUGUAAACAAGACUCAAAAAAUGAAAAAUAAAAAAAAUUACGUUCCCACCCCCUAACUUAAAUCACACAUUGUCCUCAAGGUGGGGUAAAUAAUCAAAAGAAACAAGAGCAGAAACAAAACGACUAAAACUUAGAAAAUGGAAAUCAAAAAUAAAGAAAAUACUCUAAGAAAAGAAAUUAGGAAGGCAAAGGAUGAGAUCCAGAUGGAUCUGGUAAUCCUAUCCGUAGAGAUGGAAAGAUUCUAUACACGCCAUUGAGACUGGAUUUGGAGAUGAGGAUUUGACCCUACCUUGUUCGACGAAUUCCCUCAAGGGGAAUUAUAGCAAUAAAAUACAUAUGCUUCUACAAACAUUUAAUUGCACUGCUACGACGUGGAAAGAGUGCUUUGGGGUCUCAUCUCAUGUGAACCCGUUCGAGUAGAAAUCUUUCAUUAGAAUCAGAAAUGGGUCAUGGUAAAGAGAGGUAGAUGAUGAUUACAGUUCGGUAAAAAUGAUCAUUUCUGACAUUCCUCUCAAAGAACCGUGUUGGCAAUGUCGUUUAUCGAUUCUAAAGAAAGAAGAAAAAUAUCAACAAGUCAAAGAACGUGGAUUUCUUUUAAGGGGAGAGCUAGAACAAAAUCAAAUCACGAAUGGAAGAGUUUAGCUUUCAGAGGAAGAUUGAGCAUUACAGCAGCUAUUAAAGGAUAUUUUUAGUUGAAGAAUGAGAUUUUUCUUCCUCUGAUUGUUUAGCUAGAGCUUUUGGCUUGACUGCCAACGUGGUUGUGGAGGAAGAAACUUGGGAACCCGAGUAGUAGAUGCGAGCCCACUACCCAUACCCCUUUUGAGUGACAGGUAUGAAAUUUCAAGGAUGAAAUUUUUAUAAGAGGGGUAGAUUGUAACGACCCGGUCCUAAAUAAAUUGGUAAUUAUUAAUUUAUUCAUAUAAAAGACCAUUUUGCCCCCAUAAUAUUUUAAUAGGUUUACAUGUUGACUUGUUGACCGGGGAGGCUUUGGUGAAAUUGUUACAUCCCGGUCUGAAAAAGUGUUAAAAUAAUUAAAGUAAGAGAGAAUAAAUUGAAAUAAACAUUAAAAUAAAAUGAUUUGAAUUAAUUAAGGUGUUUGAGAAAUUAAAAUAUUAUUUAAAAUUAUAAGGGGCAAAAAGAUCAUUUUAAGUUUGGGAAGGAAUUUGAAAAUUUUGAUUGUACCGUUGUGUGGAGCACGUCGAAACGAGUCCGUAGACACAUAGUGGACUCGAAUCGGAGUUGUAACGAAAAAAUGGCGAUCAAAAGAAUUUCAGUGGCAUAACCGUAAAUAUUUUGAAGUUCAGUUUUUUUAAAACCCACAUUUAUUCUCUCUGGGGAGUGGGACGUGCCAACUUCAAAUGGUGAUUUCUCCCAACUCCGGCCACCAAUUCAAGUAAGACCGGCCCCGUUAGAACCACCACACUUCCCUCUUCCAGUCCCAGCCCAUCUCAGUCUCGAUCCGCCGUCGUAGUCGCCGAAAAUCGCCACGAAACAAGGUGGUUUGGAUAGUUUUUGUCGAAAUUUCGUGGAGCUCGUUCUCCCUCCUCCGGCCACCGUUUCAGGCGAGUGAGGUAUCAUUUCUCACCUAUUUUCUAUGAUAUAGCUGAUGGUUGGAUAUGAUUUGAUAAAUUUUGAGCGUUGAUAGUUCGAUUUUCGAAUCAAAGUUUGGCCGAAUUUCGGGAUGAAAUUCCGGCCACUUUCGAUCACUUUUUGGGGUAGGCCCAAGAACAAAAGUGUCUUCAAUUGAUGUCCUGAUCCCAGGGUAAGAGCAUUGGUCGAAAAUUUUGAGAUUUUCCUGCUGGUGGUAUCGCUUUGGGCACCCAUGCGCUGAUGGCGCGUGUGGCAGCGUGUGGGCACUGUAGCAGAGGGCCAUUGUGUCCCAAUGCGACCCCCUUGUUGUCACGAGUGCGUAAGGGUGCUCGGAUUCCAAUUUGGUUGAGGUUUGAACCCCGAAUGGAUUUCGUAUAUUGUACAUUAUCCGGGUUUGAUAGGUUUGAACCGUUGGAUAGUCUUGAAUUUAAUAUAUGUUAGUCUAGACAUCCCUAGGAUCAUAUAGGAUUUCGCGGAUCAUGGAUCGGAGCCCCGGAUGUUCUGAUUUAAUAAAUUAAAGUUUGUGUUUUACAAUAACCGUCCGAUCGUGCGAUCGCGAGCAAUCCGACAGUCCGAUCCGAACCAAACUUGCAGGACGGGUAUCCUAAAUCUUGUAGAACCCAUAGGAGCUUUCGGAUAAGAAUUUGGAGGUCGUGGGCCCGGUUGACCAAGAUUAGGUAGUUUGACCCCUCGGUUGACCAUGAGUCUUCCGAGGUAGUUUCACCCUUCGAGGAGUACUAGAAUGACCUUAUUACAUAGUCUCGACCUUUAAUUGAGCUAUGUUGACUAUGUUGAGAUUUUUAGAGUGUUUAUUAUUAUCGUAUGAAAACUCUUGGAUAUUACUUUUAAUAAUUGAAAUUAUGGAUUUGAUGAGCGUGGGUAAAUUGAUUUGAUGAGUGGUGAAAAGAAGUCGUGGGCUUGGCUAUGACUAUUAGGAAGUGAGGGGACAUUUAUGUUGAAUAUGCAUUAAUUUCAACAAUUGAAAGAACAUGCAUGGAAUGGGUAUAUAUAUAUAUAUAGAUAAAUUGGAUUAAAGAUUGAGAAAUUAAUAAGUUGAGAUAUUAGUAAUAUUUAAUUGAGAAAUGGAUUUUGAGGUGGAAAUUGGAAGGUUGAAUUUGGGGAAUUUUGGAAUUGAGAAUUAUGGGUUAAUACUGAAAGAUGUAGGAUUAUACUAUGUAAGUACCAUCCCCUAGUUACUAGGCUUCCCAUACGUGGAGUUGGAAUUUCUGGCGUGUGGGAAGGAUAUAUGAUUAUUAGAUCUCACAUGCCGUUGGAUUUUCCAGCGUGAGACAGACCCCAUACGUGGGGUUGGAUUUUUCGGCGUAUGGGGAGAUUAUGUGAUGGUUAGGUCACACGUAGGGUGGGAUUUUCCAACGUGUUGACAGACCCCAUAAGUGGCGUUGGAUUUUCCGGUGUAUAGGGAGAUUAUGUGAUGGUUAGGUCACACGUGGCAUAGGAUUUUCCAGCGUGUUGACAGACCCCGUACGUGGCGUUGGAUUUUCAGCGUAUGAGGAGAUUAUGUGAUGGUUAGGUCCCAUGUGGCGUAGGAUUUUCCGGCGUGUUGACAGACUCCAUACGUGACGUUGGAUUUUCCGACGUAUGGGGAGAUUAUCUGAUGGUUAGGUCACACGUGGAGUAGGAUUUUUCAGCGUGUUGACAGACCCCAUACGUGACGUUGGAUUUUCCGGCGUAUGGAGAGAUUAUGUGAUGGUUAGGUCACACGUGGCGUAGAAUUUUCUGGCGUGUUGACAGACCCCAUAUGUGGCGUUGGAUUUUCCGGCAUAUGGGGAGAUAAUGAGAUGGUUAGGUCACACGUGGCAUAGGAUUUUCUGGCUUGUUGACAGACCCCAUAUGUGGCGUUGGAUUUUCGCGCGUAUGGGAAGGAUAUGUGAUUAUUAGGUCUCACAGGUGGCGUUGGAAUUUCCGGCGUAUGAGACACUAACAGUGAGAAGAGAAUGAGAUUAUUUUUCUAUAUCAGAGAAAGGUUAGAGUAUAAAAAGAAAUAUGUUUGGUGUGUGGUAAUUUAAAUUAAAACAGGGAAAGAUAACUUACCUGUACUACUGAAACAGUUGUGUAACAUUUGGAGCAUGAUUAUGGAGUGAAAGAACUACGUGUGGCUUGAUCUCUCAGUAAGGGUACGUAGGCAACCUAGGUGCAGUCGUAGACUAAACGUUAUUUAUGUUGUUUUAUUGAGAUUGGUUCUGACCCUGUCGUUGGUCCUGAAAUUCGGUUGAAAACUAGAUGCGAGUAAAUAAUUGUUCAUACUCCCGUUUCGUUGAGGGAGGAUUGUGUAAAUGUGUUCUGGUCAAGACAGGUAUAAGAACUCGUUUAGGAUUGAUGUACGAUUUGGGCUAAGGCCUUAAACUACUUGUUGUUGUAUUAGGAGAUUAAAACCUCGCAUGUGGGAUAAUUGGGAAAGUUAGAUGAUGUAAAGUGCACUUAGGCAUUCAUAUAUAUGUUUAAAUUUAUUAUUUGUCUUGCUUAACGUAAUUGUUUGACUUAUGGGCUUUAUUGGUGAUUUGCUUCAGAUUAUUUAAAGGCCGAAGGCCGUUUAUGUGAAUUGCAUUUUGAUACAUUGUGCAUGCUACUAGUUGUGGAUAUUAAAUGUGUUUUAUGCAGGUUGAAAUUUUUGGGAUUGUUCAAAUUACAGGGGAGACUGCCAAAAUUUUGAUAGAAAGUCUCGGUCAUUAGUAAGUGGGCCCGGCAUCGAGGUGAUGUCGGAAUUUACACAAGAUUCCUCUCGGGUUUUCAGGAAUUCGGGGCGGAUCCUGUUACUUGGGGUGCAAAUUAUCCAUUUGUUCACCCGUUUUCGUGUUUUACUUCUGAGGUGGAAGGGCGAAGUUUCCCACUGGCUUGGAGACCACUUGUUGGUCGACAAGUCAGCUUUCUUUGGUGUGUGUGAGCGUGCCACUGCUAGCAAUGUAAAUUCUAGCAGACUUAUUUUUUAGAGUGGAUAACUUGCGCCUCAAGUUACUGACUUCUAAAACAAAUGAUUGUGAAUUUGGGUGAGGAAUAUCUCCCAAGUAAGUUCUUUUCUUGCCUCAAACUGGUGAGGACUUUCACAAUUUAUCUCAGUAUCAAAUGGUUGUUCUGGCCAGAAUAGAUAAUAAUAAAGUAGACUGUUUCAGGCAGAACUGCCUUUUACAAAAUUAAGAAGGGAGAAAUCAACUCUAGAAAGGAAAAAAGAUGGCUGGAAUCCCAUUUCUGCCUGGGUAGAAACUUCUGAUCCGGGCUGGACUGGGUAUGUCUAUGCUGGACGGUGCUGUCAACAACUUUAGCUUGCUCGGCUUUAGUUGUAAAUCGAUACCAAAGUUCAAUUUUGGCAGAGCUUCAAUCUACUUCAAGCCUUGGGAGACUUUUGAGUGGGCAGAACUGCAGCUUCUUCAGUUUGAAGGGACAGAAGUGGCUAUUCUCGAGGAUUUAGCAAGCUGGAACUAUGCUAUAAAAUUUGUUGAGGUUUUCAUAUUUGUGAAAACUCAAACUAUGUUUGUCUUGGCUUUUGCUGAACCAAAUUUGUAACGAGAGGGAUCUUGUUUUCAGAAGACUUAUUUUCUAAGUCUGAACUUUGGAAUUCUGAUCUAAAGCUGUUUUCUUGUUUGUUUUUUUUUGAUUGACUGAUGAAUUGAGUGUCCUUUGUUUCUUUGCCUUCUUUCGCUUUUAUAAGAGAUCCUCCUAAGGAGGUCAUUUUUAAUCCUAAACAAUGGGCGGCAAAAAGAUCUCUUAUAAUGUAAAGUAAGAAGGGUUUCUUAUCAAUCAAGGCAGAUAGGUUCUGAGCAGUCACCUCCUAAAAACAGUCCAUUCCCUGGUUUCCUGGGUGGCAGCUUUCUAAUUCAACCAACGCCACCGUCUGUGUGGGCUUUUUAUGGCAGUUUUGGCUCUUUUCUUUUGUAUUUUCUGAGUGGUUCCCUGUUUCCCGUUCUAAUUUAGAAAGCGUGAUUCGUGAAUUCCUUGGGAGAUGGUGUAUUGAUUUGGAGCAAAAUCUUGAACACAGAUGGGUUUUUGAUCUUCAAUUGGCAGUGUUUCAGAGACGUCCCUCUCACAUUUUUAAACUUUAGUUGGAAUUGCUGACUUUUCCAAAGUUGAGGCAAUCACGUGGGUGUGUCUUUGAUCCCUUGGUUUUGAAUCUAUCGAAAAUUACGGGCUGAUCUUUGAAGCCCAUUUCGAAAGUUUCCACAUCUGGGCUUUCUUUGGGCUGAGGCUUUAUUUCCAACAUUCUUGGUGUGAAGCCCAAACUGUCUGGGUCUUAUUUUCGUUUUUCUCAAGUCUCUGGGCUGGGCAGGCAAUUUUAUCAUGGGCCUGUCUUCUGGUCUUGGGCGUGCCGAAUUUGGGCCCAAACAAUGCCCCCUAAGUCUGAAUCGUUUUGGAAUGGUUUCAGACUUAAUGUUUUGCCAUUUAAUUCACGUGCCAGUUUCUUCCGUGUUUUCGCCCACGUCUGCCACGUUUGCCUGCUACGAACUAGAGUUCGUGGGAAAACGGCUAGUUAUUAUCUAGUUACUAGCUAAUAAUCAUCAGGUGCCGUCCCAUCUUCUUCUUCCCACGUUUUCGAGCCCCUCUUUAAAAGAAAUUCAAAUUCAUAGCUUCUGAAAAAAGAAACCCUAAACCUUCCAGCUCUUGUUCCUGCGAGUUCUUUCUUCGAGAUUUCCAAAGCCUUCUUUAGACCUUCCUUUCUUCUGCUUCUUCCCUUGAAUCAGAAAUGUCUUCCCCAAGGUCCCGCGCUCAGUCUUCUUCCGCUUCAGUUCCUCCCGAUUAUAUCACUGGGAGCGGGAUUGAUGCUCACGCGAUAGAAAUCAGGAGCAAGCUUCAUCCCUUUGCCCAGAAGAAUCUGGACGAGAAUGUCCUCCAUUUGUUUGAGAACACCCUGGUGUUAGGGCCUCACUGGUUUGGUCCUGUUCCAGCUGAGAUGGCAGAAUUGCUAAAAAAGGAUGCCGAGGCUCCUUUGUGUUUUGAGAGCUCUUCUGCCCUGGCUUCUUAUUCUUGGGUUAGCAAGAAUUUGAGCCGGUCCUUCCCGUCCAGCGAGGUGAGGAAUAGUCUGGUCAAAUGGGCAGACUGGAUUGAUAGACUUCUCCCGAGAUAUGGGGGUCACUGGAGGAGAGCUGGGAUUUAUGACGCCAUUUUUCUGUCCAAACAAUCGAUUAACAGAGAUGAGAAUCUGCUUGCUGCUGCUUUAUGCUUCUGGAAUUCUGCCAGCAAUACAUUUGACUUCCGCGUGGGUCCUAUGGCGCCAACCUUGCUGGAUAUGGCUCAGAUUUUUGGGUUCAGGCCCCAUGGUAGGCCUGUUGAUGCCAUUGGAGAUUAUCACAGGCGAAGGAAUCAAGAGAAAGUGGCCACCCCUUUUACUAUCCCUCCAGCCGUGAUCAACCAGAACUGCUCUUUCUCCAACUAUCUGAAGAAGUUCAGUGCUGAUAAGGACAAGGAUCAGCAACAUAUGUUGUUCCUUCUGUAUUGGCUGAAUUGGUUCGUUCUCCCCAAUCGGUCUUCUGCAGUUCUGCUAGAGUACAGACACUUGGCAGAAGCACUCCACAAUCACACUGAUGUGGGGCUCGGGCCUACAGUUCUGGCUCACCUUUUCAAGAAUCUGCAUACUUCCACCCUGGAGAACCCAUUGAACCUGUCAGCCCCUGGCGCAUUCUGGAUGAUCCAGAUCUGGCUGCAGGUUUAUUUUCCAGAACUAAGGUUCCCAGACAUAGUUCUGCCUGAAGAUCAAGUCCUGGCUCUUCCUCUGAUGUCGGCAGAAGUGCCCAAGCAUUCUAUUGAGGAGUAUUUGAUGCUCUUCAGGCAUUGUACAAAGAGGUCGGCAGCUCAGUGGCAAGUGGUGAUCAGGAGGACCUAUCCUUGGUUCCAGACCGGAUUUCGGUUGUUUGAGAAGGAGCCAGAAGAUGAAGCUGCCAGAACAGAUUUCAGGAGGAAAUUUCUGAGCAUUACUCUGCCCAGAGAUCUACCCCAUGGUGGGGGCAAACCUCCAAACUAUCAUCUGGGGGCAGAAGUCUACCAUCCCAACUUCUGCGCGAGGCAGCUUGGUUGUCCCCAACUCAUUCCGCUGAAAUCAUAUCGGAGUUGUAACCGGGCCUCUUCUUGGAGGGAUGCAGAUGAUCUGGAGGUGCACAAGGAUGCCCGGUGUGCAGUGAACAAAAUCAACAACAGCACGGAUGCCCUCUAUCCCUCGUGGGAGCUGAAUUCCUGCAGUUCUGCCGACUUUGACGCAUGGUGGAAAGCCAGAUUCCAAAGUCUGCCUGCUUCUGUCACUGCCCUCAAGGUGCUGUUUGAUGGUUGGGAAAACUGGGUCGUUUUUGCGAAUGGGGAUGCCAAGACGCAUAUGAUCCAGACCAUCAAGGAUAUUAACGCGCAAAUUAUAGAAGGUAGAUUUCUGAUUCUGUAUGGGGUUCGUUCUGUCCUGAUGAUUGAUUUCUAAUGUCUAUUCUGCCUGUAUCAGAUCCUUCUUUGACCAGCGUAGGUGGGCAGUCUGUUCAUGCUGGGGAAGUGAUUGGUAAGUCUUUUCUUUUAAUUCUAUUCUGUCUUUUCCUGCUGGAUUGGUCUCUAAUGUCUAAUGCCUUGGUGCAGUCUCUUCCGUUAUUGCUGCCGGGGACUUGGAGCUCCCUUCUGCGGAUGAAGGAGAUGAGGUCCAGACAGAACAAACACCUACCGAGGCCGCUCUUUCUGGCAGAAGAAAAAGGAAAGGACCUGCCCCUCCUUCGGAUAAUCCCACGCGGCCUGGUAUUUCAGGUAAGCUCGUGAUGUUCCAACCAUUCUCUUUAAAUUUAUUAUGUCUUGCCUUCUUUUCCCUAAUACUGCUUUUUGUUCUGUGCAGCUGGAAGUCCUUCCCCUCCUCCUACCAAGUUGAAAAAACUUAAAAAGAGGAGUGAGGAGGAGUAUGUCGCCGCGGAAGAGACGGCAGCAAUUCCCACCACUACCUCCGGGACGGAUGAAGAGCUGCGAGAGGCUUUUGAGGAGGUGGAGCAGGAAAAAGAAUUGGAAGAGCUGGAAGAAACGCCUCAGGAAAAAACGGCAGUGGCGGAAGGAGAGGUAAGUUUUAUUUCUGUGAUUCGCAUCAGUUCCCUUCUCGCCCUGUUUCUUCCGUUCUGACCCUUAUUUUGUAGGAGAAGAUCCCUGCUGAGGUGAUUGCAGAGAGCAUUGCCUUGGCGCAGAAGCAACAAGGGGGUCCAAGGGCUGAGCGGACUAGCUCAGAACUAGCCCUAUUUGAGGAUGCUGAGGCAGAGCAUUCUACUGCCGUUCCAGCGGCUGAGGAUCAGGCGGAACGGUCUGCAUCAGAGCCUGUGGAUCAGGCAGAGCUGUCUGUUGUGGUUCCGGAGGCUGAAGUGGAAACAACCGCCGCUGCCCCUGUGGUUGUGGUAACUUUCUUUCUUUAUCUGUCCACACUCUCCUGCAUUUCUGCCUUGUUCUUUAUUUUUAACUGUUGUAGCCUUUUCAGGUAGAAGUGCCUAAAGCUGUUGGCGUCCUGGCAGCGGUUACCAGUCCCCAGAAGCCUCCCAUUGUUGCUGUAAGUUUUCAUAACUUUUGGGCCUUUAUUUUCCACUUUCUGCCUGGUCUUACCUUAUGCUUUCUUCUUGCAGAUGCCAAUUCAUUCCCUUCCAGGAUCAUCUGCCACGGCUUCUUUUGCUGAUCCAGAACUCGAAGAGUUUGAAGCCAUGGAUCUGGAUGCCCAAUUGGACAGAUUGGAGAAACUCAGCUCUCCUCCAGGCAAGGCAAAAUCUAGGGCAGUGGAGGAGGCCAUGGAGAGGUUGAAAAUCUGGCAGUCUAAUGAGCUGGAGUUUGAUCAAGACAAUGAAGCCUUAAAUCAGCUGAUGAAGGACCUGGACCUGCUUCACAGACAGAACAUGGCUCCAAAACCUAUCCUUGAGAUGGGCCUAAGCUUGGCCAGAGAUGUGCUCAAUCUGCAUGAUCGCUAUGAGGAUCUCAGGCCUACUUUCAAGACUUCUGAAUUCUGCAAGGCCACUCAUGAAGCCAACCUGGCUGAUUUUGCAAAGCAGAAAGCAGAACUGGAUCAGAUGGUGGCCGGAUAUAAGGAAGCCAGGGCCACUGCGGACAAGCUGGAGAAGCCGAUGGAAGAGCUCCAAAAACAACUGGCAGAAUGCAGGGAGGUGCAGAGCAGGCUUGGGGCUGGACUGAGUUCUAAAACUAAGGCCACUUUCCUUGUGCAAAGUAUGGUUGCAGCUUCCAGGACAGCCUUGGAGAUUGCAGAGGCUUCAAUUCACCAGGGGGUGCUGCUCCAGAAAGAGCUUUCUGUCAAGAAAGCGAACCUGCAGGAGACUCUUAGAAAACUAGGAUUUUAGCUUCUUCUUUCCUUUUAUUGUUCGAAUAAUUUGCCGCAAAGGUGGCUAUUUUUAUAUAAGCUUUCAAAGCAUUUUACUGCUUUUCAUUUAUUCUUGAUGCAAUAACUGGAUACGGCUUUGAAAGUAAAAAACAGAACAACUUUAAAGCAAAAAUAAAUCUAAACAAAAUUCUUUUCAAGAAACAAAAAGGUCAAACUUGUUCCUCUUCUAUCCCGGGAUCUGUUUAUACAGCCUGCGAAUCCCACGUGGUUGGAUAGAACUUCUUUAACCAUUUACCAUUGAUUGGGGCAAAAUGAACAACUCCAUCUCGGUCCUGCAACCUGUAUGCCCCCAUUCCGAGGAUUUGGUUAAUUAUAAAAGGGCCUUCCCAUGUAGGUGACCAUUUCCCAUAUCCAGCUAUGUGUGCUCCAAGGGGCAGAAUUGCCUUCCAGACUAUCUCUCCCUCUUCAAAACUCUUGUUUUUGACUCUUUUGUUGUAGGCCCUUGAUACAGCCUGUUUUCCUGCUAAGAGUUUGUUGAGGGUGUCAAUUCUGCUUGCAUCCAAUUCUUCCAAUUCCAGCAACAUGGCUUGAGAGUAAUCCUCCCCAGUGAGACCAUGCUGGUGAGCAAUUCUAAGAGACUGGACCGCUAUCUCCAUGGGAAGAAUUGCAUCGUGGCCGUAGGUUAGAGCAUAGGGGGUCAUGCCAGUUGCUUCUCUCUUUGAAGUUCUGUAUGCCCACAAAGUUUCUGAUAACUUCUCAUGCCAUUACUUUGGAUUCUUCUCUAGCAUCUUUUUGAUGAUAUUGAUAAUCACCUUGUUACUUGAUUCCACCUGUCCAUUAGCUUGAGCAUAGUAAGGAGUAGAUUGAAGCAGUUUGAACUUGAACGUUUCUGCCAUAUCUAGCAUGUCCCUAGAUAUGAAAGAAGAACCCCUAUCGGUUGUGAUUGAUUCUGGAAUGCCAAACCUUUGUAUGAUCUGUUCUUCUAUAAAGGUGAUGAUCUCUUGAGAUGUUGUGGUUUUUACUGGCUUGGCCUCUACCCACUUGGUGAAGUAAUCUGUGGCAACGAUAAUGAAACAGUGCUGCUGGUUGCUGGCUGGAUAGAUUUUGCCAAUGAGAUCCAUUGCCCAUCCCCUGAAAGGCCAUGGUUUUACUACUGGAUUCAUGGGAACCGAAGGAGCCUGCUGGAUUGGGCCGUGCCUUUGACAGGCUUCACAUCCUUUGGAGUAGUUGAUGCAAUCCUUCAUCAUGGUUGGCCAGAAGUAGCCAUACCUUCUGAUUAACCAGCACAUCUUUCUUCCCCCUUGGUGAGCUCCACAGAUCCCCUCAUGGGUUUCUCCCAUGGCUUUCAUAUAUUCUGUCUUCCCGAGGCACCUUAAUAGUACCUCAUCCUUACUUUUUCGGACCAAAUCUUCAUUCCACAUGAGGUAGUUUGUAGCCAUGAUUCUGACUCUUUUCUUAGAGGGCAGAGUGGGAUAUCGUAAGUAAGUCAUGAUAGGCUCCCUCCAAUCAUCUUCAGUGAUCAAGGCAGAAUUGACUUCUAUCUCCAUUCCUCUCGUCAAAACAGAUGGUAGACUUUUCCUUCCUAUCUUGAUGAUCCUUUGGACGCAGUCUUCGGGCAUUUGUAUGCCUGAUGCCACCUGAGCCAGUUCAUUGGCUGCAAAGUUUUCCUCCCUUGGGAUGUUCUCCCAAGUAGCUUCUCUAAAUUCUGUUAGCAGAUUUCUAGCUGCUACUAGAUAUACAGCCAGAGAAGGAUUCAGACACUUAUAUUCUCCAGCAAUCUGUUUUAGGACAAGCAUGGAAUCUCCCAAGAUCUCCACGGACUGGACUCAUAAUUCUACCAACAUCUCGAGCCCUAUAAUCAAAGCCUCAUACUCGGCCAUGUUGUUGGUGCAUUGGAAAUCUAGCUGGAAGGAAUAGCAAUGUCUGACCCCUAAUGGUUCUUCCAGAACAAUCCCUGCUCCUGAAGCCUUGUCUGUCUUUGAUCCAUCAAAAUAUAACUUCCAAGGUGUGAGAUGAAUCGAGUAGAUUGGAUUGUUAAGGCAAACAUGAGCUCUAGUUAGCAGAUCUGCAUUUGCUAUGUCCAAAGAAUCCAUGUUUUCAAUUUCCUCUCCCGAGUGAUCUACCAAGAAGUCUGCCACAGCUUGCCCUUUGACAGCUUUCUGGGGGACAUACCUGAAGGUGAAUUCUGUCAAAGCCAAAGUCCAUUUCCCAAUUCUGCCCCUCAGCAUUGGUCUUGUUAGCAUGUAUUUGAUUAAGUCUGUUUUGGCAAUGAUGUAGAUAGUAUGUGGCAGCAUGUAGUGCCUGAGCUUUACAGCAGUGAAAUAUAAGGCCAGGCAAAGCCUUUCUAUUGCGGAAUACCUUCUUUCCACUUCUGUCAAUGUUCUGCUUAGAUAGUAGGCUGCCUGUUCUUUUCCUUCUUUGUUAUCUUGAACUAUUAGACUUCCAAUGGAUACUUCUGAUGCAGAUACAUAAAGCUUGAGGGGUCUGCCCCUUUUUGGUGGGGACAGAACUGGUGGAUUUGAGAGGUAAUGCUUUAUUUCCUGGAAAGCCUGUUGGUGCUGUUCUUCCCAUUUGAAUGUCUGUUCCUGCUUCAGUCUUAACAGGGAAGAAAAAGGUUGGAUUUUUCCUGCAGAAUUGGAUAUGAAUCUCCUUAGAAAAUUGAUUUUUCCUAAGAGACUUUGAAGUUCCUUCUUGUUCUGAGGUGGUAGAGCUUCUAUGAUGGAUGUUGCUUUAUUUCUGUCAACCUCUAUACCUCUCUGGUGGACCAAGAAUCCUAAGAAAUUCCCUGCUUGGACUCCAAAAACACAUUUUUUGGGGUUCAUUUUCAGUUUGUGCUGCCUCAUUCUUAGGAAUGCCCUUCUCAGGCUUGCUACGUGAUUUCCUUCCUCAGGGGAUUUAAUCACCACGUCAUCUAUGUAUACUUCCAAGGAAUGUCCUAUCAUAUCAUGAAAAAUAGAAUUCAUUGCCUUUGGUAGGUGGCUCCCGCAUUUCUCAAACCGAAAGGCAUUACAGUAUACUCGAAAGCACCUAUAUGUCCUGGACACAUAAAGGCUGUCUUGUGGAUGUCCUGUUCUGCCAUCAUGAUCUGGUUAUAACCUGCAUUGCCGUCCAUGAAAGAUAGCAUCUGGUUAUGAGUGGCUCCAUCCACUAGCAUGUCUGCCAUUGGCAUAGGAUAUUCGUCUUUAGGAGAUGCCUCAUUCAGAUUUCUGUACAAUAUUUGCUAACCAAUCGGAAUAGACGGCUGGCCUGAUGAAUCCUGCCUUGAGCAGCCUUUCUAUCUCUUCUUUGACCUUUAGUUCUGUGUCCAUAGACAUUCUUCUUCUGGCCUGUUUGACUGGAAGGUAGCCAUCUUUAAUUGGCAGCUUGUGCUCCACUCACUGCCUGUCCAAUCCUGGCAUUUCGUGGUAAUGCCAGGCAAAACAAUCUCUGAACUCCUGUAAAAGUGCCAUGAGUUCAGUCUUGAGUGGUUCCUUCAAAAGUGUGCUGAUGAAAGUAGGCCUUGGAUCUUCUUCUGUUCCUAAGUUUAUCUCCUGUAGAGGAUCCUCUACUUCUGGCAGGGAGUCAUCCAGUGCUGCUGGUGCAAAAUCUAAUACUUCCUCCUGUAAAAUUUCCUCCUCUUGCUCUUUUGUGCUUUCAUGGGUGAAUUCUGCCAUAUUGAUGGCUGGAUUCUGUAUGAAAAGCCUCCUUUCUCCCCAGUAUAUCAACAAUCUUUUUGUGAUGGAUCGGAUUGUUGCAGCUCGAUCCUUGUCUAGUUGAUUCGGACUAAACAUCAGAGUUCUGGAAGUUCAGCACAAAAAGGUCUAUUCCAGUCCUCUAGAGAACUGGCUAAACCUUCUUCAAUGAGUCUUUGGGCCGUGACACCAUGUGGACGGCCGUUCUGAUUGACUCCAAGGAAAGUGAAAGGACCGAGGUCAUCAUGAUAAUACCUUGUUUCAAAGCACAUGGCAGAGGGCAGGAAUGGCCGUGGAUCAGCCUCUAUAAUCUCCAUGCAGCCUUCUUCAUUCCAUAGUGCUAACUGCGGGUGGAGGGUGGAAGGAAUACAAAGGCUCUGGUGAAUCCAAUCCCUGCCAAGUAGUGCAUUGUAGGUGGUGGAAGUAGUGUCUAUAACAAAGAAUGCUAUUUUCAACUCUUUGCUUCCGAUUAUGACAUCCACAUCUAAGAUGCCAUGUAUUUUGGUGAUGCAACCAGAAGUUGGUGACGGUCAAUCGUGUUGGAAUCAGAUCUUUCUCUGUCCUGCCCAGCUUGGUCAGCAUUCUGUGGGGUAAUAGAUUAAUGGCUGCACCUCCAUUUACCAUGAUCUUGGAAAUAGGAAUACCCCCAAGAUUUGCCGUUAUAAACAAAGGUCUGAGGUGAAACAAGGUUGCUCUGUAGCUGGUUUAUUGGCUGUUCUGCCUGUCUUGGGGUUUUCUGCUUGUGGUUCUGGUGGCUCCUCUGCUUCUGCCAAUCUACAUUCAAAGCUUUCCUGAGAGAAAACAUCCCCUUCCAGAGUGCUUUCUUGUCCUUCGGCUGCCCUGAAUUUACUUGGUAGGAUGAAUACCAUGUUAAUUCCCAGAUCACCCUGUAGGAGGUCUUCUAAUUCUGCGCCAAAAGCUUCUGUUUCUGGGUCCAAUUCUACACCAAAUUCCAUUAAUUCUUCCCCGUAUUCUUCCGUCCAGUCAUCCUGUUCUGCUACUUCGAGGGGCUCUUUCUGAUCAUCUGCGGAAGGUUCAUAGUCCAAUUGCUCUUCUUCAUAUUCCUCAGUGUAGUCGUCUUCUCCUUGUAACGGGGUAGACCCAGAUUUCUCUGGUGUCUGCGUGGUGUCAGGACGGCUGCUGGACGACGAGGCCACAUGGAUAGGAGACCUGGCUGGGGGUUCUGUUUUCAGCAAUUCCCUUGACUGGCAAGCUUUCUGUUCUGUCUGGGGAAGUGUUUCAGGAUUUUUUCCUUUCCUAGCAGAACUGGGUUGUGAACGUACCUGCGUAUUAUCUUGGCUCUUAAGAUAUGUGCAGUAUUGCCUCUGGAUUCUCCUUUUCUGGGUUCUGGUUAGCUCCAGAGUCGGUCUACCGCUUCUUCCUACGGAAUACCAUCUCCCUUCUAUGAUCGUUGCCAAGGAUCUUUCGUUUCUGGGCAUCUUGACUGGUAUUUCCUUUCUGGGUUGCUCCAUCCUCCUCUCGCUGUAUUGUGUAGGCCUAAGACAGCUCUUCUGCCUUGUUUUGUCUCGGGAUGAGGUUCCAAUUCUGUCAAAGACACUAGGUGUGGGCUGAUUUUGUCUGUCUAGAACCACCUCUAGCUCUGUUUCACAUUUGCACCUACUGCAGAGCACUACCCCAGCCGAGAUGGUCGCUCUUGGUAUUUGACUGGUCUCCCUUAUGAUUCUUCUGCCUCUGCUGCAACCAGCAUCUGUGAUUGGCUCGGUUUUCCUCUGUUCUGGCCAAUUUAAGUUGACCAUAUUGACUUGUGGUUGAGGAAAAGGAUCCGUUGUGACGGAUGGUGGUUUUUCUGCCAGUUUCAACCUUCCUGCCGUUAUCCCUUCUUGUAUUACGUCCCUGAAAACAACACAACUAUUGGUAGAAUGGUUCCAAGAGUUGUGCCACCUGCAGUACUGUCUGCCCUUGAGUUCUUCCGGCUUCGGUAUUCUGUGAGGCGUCUCUAUUGCCUUCUACAGUAGCAUUUCGUGGAACAAGGCAUCAACCUUGGUUAAGUCAAAAGAGUAAACCUUGUUUUACGUUGGUUUGUUUGGAACGAAUCCUCCUGUGAAUGGUGGUGGCUUUUGGUCUUUAGGUGGCUUUGUGAGGGCUUUGCAACUAAUGGGAUGUUUUAGUUUUGCCAUUUCUGCCACUGAAACCUCUUUCUCUUCUGAUUCUUCUGCAUCUUCUUGUGAUUCCACCUCGAUCAGGUGGACUGAAGAAGAAGGGGUUUUAUAGUAUGUACCUUUGGAGGAGUUCCUCCUUUGCUGUUCCUCCCUGAGUAACUCCUCAUAUUUGGAUGCCUUAUCAGCCAGUUCUGCCAGAUCUCCGAACAAUAUCCCGUCGAACCUUUUCCUGAGAGAGAUUUUAAGGGCAACUUGGGCCAUCUGGAUGAAGUGUCUUUCUUCCAUCGGGAUUCGGCACUUCAUUUUGAGCUUUCUGAACCUGGUUAUGAAAUCUUGGGCCGGUUCAUCUUCACUUUGCUUGAGGGCAGCUAGAUCACUGAUGGUGACUUCUGGCUGAAUCCUGUAAUAGUAGUCAUGGAAGACAUUUUCCAUCUGUUCCCAGGUUUGAACAGAGUUAGCUGGCAGGCUGGUGUACCAGGUAAAAGCUUGCCCAAAAAGAGAGUUGCCGAAAAGCCUUAAUUUCAGCAGAGGGUUGCUUUCUAUAGCUAUGCAUUGGACGGAGAACCUGCCUAUAUGUUCAACUGAGGAAGAAUGGGGGUCUUCCCCAUUGAACAAAGUGAAGUUUGGCACUUUGAAACCUGGAGACAACAGUAUUUGAUCGAUAUAGGCUGGGUAUGGCUUUCUGUAAGUAGGCCUUUCCCCUAUUCUAGCCUCGGGUUCCAUGAUUUCUCUGAUCAUUCUUUGCAACGCUCCUAUGUCAUUCAAAGCAUUGACUGGGGGAAGAUUUUGUCCCUGUUCUGGCUGAACGUAAUCAAACCUGGGCUCUGCUCUGUGUGGUCUGGGUGGAACUUCCUCCCUGUGUUCUUCCUGCUCUUCGACUUCUGGAUGAUUCCUCCAGUUUGCCCCCGGUCUAUUCCUGUCAUGAUUAGCAAAAAGGUUGUUCCCUCCUCGGCCUCUCCUCCUUCUUGCAAGUGGAGGGAAUGGAUUAGGGUCCAUCCUUCUGGGUCUAUAUGGCAAUACUGCCGGUGGUUCAGGCAGAAGCGCCAAAGGUUGAUCAUGUGGGAGCACAUGAAGUGGAAUGGGCUGAGGUUCUGGCUGGUUCUGAGCCAGUGCCAGGUUAUCUGGUUGAGCUGGGGCUUCAUGUUUUUGAUUAGGAAGGGCUCCUUCCCUCGGACCAGCCUGAAUUUCUCCGUGGUCUGGCACUCCAGCCAUCUGUGCAACUAGGAAAUUUUCCUGGUAUGGCCAUAUUAGUCCUGGCGGAGGGCCAUAAGGGAGAUCCAACUGCUGGAUUACAGGAUCUGGGUUUGGGUUUCUGGCCAUGGCGGAUUCUCGGUCCUUCCGGAACUGUCUGUUUACCUGCCAUUACAUCAUGGCUGUCAUGUUAUUGAGAGUGUCCUGGCUCCUUCGUACUGUGAUCUCUUGUCGGAGUACUGACUCCUGUAUUUGAUUCAUCCUUUUGGAGCCAGUCCUGGAACGUCUACUUCCUGUACUGCCGUGGGCAGAUUGCCUAGCAUCGCUUUUUUCUGAUUCGAGGCCUUCCCUGAGAACCAUCUUGUUUUUCUCCAUAUCUGGUGUGGGUUCUGACUAGAUCUUCCGGUAUUUGUGAAUCUGUGAAUGAUUCUGUCAGAGUAUAUAUACUGAGAAGUCCCACUGGGUGUGCCAAAUUAUUCACCCGUUUUCGUGUUUUACUCCUGAGGUGGAAGGGCGAAGUUCCCCACUAGCUUGGAGACCACUUGUUGGUCGACAAGUCAGCUUUCUUUGGUGUGUGUGAGCGUGCCACUGCUAGCAAUGUAAAUUCUAGCAGACUUAUUUUUUAGAGUGGAUAACUUGCGCCUCAAGUUACUGACUUCUAAAACAAAUGAUUGUGAAUUUGGGUGAGGAAUAUCUCCCAAGUAAGUUCUUUUCUUGCCUCAGACUGGUGAGGACUUUCACAAUUUAUCUCAGUAUCAAAUGGUUGUUCUGGCCAGAAUAGAUAAUAAUAAAGUAGACUGUUUCAGGCAGAACUGCCUUUUACAAAAUUAAGAAGGGAGAAAUCAACUCUAGAAAGGCAAAAAGAUGGCUGGAAUCCCAUUUCUGCCUGGGUAGAAACUUCUGAUCCGGGCUGGACUGGGUAUGUCUAUGCUGGACGGUGCUGUCAACAACUUUAGCUUGCUCGGCUUUAGUUGUAAAUCGAUACCAAAGUUCAAUUUUGGCAGAGCUUCAAUCUACUUCAAGCCUUGGGAGACUUUUGAGUGGGCAGAACUGCAGCUUCUUCAGUUUGAAGGGACAGAAGUGGCUAUUCUCGAGGAUUUAGCAAGCUGGAACUAUGCUAUAAAAUUUGUUGAGGUUUUCAUAUUUGUGAAAACUCAAACUAUGUUUGUCUUGGCUUUUGCUGAACCAAAUUUGUAACGAGAGGGAUCUUGUUUUCAGAAGACUUAUUUUCUAAGUCUGAACUUUGGAAUUCUGAUCUAAAGCUGUUUUCUUGUUUGUUUUUUUUUUAUUGACUGAUGAAUUGAGUGUCCUUUGUUUCUUUGCCUUCUUUCGCUUUUAUAAGAGAUCCUCCUAAGGAGGUCAUUUUUAAUCCUAAACAAUGGGCGGCAAAAAGAUCUCUUAUAAUGUAAAGUAAGAAGGGUUUCUUAUCAAUCAAGGCAGAUAGGUUCUGAGCAGUCACCUCCUAAAAACAGUCCCUUCCCUGGUUUCCUGGGUGGCAGCUUUCUAAUUCAACCAACGCCACCGUCUGUGUGGGCUUUUUAUGGCGGUUUUGGCUCUUUUCUUUUGUAUUUUCUGAGUGGUUCCCUGUUUCCCGUUCUAAUUUAGAAAGCGUGAUCCGUGAAUUCCUUGGGAGAUGGUGUAUUGAUUUGGAGCAAAAUCUUGAACACAGAUGGGUUUUUGAUCUUCAAUUGGCAGUGUUUCAGAGACGUCCCUCUCACAUUUUUAAACUUUAGUUGGAAUUGCUGACUUUUCCAAAGUUGAGGCAAUCACGUGGGUGUGUCUUUGAUCCCUUGGUUUUGAAUCUUUCAAAAAUUACGGGCUGAUCUUUGAAGCCCAUUUCGAAAGUUUCCACAUCUGGGCUUUCUUUGGGCUGAGGCUUUAUUUCCAACAUUCUUGGUGUGAACUGGACUAAACAGUUAGUCGGACCAGACCGUCUACACAUAUGAACUGGACUCACAAGCCUAUGUUUUUUGAGCUCCCAUAUUGGUCGAAACUCAAAUUGAGGCACAAUCUAGAUGUGAUGCAUGUUGAGAAAAAUGUAUUUAACACAUUGGUGGGCACGAUUCUAGAUAUCGAGGGCAAGACAAAGGACACAAUCAAAGCCCGUCUUGAUUUGGAAAGAAUGGGCAUACAAAGGGGUUUAUGGAUGAACAGGGACAGUGAUAAAGCUAGAAGGGAUCUUGCAUUCUUUUCUAUGAAACCGAAUGAUAAAAAAGAGUUUCUAAAGUUUGUAUCGUCUGUAAAGUUUCCUGAUGGGUAUGCUUCUAAUAUCGCACAUUGCGUGAAUGUUGACGAGGGUAAAUUUACUGGACUGAAGAGCCAUGACUGCCAUGUGUUUAUGCAACGCCUACUUCCUGUGGGUAUUCGACAUCUAUUGCCGGAAGAUGUUGUGAAGCCAAUCAUGUUGUUGUCCAGAUUUUUUUCCCAACUGACGGCAAAAACAUUGCGAAAGACAGACAUAUUUCAGUUGCGCCAUGACAUUGUCCAAGUCCUAUGCAAGUUUGAGAUGAUAUUUCCUCCAGCUUUCUUCACAAGUAUGAUGCACGUGAUGGUUCACUUGCCAGAAGAGGCAUUGCUUGCUAGUCCUGUCAACUAUCGCUGGAUGUAUCCAAUAGAAAGGUAUAUAAUCUUUAUCGUUUGUGUAUGCAUCAUUAUCACAGACUUGCUAAUUUGUAUCAUAUCGUUUUAUUUUGACAGGCUUCUCGGAGAGCUGAAAAAAAGUGUACGCAACAGGGCGAAGCCCGAAGGAUCAAUUAUAGAGGCUUGGGUUCAAUAUGAGUCGCUUACUUUCUGUGGAAUGUAUUUAAAAGAUGUGGAGACGGCUUUCAAUCGUCCUCAACGCAAUAACGACGAAGGUAUGAGAAAGGAAAAACUUUCUGUUUUUGCCCAAAGUGCACGACCCUUUGGAGAUCCUGGACGAGGAGAGUCGUUUUCUAGAAAUGACAUGGAGGUAGCGCAUUGGUUCGUACUGAACAAUUGUGAUGAGAUAAUGGCAUACUUAGAUAAGCAUGAAGAGAUGAUGAAGCGAGAACAUCCAUCACAUUUAGUUGCCCAGAAACACCGUGAAUUGUUUCCACAAUGGUUUUUGGAUUCUGUAAGUUAUAAGUGUUUUGUAUUUGACAAAUAUAAAUUGUAGUAUUUAAUUUUGUCAGACUAACAUGUGAAUGGUUUUGUAUUAUAUUAGGUGAAUAAGUUGAAAUCAUCGAAUUCCCCCACUUACAGUGAUGAGUUAUAUAACUUGGCGUUCGGCCCAAUUCGCGCUGAAUUGUUUCGGGUUGUUAUAUUAAUGGCGUCAAAUUUUUGGGAGCCGCACGAGAUGACAAGUUGUGUAUGCAAAACAGCGGUGUCCAUGUCCCAGGUGGAGGCGAAAGUACGAACAUUGAUUUCUAUGGCAAACUCACAACUGUCAUUCAAUUGCUUUACAAAGAUCGAUACUAAGUGAUCAUGUUUAAGUGUCGAUGGUUUGAUAGCAACCCAAAUAGGCCGGGAAGUGUUAAAAUCAACCAUGGCUUACUAUCUGUGAACAUUAACAGAACUUGGUAUGAUGACGACCCUUACAUUUUGGCAAACAUGGCAACACAAAUUGUGUAUCUAGAUGACCCUAAAGCCGGGAGCAGUUGGAAAGUUGUUCAGAAGAUGGAUCAUAGGAACUUGUAUGCUAUACCAGAACUAGACCCAACUGACAAUGACGUCAACAAUGUGGCUGACCAACGUUUAGAAUCUUCAAUGGAAAAUGAUGCGGAAACACUUCGAGAUACACAUGUUAUACAAGAACCGUUUCAAAUACAAGGAGUGUCUUCAAUCGAAAUACCGAUUCAGUCAAUUACAAUUGACCUCGGGGAUCUUCCAAGAUUCGAUGUUGCAGUGAGCCCGAGCAACGAAGAUGAUGUAGUUAUAGAGGAGGAGGAGGAGGAUUGGGAGACUGAAAGUGAUGAUAGCGAAGAUAACGAAAGUUAUUAUAGUUCAGAUGAUGAAUAAUUAAAUUUUUUAUAUUUUUAUUAUGCUAGUGUACAGACUUUGUGUAAAACAAAAGUUUGAAUAUAUGUAGUUGUGAUAUCCAAACCUUAUAUAUGUGGACAACUGAAACAUUAUUAAAAUAAAUUUAGUUAUAAAACAUCGGUAAAUCAAUAUAUCCAAACCCUUUUAAUAUUCAUUUAAAAUUUUUUUUUUUGACAAAAACGUUUACAAAAUGAAAAUGAUAAAAUAUUUGUUAUAAAACAUUGAUAAAUAAAUAUAUCCAAACCAUUUUCAUACAAAGUUUGAAAAUUAUUGACAACAAACAUUUUUCAAAAAUGAAAAUCCUUGCGCGACGAAGUACACCUCGUCACGCAAAGUUUGCGCGACCCAGUAAACAGUCGUUGUGUAAAGUUAAAACAUUGCGAGACAAAUUAUCAUCCGUCACGCGAUAGAAUUUUGCGCGACGAAUAUUUACUCUCGUCGCGCAAAUGUAUAUUCUUUUAUAAUAUAUUUUAUAUACACAUAUAUAUUCGAAAUUGACGAUCGAGUUAGUUCAUUGUAUUCAUAUAGGGUCAUGGAGUGUAGCUGUAAAAAAUCAUCAAAAUCGGAGUUAAAAUAACUGUUAAAUCAUGACUUUUCAUUUAUAACCGUUCAAAAAUUUUGUCCCGAUACUUGAUCUCUGAAUGUUUUUUUUUUCCGAUUUUUGGGGCCUAAGAUCUCGAAGUAUAAACAAACACGUUUGACGGCUGGAUUAUUGAAACUACUUUCGUAGAAUGCGUAUGCCAUCAAAACUAUAUAUUCACCAACAAUGAAUAGUUUACUUAUACUUUCAUUAAAUAUAACAUAAGAUUAUGUGGUAUCACCCUAGUGUAAACAUCUUAAAUUGAAGAUCAAAUUCAGUAAUUGUAUUCAUAUAGGGUCAAGAAAAGUAGCUAUAAAAAAUCAUCAAAAUCGGAGUUAAAAUAACCGUUAAAUCAUGACUUUUCAUUUAGAUUCGUCGAAAAGUUUUGUACUGUUACUUGAUCUCUUAACGUUUUUUUUGUCAGAUUUUCGGCGUAUACGAUCUCGAAAUAUAAAAAAACAAGUUUGCCGGUUAGAUCAUUAAAACUAGUUUCGGGUUUAGGAUUUCUGCAGUUUAGGGUUUAGGGUUUGCGCGACGAAGCCAUUUCGUUGGUCGCACAAAGCCUGCAAAGAACAGUCUUGCGCUACGAAACUAGGAUUCUUUGUCACGCAAUCUCAACCAGCCCUUUCACCCUCUUCCUCCUUGGACACUUAGCCAAAAAAAGUUGCGAGUUUACAGAAAGCGGCUUUGCGCGACGCUGCCGGUAUUCGUCGCGCAAUAUGUAUGCCAAUAAAACCUAAAUCCCAAAUUUUGGCGAAUUACAACUUUGCGCGACGAAUAUGGGAAGCUUCGCGCAAAGUUUUCAAUCUUUCCCGCUAAACCCUAAGUCCCAAAAUUUUGGCGGAUUGACAACAUUGCGCCACGAAAGAAGGUACUGUGCGUCGCACAAAGUUUUCAAUCUCUCCCGCUAAACCCUAAGUCCCAAAAUUUUGGCGGAUUGACAAUAUUGCGCGACGAAAGAAGGUACUGUGCAUCGCGCAAAGUUUUCAAUCUCUCCCACUAAACCCUAAGUCCCAAAAUUUUGGCGGAUUGACAACAUUGCUCGACGAAAUAUGGUACUGUGCGUCGCGCAAAGUUUUCAAUCUCUACCCAAUAUUUUGCCGGAUUGACAACAUUGUGCGACGAAAGACGAUACUGUGUGUCGCGCAAAAACUACCCUGAUACCAAAUUUUGGGAUUAACAAUAUUGCACGACAGAAGUUAUACUUAUGUCGUCGCGCAAGUGUCAAUUAAAAUAUUUUGCGUGACGCUUUUGUUUGUUCGUUGCGCAAAAUCGAAUAAAAUUGCAGAAACGACGCGAUAGCCUCCUUCUUCCCCAGAUUUGUUUUUCUACCCUAACUCUCUCUCUCUCUCUCCGCCUUCAGCUCAGCCCCCUACCCCAGUGGAUUUUGGACGACGGCGCCACAACAGUGGUACCCCGGAGGUUUCCCGCCGUCACCGUCGAGCCAGCCGCCCUAAUUCCUCGAUUUUCACCGAAUCUGCGCCGCCGUCGUUCUCUCUCCUUCGGCGACCAAAUCCGACACCUGAGGUAUGGUUUCUGUCCUAUUUUUGAUGCUUUAACUGAUGGUUGGGUAGGAUUUGUGUAAUUGUUGCAAUAGGGCAGUGGAUUUGAAACCCUAAAUUUCGACCGAUUUUUGAAUUCCAAUUCCGGCCACUUCUGGCCAUUUUUCAGGGUAGGUCCGAGAACAAAAGUGGCUCCAAUUGAUGUUUUGAACCUAGGGUAGGAACCUUGGCCCUUAGUUUUAAGAAAUUUUCGACGAUUGGUAUCGCUUUGGACACCCACGCUCUGCCAGCGCUUGUGGUGGCGCGUGGGGUACUGUAGCAGUCUUGCAUUGGGUCCCAGUGCAAUCCCAUAUUUGUCACGAGCGCGUAGGUGUUUUCGGAUUGGAAUUUGGUUACCGUUUGAGUCUCGAACGGAUUUUGCCUAUUGUGCGAUUUCCGGGUUUGUUAUGUUCGGACCGUUGGAUCGAACUCAAACUCACGUAUGGUGUACCUUGUAUUUCUUGGAUCGUCUAGGAUUCGACGGAUCGUGGAUCGGAGUCCCGAAUACUCCGAACUCGCAAACCCUAGGUCAAGAAUCUUAAUAAAAUUGUAUGUGCUUUCAAAUAUUCGUAUGUUUUAUUAAUUUGUAUGUGUAUUAAUGAAAUUGUGUAGAUGUCAGACCUGAUUAGACGUCGUAGGGCGGUGACGACUACGCAGAGUUCUGAGCCCCCGGCUCAACUGACAUCUGCUGCCACUGCGCCAGCACUGAUGGACCACUUGGCAGUUGGUCCCGCGGGGUCCCAGGCUCCUGCUUCAUCAGCUUCAUUAGUGGCACAACCUGUUAGCGCCAGGAAGCGUCAUCGGCCUGCCAGCACCACCGACACCACAUCCACUGAUGCGUCGGGGUCACAGCCAGGUAUAGAUUUCCUUAAACUCCAGUUAUUUAUAUUUUUGUUUUUGUUUUUAUUUUUGUUUUUGUUUUUGUUUUUGUUUUUAUUUGUGUGUGUAUUUUAUAGUUAAAUUUGUUAUUUAUUUAACAUUAAUGUCAUCUUUCUUUGCAGCCAAGAAGAACACCCGAGGGCCGUGUCGGUAGUUGAAGACGGCGAAGGUCACUCGGGUGACCAACAGUCGUAUCAACAUCGGAUACGACAAGCGACAUCGGGCUGCACCGACGGCGGAGUUGCAUAGCUCCUUGGCCCACGACAUUGGUGAUGUCAUUCCGAGCCAUUGCCCGAUGAAAUGGAAGUCUUGGAAGGUGAUGCCUGACGAGACCAAGAUGGAGGUUCGCGGCCAGUUGUCAGUAUGUAGGCCUUUUAAUUCUUUUUCUUUCAAAUUUUAUAUUUCUAUUAUUUAAAUGUAUUUAAUUAAUUUAUUGCAGACGAACUACAACUUGGAGGACCUGGACGACGAGUCGUUGGCGUACAUCAACAGACUCUUCUCUGAGAGGUACAAAUAGUGGAAGAGCGACUUGCACCACUAUUUUGAGGCGUUUGAUGAUCCAGAAGUCUCUCUUCAGGAGGGUUGCCCGAAGGAGCUUGAGGGGCGGGAGGAUAGUUGGGCGUGGCUCUGCUCUCAUUUUCAGGCGCCCGCUUUUGUGGUAAUUUGUAAUAUGAAUUUCAAAUUUAUUAUAUUUUUCUUACUAAUGUUUUUUUAAUGUUUUAUAUUUAAUUUCAAUUUCAACUAAUACGUUUUAUUUUUUGUAUAACAGAAUAAAGCCAAAGUCAAUAAGGGCAAUAGGAAGAAGAAGACUCUUCUCCAUCAUUCGGGUUCCAGGCCCUUCUCCUAUAGGAUGGAUGCAUGGCGGCAGGUAAUCAUAAAAAAAAUUUUAUUUAAUUUUUAAUAUUUAAUUAUUCUUAAUUUAUUUUUUUGUACUAAUAUUUUUCUUCUCUUGUUCAAUUUAGGGGGGUCCAAAUUCCCAGAGAUCGACGUCUUUGGCGACGUUUAUGUUCGACCUGGGAAUGAGUUGGGCGAGUCCCUUCAUGUAAGUAUUAUUUAAUUUUAAUUAUUAUGUUACGCAUUCAAGUUUAAAGGUUAUUAUAUGAAUGUUUUAAUUUAUAUUUUAUGUUAUGCUAAACAGAUGACGAUGGUGGAGAGGAGCCAGUUGGUUCUUCAAGAGUCCGCCUCCCAACUUCCUUCCGAUACUCCGAUCGAGUCUGUGGAUCCUCCACAGGAUGCUGGGUUUCAGAUCUUGACGGAGACAUUGGAUCAGACUCUAGGGAGGAGACCGGGGAUAUAUUGUCGAGGGAUGGAGAAUGCCAGGCGGAGGGAAGCCAGACCCCGUUCAUUAGCGCAGUCAAGCAGUCAGGUCACUGCUUUGACAGCACAGGUGGCCACUCUUCAGAGUCAGAUGUCGGACAUUCUGCAGUCCCUCGCACAGUUCGGCAUUCCAGUCCCGCAUUUUGAUGCGCCGACCUCUGAGCCCGUCCAUCCUGAGCAUCCCCACCAGACGACGGCCCUUGUAGACCCCCAGACCUCUGAACCGCAUGUGCCAGACGACAAUGUAGAUUUUGGAACAUUAUGAUUAGUUUUUUUAUUUUCAUAAUUAUUUUUUAAAUAUUUCUCUUGCAGCAUACAUUUAUUUUAUAUAAUAAAUAUGUUCUUUACAAUUCUUUUUUUUAUUGGAAUUUCAUUUUAUUACCCAAAAAAAAAAAACCAAAUUUAUUUUUUUAUAAAAUAAAAUAAAAAGUAAUAUUAAAAUUAAAUAAUAAUUAUAUAUAUUAAUUUUGCGCGACGAAAUCUUUCUCGUCGCGCAAAUUUAUAUAUUACGAAAUAAAAAUGUUUCAUUUUUUUAAAUACAUAUAAUUUAUUCUUGCGCGACGAAUAUUUUCGUCUCUCAAAAAGGAUUUGCGCGACAACAGUUUUUCGUCGCGCAAAAUGUGUUGACACGAAUUGCACGACGAAGAUAUCUUUGUGCCGCAAAUAUCUACGACACGUAUUGCGCGAUGAAAAUGUUCGUCGCGCAAAAAACGUAUGCGCGACAACAAUGUUUCGUCGCGCAAUACGUGUAGACAUGAAUUGCGCGACGAAGAACUCUUGGUGCCGCAAAUGUGUACGAGACGUAUUGUGCGACGAAUAUUAUUCGCCGCGCAUCGUUGUGGCGACGAACCCGCUUUCGUCGCGCAUAAGUUUGUGCGACGAACUAUUGCAUCGUCUCUGAACCUUUUGUGCAACGAAGGGUAACCGUCGCACAAAUUUGCGCGACGAGUGAUACAAUCAGUCGCGCAAAGUCUUUCUUCACCAUCUUUGCACCACAGAUUACGCGCGACGAAUUUUCUGUCGUGCUUGAGUUUGUGCGACCAAAUUUAACUCUGCGCGACGAAAUUGGCUUCGUCGCGCAAAUCGUAAAAUGUAGUAGUGGAAGUUAUCAACAUCUAUAGGAACCCCAAUGAAAAGGCUGUUAACUAAUAAUGAAGUAAACCCCUCAAUGUUUCCGCGUAUCAGAUAUCUCUCAGAAUAUGCGAUUCCAUACUCAAUAAGCAACUCCACAUCCCCUGAGGUUUUCACCAAACCACCCAUUAAGGAAACAUACUGACUCAUGUGUAAUUAUCAUUACUCAUCGGGUAAUGCAAUUGUUCAAAGGCAAGGACAUUUCUCAUUAUUUCUGUAGUGAACCCCAAUGGAAAUGGUGGGAUCUUCAGAACCCCAUUGGUGCUACUGAAUUGUAUGUCAAAUAUGUUUUCACCUUGUCGCGCCUCAAACUUGACUCCAGCGUGCUGUAAUUCUGUCAAGCUGGGUAUGGAUGAUGGGAGUUCCCCUCCAGCUUUUGAUUCCAACGGUUGAUAGAGUUUAAAUAUUUUCCUGUAAAGAUCAACAAUAUGUGCCACUGAUCUAAAAGUCUCCAAAUUGUCUUCCAUUUUGUCAACAGGCAAUAGAUGUUCGAAGAAACUGAAAGAAAGACUAAUUAUUGAAAGCCCCUCAGUAAUGCAGUUAUUGUCAGCAUCAGCAGGGAGUGUAAUUUUCUGUGGGUCGAAAAGAUCCUCGAGAAUGAAGAAUGGCAACUGAUUUUCAAGCAACCACAUAUCUGUCCAUACAUCUUGCAACAUACCUGGUUUGUCAAAUAUGCGGUCAUUUUCAUCCCAAAAUUUGAAGUAGUCCUUCAAUAAGAGCUCAAUAACGAAGGCGGCAUCCACUAGAAUGAUUGUUACAAAUUCAUCACUGCUAAACUUGAUGGGUUCUCCAUAACAACGUCUCAAUCUUGCUUCGUGGUCCUUUAUUUUCUUAAUAUAAUCCUCCAAACUCACAUUGGUCCGACCUAUAAAAUCUUGCAGGUAUCUCUGUUUGUGCUCUUCCUAUACGACAUUCAAGCCUUCCUUUCCAUGGUGAAGUGGGCCUAUAGAGACCACCUGAGGUGUGCAGAGCUUUUCAUUCACACUUCGUAGUCGUUGAGGAACUCUGUAGAUACAGCACUUGGAGGAUGGGGGAGACAAGCUAUUGAACCCUUUUCUCAUCGAAUUUGCUAAUGAAAUGUAUGGGUUUUCUAUGUCAUUUUGAGCAGAUUGAUGGCUUCCUGCCAUUUUCCAGCUCCUGACUAUAUGUGGUGUUCCGAUUGUAACAGAUUACAAUAAUGAUGAGUAUGGAUAACUGAAUUACUGAUAAAACAAUCAAGAAACAUUUCGUUAUUUUCCAUUCCCAAUAACGAAAUCAAAAUGUUCAAGGAAAUAUAAUCAGGAUAUUGCAAUUAUAUAGCCAUUCAUAAGCUGCCUGGCAUGGAAUAAGAGGUGGAAACCAAAUCUACUUAUUGGCCAAAGUUCGAAUUCACUAUAUAUAGAUAUAUAUUUUGCCAAAAUCUAAAACUGACCAACCUUAGAUACAAAAACACGGUACAGCCCGGUUAAAGUAAUUCCAAGUGCGAAGAAAGAAAGGAAUUGAGCGUUUGUACCUCUACAGCUAGCCAAAUUUUCUAUUGAUUCUUUAAAUUUUAGAGAGCAAUUACUCUUAAUUUGGUAGGUGUAGGACUGUGCAACUUCAAGCUUUAAUGAAAGAAGCCAAGUUUAUUCUAAGGGGACAAGUCAGAGACAACGAAAUUUUGCUCAGCUUCAUUUUCAAAUUUGCUGCUUAAGAAGGAAAUUUAAUAUGUUUGUUUCACAAAUUGUAUUGUCAUCAAUGAAACUCGUGCACACCCAACGAAAUUUGCAUGGCUUAUUUUCAAAGGAGUACUGCUAUUUCCAUCCUCUGUCCUAUUUUUCCACUCACCUUAUCUUCAAAAUUUUAAAGACAAAAAUAAACCCCUUUGUAAAAUGCUUAAAAAGAAAUUUAAUAUGUUUGUUUCAAAAAUUGAUAUUGUCAUCAAUGGUUAAAGAAUUGCUGGUGACAACAUAUACUUCUUUUCUACUGUAUUAAUUUCUUUCUUUAUUUUUUCUUCAGUAUAGUUCUGCCUUUCUUUUACAUGUUUAUGCGCAUAUUUGACACGUUCAAGUAUACUUAUAUAACAAAUGCAAUGAGUUUGUAGUCACAAAAAUCAAGGAUUGAAAACAAAAAGUAAUAUUAUGUGCAAGAGAAACUUACCUGCAGAAACUGAAGAACUCCUCUAGUUUCUUCUCUGUCGCUAUGUACUCCCGCGUUCAAGUUAUUAUUCUUACAAUGUACAUACACUAUUAUAUAAUGGCGAGAAGGCUCUGAUUAACCUCCUUUUUGCUUCAUUGGAUGGGGCAAGAAUGGAAUUGUCACCGUGGGUGUGGAGGUGAUCUACCAUUUGAGCAAGAAAUUCCCACAUAUUCUUUAACUAUUUUUCAAGCAUGCAUAUUCCUCCCUAUCAAUCUUUGGUCUCUUCUUUUACUAUUUUUCAAGCAUGCAUACUUUGAUUUUAAAUCAUCUUUUCCGCACUAAUUUGCUUCAAUCAAGAAACAGUUAAUAUAUUUUGUAUCAUCAUUAGAGAACACUUGAAACUGCAUAAGUUAAUUUUGAAGAUGAUGGCAGAACCAAAAUGUGUAUAGCUUAUAACUAUAAUUUCUUGAUUACAACAAGAGGUUUCAAGUUUUCAACAACACAAAUAUGAAUCUCCCAAGCAAAGAUAAACAAUAAAGCAAGCAUACGGAUUGUCAAAUUGCCUUCAAUCACUCUAAAAUACUUCAUACCGUCCGACACUGGCUUCAAUUACUCUACAAUACUUCAAUUCAUAUAUUGUCCUAUUUUCACAUGUACAUCCUGCUUUUACUUAAGGGUUAAUUGUUGAUUUACCCCUUGAACUUGUACUCUACUUUCAAUUUGCACCCUCAACUUUUUUUUUUGAAAAUUAGGUGCAUGAACUAAUUUUUAUUGCCAAUUCCCCCUACCAACAUGUCAUCUAAUAGUCUGUCAAAUCAUUAAAAAAUAUAAUAUUUUUGGAAAAAAUUAAAGAAAAAAAAAUUCCUAAGGACCCACAGACCCAGAACCCACCCUCCGUUGCCCCCGCUUGCUGUUUUCUUCUCCUCCCAGUCCCCCAUGACCACCACCCUCCACUGCCACACCAAUCCCCUACCCAACAGACCCCUCACCCCUUCUUUUUUUUCACCCCCGAACCCAGCAUGAGUUAUUGGUUAAUACCAUUUUCUUAAUUGCCAAAUAAAAAAAAAAAACAGAGUUAACCCUCUGUUAAGCUAGCUGACUAGUGGGGCGAAAUGGAGGAAAAUCAAUAUGGAGACAGCGGAUCCGGUCCCGUGUAAGUGUAUCUGAUGGAAUAAAAGAAUGAUAUUAUUGGUGGUGGGUACGGUUAUGUGGAAGUAAUAAUGGGUAAGAGAAGAAACUUGUUCUCUUGUGAUAAUCAAAAGACAGAAAGUAGUGGGAAAAGACAGAAAGUAGUGGGACACUAUUUUAGAUAUGAUAAUGUUCCUUCCUUGAUUGAUGCAAAUGAAGAGAAAAGGGUGGCUUUAUAUAAUAGCCACUACCGACCUAACACAUUAAAAACACAACUAACACCAAACAUAGUUAAUUCAACUAACUUCUACCACACCAUUAAUUUAACACACAACUACUAACAAACUGCCAACUAUUUCAAAGUUACCAGCCGACUAUUAAUGAAGUCUAGAUUACUUUAACAUCCUCCCUUAAGCUAGACUUCAUUUACGCCAAUUAAUUUUCUCAUCUUGAUGAGCGGCUCUUUCUUCAACGGUUUGGUGAACAAAUCUGCCAGCUGAUCUUGGGACUUGCAAUACAGAACCUCAACUUCUUUAUCUUUGAUUAGCUCUCUGAUGAAAUGGAACUUGAUCUUGAUGUAACACCCCGACCCCAAAUUUUCCCAAAUUUUACCCUUAUUUAAUUAUUUAAUUAUUUAAGGGUAUUUUAGUCAUAUUUUUAACCGGAGAGAGUUUGGGACCGUGACUAGUAUUUUUGGAUAGGUCGAGCUGAGACGAGUUCAUAGACACGUAGUGGGCUCGAAUCGGAGUUGUAACGAGAGAGAUAUGGUCAAAAGAAGCCCAGUGGCACAAUCGUAAAUAUUUCGAAAUGGGAUUUUUUAUAAAAACUCAAAUUUUUCUCUCUCUCUCUCUCUCUCUCUCUCUCUCUCUCUCUCUCUCUCGCGACUCCUCUCUCUCUCUCCCGUCGGCCUCUCCUCUCUCUCUCUUCGUAACUCCGGCCACCGGCCGCGGCUGCGGACGGGGCCGGUGUCAAAAGAACCGGCUCGACCUCGGCAUCACGACCCAGCCCAUCCCCGCCAUCGGCCGCCGCUCCAGCCGCCGGAAAAUGGCGAUUUUCGCCCAGAUGUCGCCGGAACUUCAACGCCGUCGAUCUCCCUCCUCCGGCCACCAAUUCCGUCGACCCAGGUAUGGAUUUUGAACCUCUCGAGCUGCUCUAGCUGAUGGUUGGGUAGGAUUAGAUCGAUUCUUAGCGUAGAUCACUCGAUUUUCGAAUUGAAAAUCGGCCGAAACUUCGGCCGCCGUGAUCGGCCAUUUCCGGCCACUUUUUGGGGUAGGUCCAAGAACAAAAGUGGCUCCAAAUAGGGUGUUAUACCUAGGGUAGGAGUUUGGAGCCGUGGUUUUGAGAUUUUCCGGCGGAGCGUUAUCGCUUUGGGCACCCACGCGCUGCUGGCGCGUGCGGCGGAGCGUGGGCACUGUAUAAAAAGUAGCGAUGUAUUCCGAUGAGAUCCUUAGGUUGUCACGAGUGCGUAGGAUUUUGCGGAUCUCAAUUCGGACGUCGUUUGACUAUCGAACGAAUAAUCGCAUAGUGUGCGUUAUCCGGGUUCGAUAGGUUGGGACCGUUGGAUGGUCCCAAAUUUAAUAUAUGUUAAUCUAGGUAUUUCUAGGAUCGUGUAGGAAUUCACGGAUCGUGAAUCGGAACUCCGGAUGUUCCGAAUAAUAAUUUUAAGUUUAUAUUUUAUAUUAACCAUCAGAUCGUGCGAUCGUGAGCAAUCCGACCGUCCGAUCUGAACCAAACUUGCAGGACAAGUGUCCUACACCUGGUAGAACCCAUAGGGACUUCCGGAUCGGAAAUUGGAGGUCGUGGGUUCUGCAGGUCCGUUUGACCAGGGUUAGAGUAGUUUGACUCUUGGUUGACCGUGAGUCUCCCGGAGUAAUCUCACCCUUCCAGGGGGAAUUAUCGGGAGCUAGACUAUUGUGGAGGGUUACACAAUAUUAGAAUUAUUUAUAUAAAUUAUGUGGUUGUACAAGGGUACAACAGAGUCUAGAAUGUCAGUUUGGAGUGCUAUACGCACUACUCUAGGUACCUCCUCGGACUUUGGAAUUUCUACAAGUACCACCAAGUGAAAGUUAGGUCCCACGUGGCGUAGGUUAUCCGGCGUGUCGACAGACCCCAUACGUGGCGUUGGUUGUACCGGCGUAUGGGGAGAUUUGUGAUAUGAUAUUGAGGUCCCGCGUGGCGUAGGUUAUCCGGCGUUGGGACAGGCCCCAUACGUGGCGUUGGUUGUACCGGCGUAUGGGGAGAUAUUAUGAUAGUAUGGCAUGGUCGCACGUGGCGUAGGUUAUCCGGCGUGUCGACAGACCCCAUACGUGGCGUUGGUUGUACCGGCGUAUGGGGAGAUUUGUGAUAUGAUAUUGAGGUCCUGCGUGGCGUAGGUUAUCCUGCGUUGGGAUAGGCCCCAUACGUGGCGUUAGUUGUACCGGCGUAUGGGGAGAUAUUAUGAUAGUAUGGCAUGGUCGCACGUGGCGUAGGUUAUCCGGCGUGUUGACAGGCCCCAUACGUGGCGUUGGUUGUACCAGCGUAUGGGGAGAAUAUGUGAAAUACAGAGAAAUGAAAUAAGGUAUUGCCCAAGUGUGGAAUUGGGUUUUAGGGAAGAACUACUUAUGGCUUGAUCCCUCAAGGAGGGUACGUAGGCAGCCUAAGGUUAUUAGGUGCAGCCGCAGACUAAAUAUUAGUCAUAAAUUGUAAUUGAACUGUUUGGUAGUCGUUUGAGGAAGUAUUGAAAGGCCGAAGGCCAUUUGUGUGAAUUGCAUGAAAUUAUAUUGUGCAUGCUGCCAGUUGGGAAUAUUAAAUGCGUUUUUAUGCAGGUAUAAAUUUUGGGAAUGUCCAAUUUACAGGGGAGACUCUGCCAAAAUUUCGGCAGGAAGUCUCGGUUUUUAGUAAGUGGGCCUGGCAUCGGGGUGAUGUCAGGAAUUCCAAAGGGUUCGUCUCGGGUUUUGAGAAAAUUCGGGGCGGGUCCUUUCACUUGAUAUGCUUACUCUUGCUGUGAAACAUUGGAUUUUUGGAAAGACAAAUAGCUGAUUUGUUGUUGCAGAACAGCUUUGUAGGUCCUUCUUGAACUUGACCCAUCUCUUCUAAAAUACUUUUCAGCCACCUAGCUUGACAACCUGCUGAUGCAAGAGCAACAUACUCAGAUUCUGUAGUUGAAAGUGCCACUAUAGAUUGCUUUUUGGAGGACCAUGAAAUCGCACUUGAGCCAAUGCUAAAGACAUAACCAGAUGUGCUUUUGCAAGUAUCAACAUCUCCACCCAAGUCACUGUCACUGUAGCCAGUCAAAUUUAGAUUCUGAAUAGGAUAAUAAUGCAAACCAUAAUUGAUAGUUCCAACCACAUAUCUUAGGAUUCUCUUUCCAAGCUCCCAAUGAACAUCUUUUGGUGACUCCACUAAACGGCUGAGGAAGCUUACUGCAUAUGUAAGAUCUGGCCUUGUUGUAGUUAAAUACAAGAGGCCACCCACUAGACUUCGAAACAAAGUUUGAUUUACCAUUGUGCUUCCAUCAUUCUUACCUAUCUUAACACCAACCUCCAUUGGAGUAGCAAUUGACUUUGCAUUUUCCAACCUGAACCUUUUCAACAAUUCCUUUGCGUAUUUCUUUUGAGAAAUAUAGAUACCAUUCUCAUUUUGUUUGACUUCAAUUCCAAGAAAGAAAUGAAGCAAACCAAGGUCUGUCAUUUCAAAUCUUUGUGACAUAAUCAUCUUGAAAUUAUCACACAUUUGAGCAUUACUUCCAGUAAAUAUUAAGUCAUCCACAUAUAAGCAGACAAUCAAAAUCUCACCUUGAGAGUUCUUCUUGGUGUAAAGAGUAUGCUCAUAUGGGCAUUUGUGAAACCCAUACUCUUGGAAGAAUGCAUCAAUCCGACUGUACCAAGCUCUUGGAGCUUGUUUCAAACCAUAUAAAGCCUUCUUCAAUCUACACACUUUUGUUUCUUCAUUUCCCUGCACAUAACCUGGAGGUUGAGCAACAUACACUUCUUCUUCCAAAAAACCUUGCAAGAAUGCUGGUUUAACUUCCAUUUGAAAGACUUUCCAACAAUUUUGGGCAGCAAGAGCUAACACCAUUCGGAUGGUGUCAAAGCGUGCAACUGGAGCAAAAACUUCAUUGUAAUCAAUUCCAUAAUUUUGCUUGUAGCCUUUAGCUACCAAGCGAGCUUUGUAUUUCUCAACUUCUCCUUGAGCAUUCAGCUUGGUCUUAUACACCCAUUUUACUCCUAUAGGCUUCUUUCCUUGAGGAAGAUCAACCAGCUCCCAUGUGUCAUUUUUCUUAAUGGAAUCAAUUUCUUGAUCCAUAGCCUUCACCCAAUUUUCAUCCUUUGAAGCCUCUUCAAACAUAAUUGGGUCUGCAUCUACAAAUAGAGCAAAAUUUGUGCCACCAUUAGUGAUCAAAACAUAAUCACUAGAUGGGUACCUUGUGGAUGGUUGAUGAGCUCUUGUUGAUCUCCUUUGUCCUCUGCAAAUUUCUUCUUCCUCACUGCUAUCACUAGAAGAAGUUGAUGAUGACCCUUGUGAUGAAGAUUCCUAUGAUGAUAGAGUUGUUGGUGGAGUUAAAUCUGGAUUUUCAAGGCCAAUGUCCAACAGUAUUGGACUUUGAUUUUCAGCUUCACUCCAAUUCCAUGCUUCUUCUUCAUUGAACUUGACAUCACGACUAACAAUAAUCUUGUUAGUCAAUGGAUUAAACAACUUAUAUGCCUUGGCCUUUUCACUAUACCCAACAAGAAUGCACUUUUCUGAUUUGUCAUCCAAUUUUCUCCUUGUUUUAUCAGGAAUAUGAGAAUAAGCAAUGCUGCCAAAUAUCCUUAAGUGACUAAUACAUGGCUUGAGGCCACUCUAAGCUUCUUGAGGAGUCUUGCCUUCCACACUAUUGGACGAUGCACGGUUCAAGAGAUAUACAGCACAUGCCACUGCUUCUGCCCAAAAACGAUUAGGCAUUGCUUUUGCCUUCAACAUGCUUCUUGCCAAUUCCAUAACGGUCCUAUUUUUUCUCUCGGCCACACCAUUUUGCUGUGGGGUGUACCGAGCUGUGAACUGAUGCUUAAUCCCAUUUUCUUUUAGAAAAUUUUCGAACACAUUGGAUGAGAAUUCUCCACCUUGAUCAGACCGCAAGGUUUUCAAUGCAAAUCCACUUUGCUUCUCAGCCAAAGCUUUGAAAACUUUAAAGUAAUCAAACACCUCUGAUUUAUAUUUGAGAAAAUAGACCCAUGUCUUUCUGCUAUAAUCAUCAAUGAAUGUAAGAAAGUAGCGGUUACCUCCUGUUGAUGUUGUGUUCAUGGGCCCGCAUACAUCUGAGUGCACCAGCUCAAGAGGAUGGGAUGCUCUCCAAGAAUUUCCUGUAAGAAACGAAUUUCUCUGAUGUUUUCCCAGCACACAUGCUUCACAAACUUGUGUUUGAUGCUGUAUCGUUGGUAGGCCUCGUACCAUAUGUUGUUUCCCCAUCAAUGAUAGUGUAUUGAAACUCAAAUGCCCAUAGCGUAGAAGCCACAACCAUGAGGAAUCCUUGAUAAGUGCACUUAAGCAAGCAAAAGAUUCAUACUUUAUGUUCAGAGAAAACAUAUUGUCUCCUGACAUCUGCACCUUUGUAAUUAGAGAGUUGUACUUGUCUCUAAUUACACACUGGUCUUCCCUGAACUGAAUAUUAUGGCCUUUAUGAAGAAGUUGCCCCACACUAAGGAGAUUGUAAUUUAAAUCUGGAACAUAUAACACAUCAGAGAUUCUUUUUUGUUCUCCAGACUUGGAUAGAAAAAGAAUAUCUCCACAUCCUUUGGCCACUAGCUUUCCACCAUCACCAAUCCUUACUUCUGAGUUGUUGGUAUGCUUGAAAUUGACAAAGGCACUUUUGUUGCCUGUCAUGUGAUUACUACAUCCGCUAUCAAGAUACCAUUUUUCUGCACACACGUUUCCUUCCCUGGCAGCUGCAUAUGCAAGUAGAACCACAUUAUCAUUUUCCCUUUCAGAAGCUUUUUCAUGCACAAAGCUUGAUUCGGCUCCUCCAUUUGUUUUGUUUUUGCAUGUUGACUUGAUGUGCCCAUAUUGCUUGCAAUUGUAGCACUGAAUAUUAGAAAGAGAGGAACCUUGUUCUCUUCCUCUUCCUCUUGAAUAACCACCAUAAUCUCCUCUUCCUCUUGGAUAACCAUAAUCUCCUCUUCUUCUUGAAUAACCAUAAUCUCGUGCAGAGCCUUCAUCAUUAGUUUUUUUUAGGUCAUUUGCAUAGCCACGUCCUUGAUUAUUUCUUCCUCGUCCACGAGUAAAGCCGCCUCUUCCUCUUCUAGAACUUCCUCUGAAUGAGACUUGAGAUUGAAAAGCUUGCUCAACAGGGCCAGAGUCAAACUGCUUCAGUCGUAACUCAUGGGAUUGAAGAGAACCCAUUAAACUGUCAAGAGACAAAGUAGACAGAUCUUUGGAUUCUUCAAUUGCCACCACAAUAUAUUCAAACUUUCGGGGACAUACUUCGAAGAAUUUUUUCAGCAACUCUCUGAUCUUCAAUUUUUUCUCCAUUAAUUCUCAGUUGGUUGACUAGAGAAAUGACACGAUUGAAAUAGUCUUCAACAGAUUCUGACUCCUUCAUACGUAACAUAUCAAACUCACCUCUUAGAGUUUGCAGUCUUGCCAUCUUCACUUUAUCUUCUCCUUUAUAUGAUGCAAAGAGAGUGUCCCACGCCUGUUUUGAUGUAAUGCAUGAUGAGAUUCUUUCAAAGAUAGCUUCAUCCACUGCUUGAAAGAUAAAGAAUAAAGCUUUUUUGUCCUUCUUACGUGUCUCCUUCAGCUCUGUGAGUUGUUGUUGAGUGAGGACUGCUUGAUCAUUUGGCUCCACAAAGCCAUUUUCAACCACCUCCCACAAAUCUUGAGCAGCAUACAACACCUUCAUUUGGAUGCUCCAUUGACUAUAAUUCUUCCCUGUAAACUUUGGAAGCUGGGGCUGUAACAAGUUGUUGUUUGAAGCCAUAUGAUUCUGAGUUUCCAGCUCUGAUACCACUUUGAUGGAAUAAAAGAAUGAUAUUAUUGGUGGUGGGUACGGUUAUGUGGAAGUAAUAAUGGGUAAGAGAAGAAACUUGUUCUCUUGUGAUAAUCAAAAGACAGAAAGUAGUGGGACACUAUUUUAGAUAUGAUAAUGUUCCUUCCUUGAUUGAUGCAAAUGAAGAGAAAAGGGUGGCUUUAUAUAAUAGCCACUACCGACCUAACACAUUAAAAACACAACUAACACCAAACAUAGUUAAUUCAACUAACUUCUACCACACCAUUAAUUUAACACACAACUACUAACAAACUGCCAACUAUUUCAAAGUUACCAGCUGACUAUUAAUGAAGUCUAGAUUACUUUAACAGUAUCGAAUCUAGCUUUAAUAUGUAUUGGGUCCUCUGGACAAGAAUUCUAUCCUUUUCGUCCUAACUAAUAUGUAGGGGAAAAACAAUACAUCAAUUAUCCUUUUCGUCCUAACUAAUAUGUAGGGGAAAAACAAUACAUCAAUUAUGAAUUUUUUUUAUCUGGGUUCGAAAUUAAAUAUGAAUGGAGUUUUGGAGGCUUAAAAGUUAUAAGCUCAAGAAAGGAAGGAAACUAUAUGUACAUUUGGGUCGGAGGCAAAGGUCCAGUCAUCUACCGUCCAGGAUAUACAGUAUCAAAAAAGGCUUAAGAAUUGUAAUAAGGUGACAUACGCCCACAUACGGCCAACGCUAGCAUAUUUCGUAAGUGUAUUAUAUGUCUUCUAAGUAUAUCAUAGUUAUGUGUCAAUUUUAGAUCCAAUUGCACACCCAAAAUACAGAAACAAAAUCAUUGAGAAUACACUUUUUUUCACUUAUAUUUUGAAUAUGCAUUGCCUGUAUUUCAUGUGUAUGAUAUAGGGGCUUCACUUAUAGUUUUUGCACAAAACCUCCCUUGAUGAAGGAUGUCUUAGAUUAAUGACAUCAAUGAUUUGUUACAUUUGGAGUACCCAACAUAACAGCUCUCUGAUUAACAAUAAAGUUAUAAAAUUUCAACAGUUUCAUACCUAACAAGCAUAGAGAAACAAAUAAAACAACCACAUUGCUUCGAUCACUGUACAUGCACACAGCUCACUUUCACUAACUACAGAGGCUAUAUUUUCUACAUAUACACUAACUUUUUCUUUCUCCAGCUCUCUUACACCACCAGGCUGGUGACAAACCCAGCUCGCGUCAUGUGGAGGACCAAAAGGAAAUGACAAGGAGAAAACGGCUAAGGAGAGACUUACUCUCAACACUUAGAAGGCAGAGCAGAGAUAACAGAGCACACUGCUUGUAUAAAAGUGAGUAUGAGGAGAAAAAUAGCGGUAGCAAUUGAAAUAGUUGCCCAAGGUGUGUUGCAAUAGUUUUGUCUCAAGUUUGCCUGCCAUUUGUGCCAAGACGUUCUGCAGUACUUGUUGAGGUCUGCACAAAGAAUAGCAAAAUAGAAGUCAUUAGAGUCCACAAUGACCCCAUCUGCAAGGUUGUUGAUCAGAGUAGACCCUCCACUACUGUCACCGAGCAUAUUUUCGACGAUUCCUUGCUUAACAACCAACUCCACAUCCGUUGCGGUGUUCACAAAGCGAUCCACGAUGACAACAUAAUUGUUUAUGUAAUUCUCCAUGCAAUGGCAUUGUUCAAAGGCAAGGAGGUUUCUGAUUGUAAGCUCUGUCUCAUCACUUAUUGCUAAUUUUGGAAUUUCUAGAAUCCCAUUAGCGAAUUGUAUGUCGAAUAAGUUUUUGGGUGAUCCCACCUUAAACUUGACUCCUGCUCUGUGUAACUCUGUGAUGCUGGAUGUGUUUAAGAGUUUCAAGUCGCCCCUUAGCAGGUGGUUUCAAUGGUAGAGGUAGAUACAAAUUUCUACAAAAAUCUACAAAGUGUUCUACUUUAGAAGUACAUAAUUUCUCCAUAUUGCCAUCCGUUCCCUCUAUGUGCAUUAGAGUUUUGAAGAAAUUGUGGCAAAGGUUAAGCAUCGAAAGCCUCUCAAUAUUGUUAUUGUUAGAAGAGACUUUGAUUUUUUCGGGGUCAAAAAGUUCCUCAAGAAUGAAGAAUGGCAGCUGAUUUUCAAACAACCGCAUGUCAGGCCAUACGUCUGGCAACAGCCAUGGUUUGUUAAAUAUGCGGUCAAUUUCAUCCUGCAAUUCAUCGAAACGAUACCUCAACAAGACCUCAAUGAUGAAGGCGGCAUCCACUAGAAUGAUUCUCACAAAUUCAUCACUGCUAACCUGAAUGGUUUCUGCAUAACAACUGCGCAGUUUUGCUUCUUGGUCUUUUACUUUCUGUACAUAAUCGGCUAGGCUUACCCUGGUCCGACGUAUAUAAUCUUGUAAGUACCUCUUUUUGUGAUCUUCCAUGGCUUUUAGGCCUUCCUCGCCAUGAUGAAGUGGGCCUAUAGAGACUACCUGAGGUGUGUAGGCCUUUUCACUCACACGCCGUAGUCGUUCAGGAACUCUAUAAAUGCAACACAAGGAGGAGAGGGAAGACAAGCCAUCCAACUCCUCACUCAUUGAAGUUACUAAUGGAAUGCAAGGGUUUUCAAUAUCAUGUGGAGCUUGAUCGCUUCCUUCCAUUUUCCGCUGAUGUGUUUGUUGUUGUCAAUCAUAAUGGAUGAUAAUGAAAUGAUAGUCACUGACACAACAAUAAACAAAUUUUUCAAGAUGGCUGAGAAAAUUAAUACAAACAUUGCAAUUAUAAGACCAAACACACAAAGACUUUUGAUCCUUGUAACUCUUACAUACCACACUAGUGCCUUAAGAAUUCGAUUUGAAUGCACCAAAUUCAUUCAAAACUCUUCUGGUCAACUCUGUUUCUUGUAAUUAUUCUUGGAAGAUUCUAAUACAUUUUUGAUUGAAAAAUUCCUACUAAUCAUGUGAAUCAGUACCAAAGUUUAUUUCAAAUUAACAUACAAACCCCACUUUUUUUUUCCUACAUAUAUACUUCUUUAUUUCCCCUCAACUUAUUGGAGCUUCUAAUAAAGCAAAUUCUUUCUGUGAUGAUAUCAGAUAGUAGAUUAUGCUUCCAGUCAAAACAUAGACAAACCAAAAUCCCAUUAGAAGAGAAGAAAAUAAUAUACGACAUUCACAUAACCUUCUGCUCAAUUCCAAUUUCCAACUACAAUGAAACAUAAGACACUUAAAAGCUUCAAGAAAUUGGAUGUGCAAGCAAACAUAGCGAAAUUAUGAAAGACAGAGAAAGGUGUUGGGCAUUGAAAACAUACCUGAUACGUAUUGAAACACAAUUUUUUUUUGCCUUUGGUAGAUGGAGUAGCUAGAAAAGCUCAAUGCACUUGCUCUUCUGCUACAUUUCAAUAUAAGAACAUUGUUUGGAAGUCCGGUCAAUUCCUCAAAGCUUCCUUGCCUUUGUUUUGACAUGCCGAUGCCCGUCUUGGGGAAGUUUGAAUAAUCCAUUGCAGGCCCCAUGAUAGGAUUUUUAGUACUUGUGCAAACAGUGUUAAAAAUCACAUAAAAUACUUGCAAGAAUACAAGGCUAUUGUAGUAUAGAUGCUCAUGCAAGGUCGUUUUCCUCAAGGACUAAUUAGCAAUUUAUGUAAAAACAAAUUCCAAUUACUACUUAAAAUAAAAAGUCAAGAAAGAUGAUUAUAAAUUUGGUGGAUUCUAAAAAACAAAUAUUAAACAAAAACAAAUACGAUUGAAAGAAAGAGUUUUGAAUAUCAAUUUAUAAAAACACUAGGGUUUCACCAUCACCUAGCAAUCCUAUGAACUUUUACCAAUUACUUAUGAUUUGCACAUGCCACUUUGAAGGUUAGGUUUUCCUAAUGUAUAUUCUACUUGGAACCUCCAACACAGAACGUAUAUCCAACAUGCAACCCGUCCGGACGUUCGGAUCAAAUCUGAACAUGAAAGACUCAUUAAGUUUUGUGAAAACCCUUUGAAAAACCAUGCAACCCUUAAGACGUGGUGUUCAUCUUAAGUGAAAUUACAAUUAUUAAUCACAAGAAGCUAGCAUAAAUUUCAGGGAACCUUCCGACCAAAAUUGCAUCCAAUUACUUUUCUAAAGAUCCUAAUGGUGAUCAGGCAUUAAGACAAUUAGAUAGUUUAAAAUAGUGAUUAACAAUUCAAAAUACGCAUGCACUCAUCAUAAGCAAUUAAAUAAAAAUCACAUAUUCAUGCUAAGGUUCAAGGCUUCACCCUAGCAAAAGAAAUUUAGUUACGCAUACUCAUAAUUGAAAUCCAAGAAAAUAUCAUUAAGAAGAAAAGAACGAAAACACCUGAAAGUUGUGAAAACCCAAAACCCUAGCAAUUGCUCUCUACAAUGCAAAGUUCAAAAAUAAUUAAGAAGUCCUAAAUUCCUUGUGAGAAAGAGCUUAAAUAUCCCUUAAAACCUAGCUGCCAAUGUACAGCUUUUCUAUCCCUACAAGGAAACUAAUUAAAGUAAAAUAAUACUAGGAAAUAAAGUCCAAAUUGGAAUAGGAGAAUUUGCCCAAAAUCAGCCCAGCCACGUUUUGGCCCCAAAUCUCCUCCAAAUCUGGCCCAAGAUAGCUUUUUUUAAAGACACUACUACAAAAAGUGAAAAAGACGACCAGAAAACAACGACGGUCUAAGUGAAAACCGUCGUGGUUUUUAAAAAGACGACGGUUCUAAAAACACCGUCGUGUAAUACCACCUUAGACAACUAAAAAAUGGAGAUUCAAAUGGCUGUUCAAAAACAACGACGUACCUAAUUAAACAACCGACGUCUAUUUGAAACAGAUUUCCGCAGUGUAAAAUCAAAGCAAACAAAGAACGGCAGAAGUUAUGAAUAGACCGACGUAGAAAGUAAAGACGACGAUUUCAAUAAAAGCCGCCGUUUUUACUCAUAAAAUAACACGACGAGGUUUUCGUAUAAGACGCCGUAUAAUUACAAACAAAUCCACGGCUUUAAAAUACAAAAUAAUCUUAACAGAUGACACAGAUUUGCAAUCAGAGAGACAAUUUUUUGGAAGUUGAUCAACGUCGUUGAAAAUUUGCAAUCAGAGAGACAAUUUUCAACGACGGUUAUAUUAUACCUAACGACGUUUAAAAACAAAUCAACGUCGCUCAACAAAUAUAUUACGUCGUCUUAGUCUUACUUAAGACGACGAAAAACGACGACAGUAGUAAAAAAACAGUCGUUGUUUUUAUAUUCUUAUUUUAUUUAAAUCUGUCGUGUUAGUUAAAAACGACGGCAUAACAAAAAACCGUCGUUUUGUUUCAAACUGAAUUAAUUUAAAAUUUCUUCAGGAAAGCAAAAUCUAUUUAUAAUUUCCUCGGGUUAGUAAUAUUGUGUCGUGUUAGUUUACAAAUUCUAGAACAUUAAUUUCCCUCAUUUUAAAUUUUCUCGGGAAAGAAAAAUCUAUUUAUCACGCUUUGUAAUUGAAAACUAAAACUGAAAGAAUUCUGGAAAAAAAACUCUAUUUAUAAUUUAAAAAUAAAAUGCACGUCGGUUGUAGUACACUUAACGACGUUUAACAAAAUAAUCUACGUCGGUAAUUAUAAAUCUACCGCCAUCUUACCCUAAUAUAGACGACGAGAAAAGACGACGGUAGAACAGAAAACCGCCGUUGUUUCAGUUUCUUUAACAGUUUGGUCCUUUAUCUUUCUGCAGGACUUGUAUAGUUCAAAGCAUUGACAAUGUCUUCAUCAUAUCUCCCAGCAACUACUGAUUCGAUUGCUCAUGCUUUAGAGGCCAUCUGAAGCCAUUUCUAUUCUUUAUCGCAUUCUUGAAACCCAUCUUCUUCUUCUGAAGCUCUACGGAUAAAGGAANNNNNNNNNNNNNNNNNNNNNNNNNNNNNNNNNNNNNNNNNNNNNNNNNNNNNNNNNNNNNNNNNNNNNNNNNNNNNNNNNNNNNNNNNNNNNNNNNNNNNNNNNNNNNNNNNNNNNNNNNNNNNNNNNNNNNNNNNNNNNNNNNNNNNNNNNNNNNNNUUUUUUUUGGGGUUGGUUUUUUAUAGUAACCAGUUAUAACAGUAGUGGUUGUGCAAUGUUUGGUUCCCUUAAGCUUCGAUCCAACCGUGUAGCCAGCUUUAGGUCAAUGUCUCCCAAACCACUCGGGUUUUAGGGCACUAGGUGUAGAACACCCCUAAGGACUUAUUAACUCAAGCUGAAAAGGCUACGAAACCAACUAACCACCCUGCCUCAUGCCAAAACUCUACCUUUUGUCUCGAAAAUCACUGCUGAUUAGGCAGGACUGGCCCGGUUACUAGCAAAGCUUCGGGUGAGGCAAUUAUUACUUUAUAACACAUACUAACUUUAUUUAAAUUGAACAGAAAUUAAAACACACUUGGACAAAAAGUAAGUAUUCCAAUCUCACUCCCCAAAAACCAUAUUGGUGUGAUGUGCAAAUUUCAAAGUAUAAUUCAUGAAUUAGUGUCUAAGCAACAAUAAAUAGAAAAGACUCUACUGUGGGAUUGAUUUUCACUAUGUCCAUUUAUUCUAACGUUUAAAAUAAUCUAUGGAUAUUGACUGAAAAACGAAAAUUUUAAACAAGACUUAAAAAAAACUAAAAAUCUAAAAUUUACUUUCCCACCCCCUAACUUAAAUCACACAUUGUCCUCAAGGUGUGGUAAAUAAUCAAAAGAAACAAGAGCAGAAACAAAACGACUAAAUCCUAGAAAAUGAAAAUCAAAAAUAAAGAAAAUACUCUAAGAAAAGAAACUAGGAAGGAAAAAUAGAAGAAUAAUAAAAUAAAAUAAAAUAAGAAAGAAAAGGAGAAAAACAACAAUAGAAAAGAAAUAGGAAAGAAAAUACCCAAAAAUGAGACACCUUGGGGAUUCAAAGGCAGGACCAGGCGGAGUGUUGCGAAAAAGCGCUGACCAACUCAACCACGUCCACACUGGCAUCAAAUAGGAGCGACAGCUACAAUAUAACCUGCUGUAGCUGCUGCAUCUGUCAUUUGAAAAAUAUUGGAUUCCCUUCUCCUACCCCGAGCUCAGAGCCGAAAGGCUCUCUUCUGUCCAUUCCCAUUUUGCAGAAGAAAAAAGAAUAUUGCUGGAUAAACCAAAGCCUCCGCUGUGUCCAGAGAAUCAGAAAAGGUCUCUGAUUUCUCUCUUCUCAAGGCCAUCCAUCUCCGCCUUCACUCUUCUUCAUUCUCUCCAACACUCACGAUCCUUUCCUCUCUUUCAACCCAAUUACACCAGCGUUUUCAUCUGCGUGAGGAGGCCACAUUUGCAGCAAACACAACCAGUGAGGUUGAAUUAUCUGAUGCACCUGAAUUUUUGGAUGGUUUUGGAGUCCCUAGAUUCCUCAAAUUCAGAUCUGUCUCCAUCCAUGUCACCAGAUGCUAACUUGUUCCAAGAUGAAAACAAGCUGAAGCCGAACAAGAGUCUAUUCUCCACCAGUAAGGACCCCAGAUCUGUGCAUCCCGUAGGUAAACUUUCGAACCCCAGAACUGGUUUUUUUUUUUUUUUUUUUCCGUUUUUUUUUUGUUUUGAAAAUAAAAGAAGUAAAGAGUUUAGAAAAAUUGGGUUGCCUCCCAAUAAGCGCGCUAUUUUAAGUCUGUAGCUAGACUUUGCAGAAGCCUGGUGGUCAAAUCACUGGUUCCUUCAGAGUCAAAGACUCGGCUGCAAUGUCAAAGGGUGUCUCCACGUAGGGUUUUAGCCUAUGACCAUUCACCUUGAACGUGUUGCCUUUAUCUUCAUUAGUGAUUUGAACUGCUCCAUGAGGAAAAACUUGAGUCACUAGGUAGGGUCCAGUCCAGCGAGAUUUUAAUUUCCCUGGAAACAACUUGAGCCUUGAACUAAAUAACAGAACCUUUUGCCCUGGCUGAAAUUCCUUCCGUAAAAUUUGACUGUCAUGAAAUGCCUUAGUUCUUUCCUUGUAGAUGCGAGAACUAUCAUAAGCACCUUGACGAAUUUCCUCUAGCUCAUUUAACUGCAAUUUCCGCUUUUCCCCAGCUGAGUCAUAUGCAAAAUUUAACUCUUUAAUGGCCCAGUAAGCUUUAUGCUCCAGCUCCAUAGGUAGAUGACAGGCUUUCCCAUAAACAAGUCGGAAUGGUGACAUCCCAAUAGGAGUUUUAUAAGCUGUCCUGUAUGCCCACAAAGCAUCAUUUAGUUUGAAACUCCAAUCCUUGCGUGUAGAGCUCACUGUUUUCUCCAAAAUACGCUUUAUUUCUCUGUUUGAAACUUCAACUUGACCAGAUGUCUGUGGGUGGUAUGGUGUAGCCACGCGAUGAUUAAUCCCGUAUUUUGCCAGUAGGUUAGCAAAUGGUUUAUUAAUAAAAUGCUUCCCCCCAUCACUAAGAAUAACACGCGGUAUUCCAAAACGUGGAAAUAUAACCCCCUGGAGGAACUUCAGGACCACUGAUCCUUGAUUAGUUGGUGCUGCAAUGGCCUCGACCCAUUUUGAAACAUAUUCCACAGCCACUAAAAUAUAUUGGUGCCCAUUAGAAGAUGGGAAUGGCCCCAUGAAAUCAAUACCCCAAACAUCAAAUAGUUCAACAAUUAGGAUACUUUGUUGGGGCAUUUCAUUCCUUCUGGAUUGAUUGCCGACCCUUUGACACCGAUCACAUGCCUUGCACCAAUUCUGUGAAUCUCUAAAAAGUGUUGGCCAAAAUAACCCACUCUGUAGGAUUUUCUCUGCUGUCCUUUUCUGCGCAAAAUGUCCUCCUCAAGCAUAGUGAUGAGCAAACUUUAAAACACUUUCUUGUUCAGCCUCCGGAAUACACCUGCGAAUAAUCUGGUCUGCACAAUACUUGUAUAAGUACGGUUCAUCCCAGAAAUAGUGCUUUACAUCAGAUAAAAACUUCUUUUUCUGCUGGUAGGAAAAAUCUGGAUGCACCACACCCUUAGCCAAAUAAUUGACAAUAUCUGCAAACCAAGGUGUGUCAAUUUUGACAGCAAAUAGCUGUUCAUCUGGGAAACUUUCACUCAAUGGUAGAGAAUCUGCCUCUGUAGCUGCUGGAAUAAUUAAUCUAGAUAAAUGAUCAGCCACAACAUUCUCACUGCCCUUCUUGUCUUUAAUCUCUAAGUCAAAUUCUUGAAGUAAGAGAACCCAACGAAUCAAUCUAGGCUUUGCAUCCUUCUUAGACAACAAGUAUUUUAGUGCAGCAUGAUCUGUAUAGACAAUUAUUUUAGCCCCAACCAAAUAAGACCGAAAUUUCUCUAGUGCGAACACAACUGCCAACAAUUCCUUCUCUGUAGUUGCAUAGUUAAGCUGUGCAUCAUUUAGAGUACGACUUGCAUAAUAGAUGACAUGGGGAAGCUUAUCUUUUCGCUGCCCUAAAACUGCCCCGACAGCAUAAUCUGACGCAUCACACAUUAGUUCAAAUGGUAAAUCCCAAUUUGGUGCAGCAAUGAUGGGUGCCGAAGUUAGGAGUGCUUUCAACUUGUUGAAUGCUUCUAAACAGGCCUUAUCAAAAUUAAAUGGUGCAUCCUUAGCCAAUAAAGUGCACAAAGGUCGACUAAUCUUGGAGAAAUCCUUGAUGAACCGACGAUAAAAACCUGCGUGUCCUAAGAAGGACCUCACACCUUUUACUGAUGUAGGAGGUGGCAGCUUUGCAAUAACUUCAAUCUUUGCCUUGUCAACCUCGAUGCCUUUGCUAGAAAUUGAAUGACCCAAGACAAUUCCCUGUUCAACCAUGAAAUGCCACUUUUCCCAGUUUAGCACUAAAUUUGUCGCUUGACAUCUCUGAAGAACUAAUGAUAAAUUCUGUAAGCAUUGAUCAUAUGAAUCCCCAAAAACAGAAAAAUCAUCCAUAAAAACUUCCACAAUAUUUUCGACCAAGCCAGAAAAAAUACUCAUCAUACAACGUUGAAACGUAGCAGGUGCAUCGCAUAAUCCGAAUGGCAUCCUCCGAUAAGCGUAAGUACCAAAUGGACAAGUGAAAGUAGUCUUCUCUUGAUCCUCUGGUGCUAUUGGAAUCUGAUUAUACCCAGAAUACCCAUCAAGAAAACAGUAAAAAGCCCGCCCAACCAACCUUUCUAACAUCUGGUCAAUAAAAGGCAAUGGAAAAUGGUCUUUUCUCGUCCCUGUGUUAAGCUUCCGAUAAUCUACACACAUUCUCCAACCCGUAGUCAAUCGUGUAGGAACUAACUCAUUAUUAUCAUUUUUCACCACUGUAAUACCGGUCCGUUUAGGCACAACUUGAGUCGGGCUAACCCAUUUACUGUCAGAAAUAGGAUAAAUCAUACCUGCAUCAAGUAAUUUCAUAACCUCUGUUCUAACCACCUCUUUCAUAAUUGGGUUAAGGCGGCGUUGAGCAUCAACUGUUAGCUUUACGUCGUCUUCCAUUAAUAUUCUGUGCAUACAUAGUGCUGGGCUGAUUCCCUUGAUAUCCGCAAUUGUCCAUCCCAAUGCAUCUUGAUAUUUUCUCAAUACACGAAGCAAUUUAUCCUCCUCUGUCGGUGUUAAAUCUGCUGCAAUUAUAACUGGCAACGUCUCUGCAGCUCCUAAAUAUGCAUAUUUAAGAUGUUGUGGUAAAGGCUUCAGCUCCAAUUUUGGCGGCUGCUGUCUGGAUGGUUUAAGGGGCUGUUUGGGCUCCCCUAAACUCUCAUACACAUUCCUAAAUUUUGGCAACACUGUGGGCAGACUGUUCAAUGCGUGUAUGUACUCAUGAACACCUUCAUCUUCAAAAUCUGUCUCAAAUGCCCCCUGUAAAACAUGCAACAACUGAUCUGUUUUUGAAUUAGCAUAAAAUCUGUCCUGCACCAUACUGUCUACCAUGUCAAUACGCAUACAAUCUAGCUGUUCAGCAGGACGUUUUGUUGCCGCAAACAAAUUAAACACCACAGAUUGGUCCUGAACCCGUAAAGUCAAUGUUCCAGCUUCCACAUCAAUUAAGGUCCUAGCUGUUGCCAUAAACGGCCUCCCCAAAAUAAUAGGUGUUUGAAGGUCUUCAUCCAUGUCUAAAACCACAAAAUCUGCCGGUAGAUAAAGAUUAUCAACCUUAAUAAUUAGAUCUUCAAUAACACCUCUUGGAUAAGUGAUUGAACGGUCAGCUAGUUGAAGUAUAAUUGAUAUAGGCUUUAAAUCUCCUUGCCCCAAUCGCUGAAAAACAGAAAAAGGCAUCAAAUUAAUACUUGCACCCAAAUCAAUUAAAGCACUCUUAAAAUUAGAAUUUCCAAUAGUGCAAGAAAUAUUAAAACUCCCUGGAUCUUUUUUCUUAGGUGGUAGUUUGUGUAGCAAAACUGCAUUGCACUGUUCUGUCAAAAUAACUUUUUCCAAAUCUGAAAGCUUCUUUUUGCUGCUGCAAACUUCCUUCAAAAAUUUGGCAUAUGAUGGAAUUUUCUUGAUUGCAUCCAGUAAGGGAAUGUUGAUUUGAACCUUGGAUAAUGUCUGCAUAAAGUCCUUGAGUUGCUGAUCUUUUACUUUUGGCUUCAAACGUUCUGGAUAUGGAAUUGGGGCCUCAUAAACACGCUCAGGUACUUGUUUUGGAACAGUUUCUAGAUCUGCCAUAUUAUGUUUUUCUACAGGUUUGGCAGGUUCUGCUGCUGCAAAAUUUUCUGUAUGAUCCUCCACUGCAUGCUGCUCCUUUUCAAUGUUAUUUUCACGAUUGUCAUAGCUUUUUCCACAUCGUAAAGUCCGAACAACUUUGCAAUCUUCACGUCCAUUUGGAUUAGGAAUUGUUUGACUAGGAAAUUUGCCCUUUUAUCUGUCUGAAAUCUGUGUAGCUAGUUGUCCAAAUUGUUGCUCCAAACUUUUAAUAGAUGCUUCAACAUUUUGAAAUCUUUGAUUGUUGCCCUCGAUGAAUGAUUGAGUUGUUGCUGCCAGUUUAGCAAGUUGAUCUUCCAUAGAUGGUUUGGAGGGAACAAAAGGUUUUUGUGCAUGCUGGAAUGGUUUGGCAUUAGUCUGAUUGUCACCCCAUUUGAAAUUAGGGUGAUCCCUCCAUCCAGGAUUGUAAUGAGUUGCAUAUGCAUCAUUCCUAGGCCUUUGAUAGCUGUUCAUCAUAUUGACAUGUUGUUCAACAAGCUCUGGGUAAGAGUCUCUAUGUGGGCAGCCCAUUAUGUCAUGUGUAGCCAUACUGCAUAUAGUGCAAACUGUUGAUGUAGGUGGCUGCUGUGUAGAACUUGCUAUAUGUUGUAGAAGCAUAUCAAACUUUGCAUCAAUUUUCUUAUCCAUUUUUUCCAUUUGUGCAGACAUGUUGGGAGAACCUACUGAUAACUCAAAAAUGCCCCUUUUCUGUGAAUGUUCUGCUGCCCAUUGCUGAGAUUCUGUAGCCAUCAUAUCAAACAGUUCAAAUGCCUCUCUUGCAGAUUUAUUUGAUAAUGAUCCUCCAGCUGAUGCAUUCACAUGGCUCUUAGAUGUAGGAUUAAGCCCAUCAAAGAAAAUAUUCAUUUGUGUAUCUGAAUCAAUUUUAACAUGUGGACACUUUAUGUACAUCUUUGUAUAUCUCUCCCACGCUUCAUGAAACUCUUCAUUAGGCUUCUGUGUGAAUGUCAAAAUCUCCCUCUUGUAAUUCAAUGUCUUGGAUGCUGGAUAAUAUUUGUUCAGGAAUUUUGUGUGUAACUGCUGCCAAGUAGUAAUGCUAUUAGCUGGUAGAGUGAAUAACCAAGUUUCUGCCUUGUCCUUCAAAGUGAAAGGGAAAAGACGUAACUUAAUAGCCUCAGCAGAAAAACCCCUAAUCAAAAUAUUCUUGCAACCCACAAUAAAUUUUGCAAUAUGUAUGUUUGCAUCUUCAUUAGGCAAUCCCCGAAAAGUAGGUAGAAUUUCAAGCAUAUGGUGCCUGAUCUCGAACGAAUCACCCUCUUCUUGUUCAGGAUACACAAUGCAAUUGGGAACAUCAGUGGCACGGGCUUCCAAUGACUCCCUGAGUGGUCUACCUGCCGCAGGUAAUUCUAACGCCAUGUUACUCUCGUUUGCAAACAGAUCCUGCAGAAAAGUGCCCUGCAGUGAACAGUCCCAAGCCCAAGUAACUUCUCUCCGCUGUCUAUGCAGUGUGCGCUCUGGUUCUGGAUCAAAUUGUACAAUCUGUGUAGUUCCUGAUCUGGUCUGGACCAUGCAGUCUGCAAAAUCUGCAACAGAAACAAAAUUGUUCAAUUUCAAUUUUUUUUUUUGGACGAAAAUUAAAAAUAAAAUAAAAUGAAAUAAAUCAGAAAAAGGUUAAACAAAAAUUGUCUAAAAUAGUCCCCAGCAACGGCGCCAAUUUCUUGAUAGGAUUUUUAGUACUUGUGCAAACAGUGUUAAAAAUCACAUAAAAUACUUGCAAGAAUACAAGGCUAUUGUAGUAUAGAUGCUCAUGCAAGGUCGUUUUCCUCAAGGACUAAUUAGCAAUUUAUGUAAAAACAAAUUUCAAUUACUACUUAAAAUAAAAAGUCAAGAAAGAUGAUUAUAAAUUUGGUGGAUUCUAAAAAACAAAUAUUAAACAAAAACAAAUACGAUUGAAAGAAAGAGUUUUGAAUAUCAAUUUAUAAAACCACUAGGGUUUCACCAUCACCUAGCAAUCCUAUGAACUUUUACCAAUUACUUAUGAUUUGCACAUGCCACUUUGAAGGUUAGGUUUUCCUAUUGUAUAUUCUACUUGGAACCUCCAACACAGAACGUAUAUCCAACAUGCAACCCGUCCGGACGUUCGGAUCAAAUCUGAACAUGAAAGACUCAUUAAGUUUUGUGAAAACCCUUUGAAAAACCAUGCAACCCUUAAGACGUGGUGUUCAUCUUAAGUGAAAUUACAAUUAUUAAUCACAAGAAGCUAGCAUAAAUUUCAGGGAACCUUCCGACCAAAAUUGCAUCCAAUUACUUUUCUAAAGAUCCUAAUGGUGAUCAGGCAUUAAGACAAUUAGAUAGUUUAAAAUAGUGAUUAACAAUUCAAAAUACGCAUGCACUCAUCAUAAGCAAUUAAAUAAAAAUCACAUAUUCAUGCUAAGGUUCAAGGCUUCACCCUAGCAAAAGAAAUUUAGUUACGCAUACUCAUAAUUGAAAUCCAAGAAAAUAUCAUUAAGAAGAAAAGAACGAAAACACCUGAAAGUUGUGAAAACCCAAAACCCUAGCAAUUGCUCUCUACAAUGCAAAGUUCAAAAAUAAUUAAGAAGUCCUAAAUUCCUUGUGAGAAAGAGCUUAAAUAUCCCUUAAAACCUAGCUGCCAAUGUACAGCUUUUCUAUCCCUACAAGGAAACUAAUUAAAGUAAAAUAAUACUAGGAAAUAAAGUCCAAAUUGGAAUAGGAGAAUUUGCCCAAAAUCAGCCCAGCCACGUUUUGGCCCCAAAUCUCCUCCAAAUCUGGCCCAAGAUAGCUUUUUUUAAAGACACUACUACAAAAAGUGAAAAAGACGACCAGAAAACAACGACGGUCUAAGUGAAAACCGUCGUGGUUUUUAAAAAGACGACGGUUCUAAAAACACCGUCGUGUAAUACCACCUUAGACAACUAAAAAAUGGAGAUUCAAAUGGCUGUUCAAAAACAACGACGUACCUAAUUAAACAACCGACGUCUAUUUGAAACAGAUUUCCGCAGUGUAAAAUCAAAGCAAACAAAGAACGGCAGAAGUUAUGAAUAGACCGACGUAGAAAGUAAAGACGACGAUUUCAAUAAAAGCCGCCGUUUUUACUCAUAAAAUAACACGACGAGGUUUUCGUAUAAGACGCCGUAUAAUUACAAACAAAUCCACGGCUUUAAAAUACAAAAAUAAUCUUAACAGAUGACACAGAUUUGCAAUCAGAAGAGACAAUUUUUGAAGUUGAUCAACGUCGUUGAAAAUUGCAAUCAGAAGAGACAUUUUCAACGACGGNNNNNNNNNNNNNNNNNNNNNNNNNNNNNNNNNNNNNNNNNNNNNNNNNNNNNNNNNNNNNNNNNNNNNNNNNNNNNNNNNNNNNNNNNNNNNNNNNNNNGGAAGUUGAUCAACGUCGUUGAAAAUUUGCAAUCAGAGAGACAAUUUUCAACGACGGUUAUAUUAUACCUAACGACGUUUAAAAACAAAUCAACGUCGCUCAACAAAUAUAUUACGUCGUCUUAGUCUUACUUAAGACGACGAAAAACGACGACAGUAGUAAAAAAACAGUCGUUGUUUUUAUAUUCUUAUUUUAUUUAAAUCUGUCGUGUUAGUUAAAAACGACGGCAUAACAAAAAACCGUCGUUUUGUUUCAAACUGAAUUAAUUUAAAAUUUCUUCAGGAAAGCAAAAUCUAUUUAUAAUUUCCUCGGGUUAGUAAUAUUGUGUCGUGUUAGUUUACAAAUUCUAGAACAUUAAUUUCCCUCAUUUUAAAUUUUCUCGGGAAAGAAAAAUCUAUUUAUCACGCUUUGUAAUUGAAAACUAAAACUGAAAGAAUUCUGGAAAAAAAACUCUAUUUAUAAUUUAAAAAUAAAAUGCACGUCGGUUGUAGUACACUUAACGACGUUUAACAAAAUAAUCUACGUCGGUAAUUAUAAAUCUACCGCCAUCUUACCCUAAUAUAGACGACGAGAAAAGACGACGGUAGAACAGAAAACCGCCGUUGUUUCAGUUUCUUUAACAGUUUGGUCCUUUAUCUUUCUGCAGGACUUGUAUAGUUCAAAGCAUUGACAAUGUCUUCAUCAUAUCUCCCAGCAACUACUGAUUCGAUUGCUCAUGCUUUAGAGGCCAUCUGAAGCCAUUUCUAUUCUUUAUCGCAUUCUUGAAACCCAUCUUCUUCUUCUGAAGCUCUACGGAUAAAGGAAGAGGCUAUCACAAAUCUGACGGAUCUUCUUAGUCAAAAAAAUCAAGCAGAGGAUCAGGCACAUCUGAUCUUCAGAUUUCCCUGAGAAGCGAACUUUCCUUCGACAGCGAGUGGAGGCCAGGCUUGCAUCUCUUUUGAUGGAAAGCAAGGAGUAUUCAGAAGCACUAAGUGUCCUAUCAGGCUUGAUCAAGGAAGUGAGAAGGCUAGUUGACAAGCUUCUUCUUGUCAACUAGCCUAAAUGUAAGCUCAAUUUCUCUUUGAGAAAGACCUCCAAAUUAUUGUCUUUGAGAUGUGAGAGACAGUGUCUCUGAGAGAGGAAGAACUUGGAACCCUAAAUGUAAACCGCGAAAAUGAAUGAAAGCGACAAAUUUAUAGAAUAAAUUUUUAAAACCAACGGCGGUACUUACCAAGAAACCGCCGUUUCAAUUGUAAAAUCAACGUCGGUAUUACUGACGUAUAUUACAGAACUCCACGUCGGUACAUUAAUAAUCACGACGUCUUAAAUAAUCUACCAUGACGCGAGUUAUUACUUAUGUACUUUAAUUUUUGAGUUUACUACGACGGUACCUACAACACUACUGUCGUAUUUAUUUACCACGUCCGAAGUUAAAUUUACCGACGUAUUUUGUACUUUAUACGUCGUAGUUAUAUGUAACCGCCGUAUUAUUUUUUUGAAAUGGUUUUAUAUGUAAGCAACUUUUCGUCUACUUGACUUACACAUUAGUUGUUUUUAUAUUCUUAUUUUAUUUAAAUCUGUCAUCCAAAAAAGAAACUUUACAUAUUGCAGAAUAUUAAUUUCCUUCGUUUUAAAUUUCCUCCGGAAAAAAAACUCUAUUUAUAACGCACUGUAAUUGAAAAAUAAACUGAAAGGUCACGGGAAAAAAAAUUCUAUUCAUAAUUUAAAAAUUAAAAUCCACGUCGGUUAUAUUAAACCUAACGACGUUAAAUGAAAUGAUUCCACGUCGAACGAAAAAUAUUUCGUCGUGUUAGUUAAAAACGACGUAGUUAAAUGUAACCGCCGUAUUAUUUUUUUGAAAUGGUUUUAUAUGUAAGCAACUUUUGGACUUACACAUGCACUGUUUCCAAACCCGAUUAAAAAUUUCAAUCUCCAGAGAAACCUUUUCGUCUUUUUUCCUUGUCAGAGCAUUAUCAGAGUUUCUCAUCGUCUUCCUCUCGUCUUCUUCGUCGUCCUUGAACUUAAACAUCGAUCAUCUUCCUCUUGCUUUCAUUGCACGCAAAAGGUAAGCUUUCAUUUUCACUAUUUUGGUUACUGUUUUGCAUGCUCAUACGUUUUUUGUUUGAAAAAUCUUUUUACCUUUUUUCUGGCCAAAAUCAUUUUACUUCUUUCCAAGUUUGAUAAAAUAUACAGACAAAAAGGGAAAGUUUCCAACUUUGAAGACAACUACCUCAACUAAAUGAGACGACGGUAGACCACGACGGUUCGUCAGUUGUUCUAGCGUCGUCUGAAAAUUGACAAAGUUGUUUUUAAAAUAAUAGUCUUUUUUUAUAUGCUUGUUUAAUUGCAGGUUUGAUUUCUCUGAACAAUGGUUUUUGUUUUUCCCUUAUUUGAUAAAAUAUAAAGAAAAAGAAACUAGGGUUGGUAUCUAAUAUAGACGACAAAAUAUCUUAUUGUUUUACGUCGUGUGAAUGUUAAUACCACGACGGUGUAUUACUAUUAACGUCGUAUGAACAUAAAUACCACGACGUUAUAUAAAUAAUAGUUUACCACGACGGUGUAUUACUAUUGACGUCGUGUGAACAUAUAUACCACGACGUUAUAUAAAUAAUGGUUUUAAACAUUUAUUACGUCUGAGAUUAUUUCAUUGCGUCGUCUAAAAUCAUAUCAUACGUCGUAUUUUUUUAAUACCGUCGUUUGUGUUCUUAAUGUUUUCCUGAAAUAUUUUCACUUGCAGUUUUGUCUGUUAAAAUGGUUUCUCAACAACAAACUAAGGAUUCUGGCUCCAAGAAGCUUGGAAUGGUAGCUCCUCAAGACAAGUCUUCGAAGGAGAUGAAGUCUUCGAAGAAGAUGAAGUUUGCUUCAUCAUCUGCUGAGACAGAACCAACCAGCCAGACAACAAUCUCUGAUGAUUCAAAGACUGGUCGAGGCAUGAGCACAAUGCCUCGUGUUGUGAAGAGAAAGCUUCAGAAACUGAGGCCAAUUGUUGAGUACAAUAAAAGGGGGAAAGGUGUUGGCCAAGCACAUAUUGAGAUGCAGUCGUAUAUUGGUGUGUUGGCACGCUCCAGGAUCCCACUUGUGGACAAGAAAUGGUCCCAAAUCCCCAAGGAUAUAAAGGAGCAGAUUUGGGAAGCAGUUGACAUGGCUUUUGUCGUAGGCCAAGGGGGCAAGACCUCUGUUUUAGCUUCUGCUUCCAAGAAAUGGAAGGAUUUCAAGUCUACACUAACGAGGCAUUAUAUCCUUCCAUACACCAAUGACAGGGAGAAAUUAAGCCAACCCCCUGAAACAUAUAAAUUCAUAGAGAAAGCACAAUGGGAUGCCUUUGUAGCUUCAAGGCUAUCCAAAGAUUUUGAGUCUGUGCAUUCUCAACAUGCACAGAUUAGGGAGAAACUCGAGUACAAUCAUCGAUUGUCUCGAAAAGGAUAUGCUGGAUUGGAGGAUCAAUUGGAGGAAACCAUGCCUGGGGUAGAAAUUGAUCGAUCUACCUUAUGGAAGAGAGCUAGACAGGACAAACAUGGUAACAUCCCUGAUCCAAAGGUGGCAGAGAAAGCAAAAUUAAUUGUAAGCCUACUAUCACUCUGUUUUAAAUUUUUAUUAAACUGUGAAUUAUUCUUAUUACGUCGUAUGUUAUAUUUUUCGUCGUGUGAAUGAUAUUACCACGUCGAAAAGUUUUUAAAAACGUCGUUAAAGGUCUAAAUAGGAAUCACUACUAAUUUUCUGUAAUUAUAGCAUAAGACGUCGGUGGUUCAUUUUCGCGUCGUUUGAAUGAUAUUACCACGUCGAAACUUUUUUAAAAACGUCAUUAACGGUCUAAAUAGGAAUCACUACUCUGUUUUCUUUAAUUAUAGCAUAAGACGUCGGUUGUUUAUUCAUUUCGUCGUUUUAAAUAAAUAACCACGUCGGUAUAACUACCGUCGUGAUAAGUUAUAAUAACGUCGGUUUAUACGUUAUUGCGUCGUGUGAAAUUAUAUAAUACGUCGUUUGUACAUAAAUAACCGUCGUGUGUUUUUUUGUUUAUCUUUGUUUUAGGAUGAAUUGCAGAAACAAGUCUCGGAAGGCAAAGUCAGAGUAGAUGGCAGCAAUGAUGUGCUGACCAUGGCUUUGGGCCCCGAGCAUCCAGGCAGAGUGAGGGGAGUUGGUGCUGGUGUUUCCCCAAGGCAAUAUUUCAAUUUGCCCAAACCACAGAGGGUGAGCUUUGACGACCAUUUGAAGGACAGUUUAAGAGUUCUCCUUCAAGAAGAGACUAAAAAGAUGGAGGCUAAGGCAAGGGAAGAGGCCUUAAGAAUGGAGGCUAGGACAAAACAAUUGGUAGAGGCUGAGAGGGAGCAUUUCCUGAGUCAGCUUUCCCAAUUAAUUCCCAAUUUUGAUCCAAGCAUGCUUAAACCAAGAAUUAGCCAAAGCCCCAAAAAUCCAAUGUCUGACAAAGCUAGCUGCUCUGGAGGUGAUGUGAGAUCCCUACAUUUGGAGGAUGAUACUGCCAAAAUGGGGAAACAUCAGCCAGAUGAAGAGAAGGAAGAAGAAAAAAGAGAUGAAGAGAAGGAAGAAGAAAAGGAGAAAGAAGAUGAAGAAAAGCAUGACGACAAGGUAUGUUCACAUAACUUUGCCUUUUUUAUUUGUUUUUCAAAAUUUCAGACGUCGAUAUUUUUAUUUAAUCCGUCGUUUGUUUAAAACUUAGACGGCGGACUUUUUUUAAGACGUAAUAAAAUAUUUAAACGACGGUUUUUGCACCGUCGUUUAAAUGGUUUCAGACGACGCUUUAUUCAUAAAAUCGUCGUCUUUAUUGAAUUACCACGACAGUUUUUUCACCGUCGUUUAAAUACUUUUAAGACGACGUUUUAUUCCUUAAACCGUCGUCUUUGUUGAAUUACCACGUCAUUUUUUUUAUUUCUUUAAACAGGUUAUUGAAGUUGGUGCUUAUUCAAAUAUGGAGGCGCCAUCUUCUUUAAAAACCCUUUGUCGUUUUGUGGAAACGACACUCCUGCCUGAGGAUAAGACACUCCAAUUUACAAUUGAUAAGGAGGUGUUUGGUGGUGAGCGCGAUACCUUCCUCCUGCCUGAAGAUAUUACACAAUUUGCAGGCAUGGAAGAAAUUGGAGCUACUGUAUUGGCUGUAUAUAUGAGGUUUGUACUUCUAAAAUAAUACCUCGUUGGUUUAUAUAUUGCGUCGUCUUAACUAACUAACCACGUCGUCUUAACUAACUACCGUCGUGAUAAAUAUAUUAUAACGUCCUCAUCUAUUUCAGUACGUCGUGUGAAAUAUUAUAAUACGUCGUUUUUUUAUACAUAACCGUCGUGUUUGUUUGUGCUGACUUGUUUAUAUUAUUUUAUGUAUUUAGGUACUUACACGAUGUUUUGAAACAAGCCAAUAUGUGCAGCAUGGUUGGCUUUAUCGACCCUGCUACAGUUAGUGCCAACUCUGGCACAAUAACUGAAAGAUCACGACUGGUAGCAGCUCGACUUCAGAAGACAGACGGUGAACAGAUUUUCAUGAUGCCUUACAAUCCAGGGUUAGUCUCCUUAGGAUUUUGUUUUUAUGAUUUUCAAUAAAUGACAGCUUAUAAACUAACCACGUCGGUGUUUUAUUUUAUUUAGUCGUUUGAAACUACUAACCACGUCGGUAUUUAUUUAUCGUCGUGAUAAAUAUAUAAUGUCGUCGUUAUCUACUUUAUUUCGUCGUGUGAAAUACUAUAAUACGUCGUUUUUGUAAAUAACCGUCGUUUUUAUAUUCAUUUUGUGCAGCCGUCAUUGGAUCUUGCUGAUUGUAAGAGCAAAGAAGGAGACCGUCUAUUUUCUGGAUCCUCUGCCAGGUCAUCGUGUGGUCGACGAAGAGGCGAAAAACAUCGUGAACAGUGCUUUAAAAAUAUAUAAUACCCACAUAGCCCGAGCACGACGUAAAAAUGUAAUUUGGAAAACUCUCUCAGGCACACCAAAGCAACCCAGCAAUGUCGAAUGCGGGUACUAUGUGAUGCGCUUCAUGAGGGACAUCAUCAUGGAUCCUUCCUUGGGGUUUGAGAAUAAGGUAAGAAGAAAUUACCUUCAUACAUUUCACGUCGUUUUUUGUAUUAUCAACGACGGUCAUGUAAAAUUAACGUCGUUGAAUGGAUAUACUACGUCGGUUAUGAAAAAUAUCGUCGUCUGUGAUUGAAUUUCUUUUUAUUUAUAAACCCUAAUAGUCAUUGUUUAUGCAGUAUGCCAAGGGAAACCAGGAAGCUUCAUACCCCCAAGAAGCCAUUGAUGAAGUCCGGAAUGAAUGGGCAGAGUUUGUUUUCCAAAUUAUUAAACAGGGCAAUUAUUGAACACUUGAUAUUUAUGUAUAAUGUACAAAUUUUCUCUAUAAUAUGUAAUGUAAAAAUUUGUUGAGGUUUUCUUAAAUUAAAAAAAAAACAAACAUACAAAUUGCUUAACCGACGUGUAAUACUUUUCCAACGACCUAAUAAAGUCAAAAACCGUCGUAUUUUGUUGUUUCGUGUUUUAAACAAAUACGACGUAAAAAUAUAGUUAGACGACGUUCUUUGAACAAUUGAGUCGUUUAUGGUUUACAACAUCUUCAAUUUCUUAAGGGUUCAGGGUAUCAUCGACGACGUUUAUGUAACGACAGCGGUUAAGUCGUGGAAUAUAUAUUUUACGUCGUAUAGUUAAAUAGCCGCCAUGGUUUCUCAUUUUAACGACGUCAUUUUAACGACUUAGUAGUCUAUUACAAUUUACAACGUCUACAAUUUAUUAACACCGACGUGGUUUGUUGUUGUGGUAAGAAUAUUUUAUUAUUUUUAUAUCAAAAUAUUCAAAAUAAAUUUAAAAUAAAUCAGAAAAUUGAAAAGUCAUCUCCUAUGAAGUCAUUGAUAUAUUUUCUUCCACAUAAACCUUGAAAAAAUUCAUUUUGAAUAACAAAAAUUUAAAAUGACCAUCCAAAACAAAAUUGUUUUGAUGAGUCAUAAAAUCACUUCUAGUUUUAUGGUUUAGGGUUUAGAGUCUAGGGUUUAGAGAUUAGGGUUGUUAUUUGUUGGGGUUUAUUUUUAAAGUAUAAUUUUUGGGUAGUCUAGGGUAUAUGUUAGGCUUUAAAACCAUAAAACCUUUUAUAAACUUAAUUUUUUAAAUUGUAUAAUUUAGUUUUAUGGGUUUAGGGUAUUAAUUUUUAACGACGGUGGUUGCGUCGUGGAAUACAUAUUUUACGUCGUACAGAAAAACAUACGACAUGGUUUACGCUUUAAACGACGUCAUUUUAAUAUGUAAGUCGGUUUAUAUAAUUUACAACGUCUUUAAUUUCUUAACACCGACGUGGUUUUUCAGUCGUCGUUAUAUAAAAAAUUCAAAAUAAAUUUAAAAUUAAUCCGAAAAAUGAAGCUUCAAAAUGAACGGCCUUACGUUCUUAAUCCGAAAAAUGAAGUUUCCGUCGUGGAAUAUUAAAUUUACGUCGGUACUUGUAGAACUUUCGCCUUGGUUUUUCUUUCGACGUUUUAAAACGCGCGAGCUCUAAAAAUUUUCGCGUGACCUAAAUUUUUUUAGAUUUGGCUCUUAUUCUUAUACUUCGAACCCUGAAACCUAAAAUUUUCAGAUUUCGCUCUCUCACUUCUGCUCUAAUUAAAAGUUGCACUCUCCAGGCUUCGUCGAAUCUGUGAGCUCGUCCAACCUGUAAGUACAAACCCUAUCUUCCCCUUGUAAAUUCAUUGAAUGAUAUUAGGUUGUUUUGUUAAAGGGUUUUAUGUGUAUGCUUUGCGAUCUGUUAAUAAUGUGCUUAUAGGUAUGGGUUCAUAGAUUUUCUGUUUAAUGGGUUCAUGGAUUACAUUAUCUGUUAUGUUGAAUUGGGAAUGGAUUUAAUUUUGUCGUAUCUUUUAAUCACCCUAUGUUAUGUUGAAUUGGGAAUGGAUUUAUUGUUUUCAUGCUUGGUUUCAUGUAUAUGUUGGUUUCUUGCUUGGUUUCAUAUAUAUGUUGUGUUCUUAAUGGGUUUUGUGUUCUUGAAAAUAAACUGAGACACGACAAAUUUUAAGGCAUACGACGACGAUUACACGACGGUUUUUUUAAACUACCGUCGUUGUAUUACUUAUACAAGACGGUUUUUUCAUAAACCGUCGUUUGUAUUACUUAUAAUAGACGACGUCUGUUGAAAAUCCGUCGUCUAUAUAUGCCAAAUACGUCUGUUUUUGUUUAAAACCCGUCAUCUCUGUUGUGUAUUACUUGCGAUUAGAUCAUUGUAUAAUCUGCUAUAGUGAUGGUCAUUGCCUGUAUUUUCACUUUAUUAUAGAUAAUAGGUUAUAGUGUCGGAGAUGGAUAAGUCAUGGAUGCACUCGGAUAGAAGAUCGAAGGCAUAUGAAUUUGGGGUGGAAGCAUUUUUGAACUUUGCUUGAGAAGUACUUUCCCCCUUCAUUCUUUGAUAUCAUGGUUCAUCUAGUAGUACAUCUUGUCAGAGAAGUUCGUCUAUGUGGGCCAGUAUAUUUUAGGUGGAUGUAUCCGUUUGAAAGAUAUAUGAAAGUGCUGAAGGGGUAUGUUCAGAAUCGUACUCGUCCCGAAGGUUGCAUUGCUGAGCGGUAUAUAGCUUAAGAAGCGGUAGAGUUUUGUACUCAGCAUUUAUCUGAUGUUAGUACAGUUGGAGUGCCUUCAAGCCAAAAGAUGGGACUUUCAAAGCCAUUAUCAGGUUGCACAGUGAGCGUAGUUGAUCAGGACCUGUUGAAUCAAGCACAUCUAUAUGUCUUGGAGAAUACGGAGGAAGUCCUACCUUAUAUCGAGUACGUAUGAGCUUUAUUCUUUAAGUUUCCAUUUUAAAUUAUUUCUUAUGUUUAUCUUCUAUAUUUGGGACCGUAAUGCUUGAAUUUUUCGUGUCAUGUAGGCAACAUAUGAUCCACAUCAAGAUUGCUUAUCCAAAAUUUAGAAAGAGAACAAAGUGGCUGCAGGAUAAGCACAAUAGCACUUUCAUUCAAUGGCUACGCUUCAAGGUAUAUGUUGUUGAAUAACAUAUUUCUCUUUUAAUUUUCUUCUUAUUUAUAUGUUAGAUUGAAUUAAGAUAUGAUUAAUUUGCAGGUUCAAAGUGAACUUGAGGAAGACAAUCAUGGCGUAUCAGAAAAUUUAAGGUGGCUAGCAGCUGGUCCAAACAUGUCAGUGCCAUUAUAUAGGAGCUAUCUUAUUAAAGGUAUUAAAUUCAAUAUCAAGGCACAAGAUGAUGUGCGGACAACUCAAAAUAGUGGAGUUUAUUUACUUGCACAUACCAUGCAAGUUGCUAGUGCCAAGGAUAAAAACCCAAUUCUCUCAAACAUGGGUUUCUAUGGUGUCAUUCAAGAAAUUUGGGACCUUGACUACCAAAAGUUUACAAUCCCAGUCUUUAGGUGUGAUUGGAUAGAUAGUUCUGGUCUUGUAGUCGACGAACUUGGAUUUACCCUUGUAGAUUUGAGUAAAAUUGGACAUAGGAAUGACCAAUUUGUUUUGGCUUCUCAAGUCAAACAAAUAUUUUUUGUUGACGACCCGAUGCAUCGUGGUUGGUCGGUAGUGUUAUCAAUGCCUAAUAGAGAAUAUAAUGAUGUUAUUGGUGAUGAAGUCUUAGGUGAUGUGAUAAUUGAGUGUGAGCCAUUUACUAGAGGGAUGCCAAAUGUUGACACAUUUGAUGAACUGGUGGGUGAGUUAGGCGGUCAAAAUAUUCGAGAUGGGUGUGAAGAUAUAUGGAUUGAAUGAUGCUUAUGUAAUUGGCAGUGUAUGACAUUAAUUUUGUAAUAUAUUGUAAUGUGAUUUCUUCACUUUCUACGUUCAAAUAAAACACGACGUUAUUGUGAACCAGUUAUUCAGCAUAUUUACCGACGUCUUAAAGCAACGUAACAAUGAAGAACCACGACGCUAUUGUGAAGCAAUUAUUCAGGAUAUCACGUCGGGGAAGGAUUAAGAACCGCCAUGUAAUUCAAAAUAACACGACUCCAAUCCCAUAAUACCGACGUCUAAAAAACGAGAUAUAUAAUCUGAACGUUAAAAAAUACGACGUCAUCAUACAUUUUCCACAUCGCAAGUUCUUUUAUAAACGAAGAGGAACGAAAUGAAUUCCGACGGAAAUUCAUUAUAACCGCCGUCUAAUAACAAUUAAACGACGUUAUUUGUAAUACGGCUCUCAUCAUAAUCAACGCCGUCUAUAUGUUCUGUAAUACGGCUCUCAUUUAUUUGGAACCGACGUUGUUUAGAAGUUCAACGUCGUCUAUAUUAUUAAGUGCGUCGUGAGUAAUGAUGAUAGAUAUAAAUACAACGUCGACUAUAUAAAUGCCACUGACGUUGUUUCGCAUUUCAACGUCAACUGUAUAAAUACAUACGUCGUAAAUAAUGACACUGACAACUAUUUCCACGUCAUCUUUUUUAGAAAAAUCGAAGUGGAAAAUUUAUUUCACGACGGUUGUUUGUAAAUAAGAGACGUAGUAUAUUUCAAUAACGUCGUCUUCUCAUGUAUUUAAAGACGUCAUAUUUUUUCUUGUCGUGUAAAUUAUAUUUAACGGCGUAGUAUUUUAGUUGUCGUCGUUGUAUGUAUAUCUUGCGGCCUUGUUCUUUUAACAUGUGUCAUAUUUUUCCUUUUUAACGACGGUGAUUUGUUUGAGUUGGUCGUCUAUUCUCAUCCUCGACUAUUUUCUAGAACUUUAGCAGACUAAACACGUCUGUUUUUAUUGUUUUCCGACGUUGUUUUAUUUAACAACGUCUAAUAUUUAUCGUCGUUGUUUGUUUCUGAAAAUAUGACGUAUAAAUUUUGUAAUACGACUCUCAUAUAUUUGUAACCGACGUUGUUUCGUUUUUCAACGUCUACUCUAUAAAUACAUACGUCGUAAAUAAUGACACUGACAACUAUUUUCACGUCAUCUUUUAUCGAAAAAUCGAAGUGGAAAAUUAAUUUUACGACGGCUGUUUUUAUAUAUGCGACGUAGUAGGUAUCAAUAACGUCGUCUUCUAAUGUAUUUAAAGACGUCAAAUUUUUUAUUGUCGUGAAAAUGAUAUUUAACGGCGUCGUAUUUUUAUUUUCGUCGUUGUAUGUCUAUCUUGCGGCCUUGUUCUCUUAAUAUGUGUCAUAUUUUUCCUUUUUAACGACGGUUUUUUUAGAGAGUUGGUCGUCUAUUCUCAUCCUCGACUGCUUUUUUAGAUCUUUUUGCAGUACAAAGACGUCGUUUUGUAUUUGUUGAUGACGUUGUAUAUUUUAACAACGACGGUGAUUUUGCGUCGUGGUUUAUGAGGGAAAAGAUGACGGUGGAUUCCACGACCAUUGAAAAACCGAAUACACGACGGUGAUUUACCGUCGUCUUUUUGCUUUUUUGUAGUAGUGAGAUAAAAAUGUUCUGAACACUUCUCUAGAAGGCCACGAACCCAUCCGAGGUCAUCUUGGGCUCCAAAAACACAAUAAAAGCCCAACACGUCACUAUUCCAGCACCGCGCACUGCUCAUUUAUUUUAUUGCCAGAAAAUAACCGCUUGGAAGAAAAAUCUGAAAUUUUGAUACGAUCAAGCUAAGUGACUCAAGAACGUCCUCCAACUGGAAUUACUCCAAAAUUCCUCAAUUUGAUUAUGUUUUGCUCCAGAGAGAGUCGAAAGUCCUAUAUUGGAAAUAUAAUUCAAAGUAUCAAAAUUCUUCCAAAAUAUUAACCAAAAUAUACUAAGAAUGAGGUUAAAUAUAUAAUAUAAAAUAUGUCCAUCACCCCACAACAACUAAAGAACCAACAUUUUGUAGAAGGUUUUGUCUAUACCUUUGACUGUAAGUAAAUCUCUUGUAUCUGCUCCUGUGGUUCGGUGAAGUUUCUUUGUGUCCUUUCUGCGGAGUCUCCCAUGCUUGUUCCAUGAAAAUGUUCUAGGAGAAAAUACGGUUGUUUCUUACUAGAUUCAAAUGAUUAAGAAAAAUAAAAACGCAAGAAAAAAGGUAUUUUCUUGAUGGACUUGGUGAUGAAAAAUAUCACUCUCUUUAUAUGUCGUCUUCCUUGGACUUUGAGACCUUGGGUUUCGAUUCUUCUUGAGGAUUGCAUAGGGUUUCUAGGCCCAAGAAUACUUUGAGUUAGUUUUUGCGUUUUGGGCUUUGAGACUUUGAGACUAUAAUGAGUGGAAAGUUAUAAGGGGUAAGUUAUAAGGGGGUCACUUUAUAGCCAUCAGAUUAAUCCAAGGGCUGGGGAGAAUUGAGAUAAAGUUUCACAAUUGGGUAGGUGAGGAACCCAAACCCGAAUUGAAUAUCCAGCACGUCCAAAAAGAAGAAGAAGAGGGAAACACGUCCGAAAAAGAAGAAGAAGAGGCAAGUUCGAAGUUUGAACAGAAAGAACUCAUCUCUCUAAAACACAGAGGUCUGAGAUACCCAAUGAAGGCAACGGCUAACGACAGUUGAAGGCAACAAUUCGCCACUCCGUUCUCCAGACCCCGAAAAAGUAUUUAUUUGGAGUAGAAGGGGCAAAGGUGUGGAUUCCAAAUCAGUGAAGGGGCGAAGCAGUGGAAGGGGAAGGGGAGAAGCUGUAUUCGUUGGAAGUGUAGGUUCCAUUUGUGGAGCAAAGAAAUAGAAAGACCCCACACAGACACCUUGCAAUAACCAGCAUUUGGUGAGUAAUUUAUGGAAUUUGAGUUUAGGGUUAGAGUAAUGGUUUUCCCCAAUUUGUACCAUAAAUUUUGUUGGAUUUGGCAUCUCUUCGUUGUGCUUCAGUUGCAUGUUAAUUUUUGCUUAGGUAUAUGUUAAAAAAGGAAUGAAAAUUAAGUCAAUAACAAGUGAAUAACAUGUCAAUAAUGAUAUGAAUAAGAUAAUGGUGUUGAAUUGGAGGAGGCCCUCAAAACCUUCCACAUUUGAAGCAGUGCAUAGUGCAGAUUAAGAAGAGGCGCUAGAAUAUAUAUAUAUAUUUUAUGAAGUAAAUAUGAUUUCCUUUGUUACUAAAUUUGCCUGAGAAACAUUUGAACAGAUAAUAAUAAACUCAUGAAUAGAACUGCAAAGCAUUUGAUGAGCAAUGUAAGGAAUUUAAGUUUAGGGUUAGAGUAAUGGCAUCUCUUAUUUGUGCUUCAAUUGCAUGUUAAUUUUUGCUUGGGUAUAUGUUAAAAAAUGAAUGAAAAUAAAGUCAAUCACAUGUCAAUAACAUCUCAAUAACAUGUCAAUAACAUGUCAGUAAUGAUAUGAAUAAGAUAAUUGUGUUAAAUUGGAGGAGGCGCUCAAAACCUUCACAUUUGAAGCAGUGCAGAGUGAAGAGUACCUCUCUGGCACUAGAAUUUAUAUAUUUUGUGAAAUAAAUAUUAUUUCAUUUGUUACUAAAUUUGCCUAUGAGAAAUGAGAACAGAUAAUAAUAAACUCAUGAAUAAAAGUGCAAAGCAUUUGAAAUGAAGGUUGAUCUAUGACGAUUGUGGGUGACUGAAGAAAAAGGUAGAAAGAAAGAAGGAUGUGGCAAUUGCUUAGCAAGCAGAUAGCAGAGUACAUGCUUUGCUUUGCUUCCUUCCACUAUAUUUCUUAUUUAUUUAUUUUGGGUUGUGUAUGAGAUGACAAUAAUUGUCAUGUGUGUGAAGUGCAGAACUUGCCUACAUUGCACUCACACGAGUAUGGAUGCAUAAAUAAAACACGUGAAAUUGUUUGUAAUUCACAUAAUCAUUGCAUUAACAGGUAUUUGCACAAAAAUUGUCAUAUUGCUUUGAUGAUGUUAAAGGCUGUGAUGAGUAAUCCCUAUGCUCAUGUACUUUGUAAAAGUUGUAAUGUGCCUGGUUGACUAGUUGUGAUUGUGCAAAUACGUGGUAGUAUAUAUGUUCACGUUAUUUCACAUUGUAUUUGAGGAAAUGGGAUCCAACGUGGAGCUGGUAUGGCCAGAGGCAGAGGUAUAUUCGUCACGGGUGAACAACUGCUCACAUGCAAAUUCAUCUCUAGCUGCAAUUCGAGCGAAGUUGAGUGCGGAACAAUUAGAACAAUUCAAGACAUCAUGCUUUGGCCAUCUUCUGAAUAUAGAUAAGAUUCAGUUUAGCGGGCAGAUUGUGCAUGGGGUUGUGUUGCGUAGAGUAGCGGGGCAGGGUGUGAAAGACUUGGAUGGACUGAGUUUCUUAUUAGGGUGUGACGUUGCUCAGUUCACUCGUCAGGAUUUCUGUUUGAUCACAGGGCUUCGUUUUGGGGAAGUGCCUGAAGUUUCCAGUGGAGAGAGUGAUGAAAUCAGACUUCAGAAAAGAUAUUUUAUAGACGAAGGAAUUACAUGCAAUGCUUUAGAAGAAGCAUUUGUGAGGUGCACAGAGGAAGAUGACAUCUACAAGCAAGCUCUUGUUUACUUUGCUGAGUUAGUGGUUUUGGGAAGGGACAAACAUUUGAACAUCAAUCUAAAUUACCUGACCCUUGUAGAGGACUUGGAUGCGUUCAACAGGUAUCCGUGGGGUUCGGUGUCCUUUGACAAAACCCAAGACAGUCUAUUUUCUGCACCAACAAAGUAUGUGAAAAGCUUGGAAAAUGAAGAGGGAAGAGGGAAGGGGAAAAGUAAGGUAACGGGAACAAGCCGGAGAAAUGAGAAGGGCAAGAAGGAUAAGCAUGGUGAAGCGCAAAUGAGUGGCUGGAGUUUUAAAGGUUUCACGUAUGCUUUCCAGGUACAUGGUAAUAAUGUUCAUGUCAGUUAUGUUUUGUUUUUCUUUAAAACAUAAAUAAUGACUUUUGUCCUGUGAAUUGUGUAGAUUUGGGUAUAUGAAUUAAUUCCUAGAAUGGCGGACCUGAAUUACUGCAAGGUUGUUGAUCCGACCGUUGUCCCGCGUAUUUUGCGAUGGAGAACUACUACGUCUGUUCCAGAGAUGAGAAAGUUGAACAAUUAUUUUUUCCAGAGCAAAGAGGUUUGGUUUGCAGCCCUUGGAACUAUUGAUAAGAUUGAAUGAAAUUAUGAAGUAGAAUGAUUUGAUAUGACUCUUGUCUGUAUUCUGAAACAGUCAGUUCAGUUGCGGGCGCUAUGUCCGAGUGAAGAGGAAAUGAGACAGCCAUAUUGGAGUUGGCCACAGGAUCGCCCUGCUGUUGUCUCAGCAGAGUCAAUUCCUUCUUCAUGUGGUGAUCUUGAUGAGUUGAACAAGGUGGUAAGUUGGUUGAGGUCCGAGUUGUUUCAAGUAAAGCGGGAAAAAGACGUCCUUCACUUAAAGGUCAUACGGAUGGAAAAACUGUUGGACCAAUGUUUAGGUCCUCAGUUUGAGCAGGAAGUAAGGAGGGACCUAGCUUUACUGAAACAGAGGACGAAUCGUUGUGUCAUCUCACAUCUAUUUAAGGGAUAUGGGGAAAUGGAUGACAUUCAAUGGGAUGAAGGGCCAAGUAACAGAAAUGAGGGAGAGGAAAAGGAAGAUGAAGGGAUUGAAGGGGGUGAAGGGCCAAAUAAUAGAAAUGAGGGAGCACAUAAGGAAAAGGAGGGGAUUGACGGAGAGGAAAAGGAAGAGGAGGGGAUUGAAGGGGGUGAAGUGCAAGGAAAACCAAGUGAGGUAGAGGAAGGGCAAAGGAAAAGAAGUGAAGGAGAGCAAGUGCAAGUAAAAAGUAGCAAAGGAGAGGAAGCCCAGAGACAGAGCAGUGAGGGAGAGGAAGUGAAAAGAAAAAGCAGUAAGGGAGAGAAACUGCAAAGGAAAAAAAGGGAGGGCAAGGAAGUGAAAACACAAACAAGUGAGGAAAAGGAAGUGCAAAGAAACCAAUGUGAGAAAGAAGAUAAUGAAGUUAUGUUGCUUGGGGGUGACAUUGGCGAGAGCACGGAGGGGACACUGCUUGAGUUUACUGUCGGGGACAUUGAUUUGGAUGAACCUACAGCUGUGCUAUCUCAGUUGAACGUGUGGUUGAAUGAUAAAGGUAAAGCUCUGGCACAAGGGGUCCAAUUACGGAAAAGGAAGAGGAUCAUUCCUUUGUGGAAGAUCAUUGAAGGCAGUGAAUUGGUUCCAAAAAUUGGGGCACAGACAACCGGACUGAAGAUGUUAGACCCAAUGAAGGCGAUUUCGCAUGAUGAUCUGGUGAAAUUGCUGAAACUUUGUUGGGAAUGGCGCCAGGACCCAAAGUAAGUCCCUUGCAAUUAUAAGAUACAAGCAUGACUGUAUAUAAUUUUUUAUAUACAGUGUUCUAAAACUGUUUUAUAUUCAUAGUUUGGUGAUGCAAUUUGGCAACGUGGAAGCUGAGAUUGAAUUCUUCGCUUCCCUCGUGAAAGCUGAUGGUUGGCUGAAAGGAGAUGUAAGUGUAAUUGAUUAUGCAUUUGUUUUAAUGUACAUACAUUAUGAGAUUGACAAGAAAAACAUGUUGCAGCACAUUGAUUUGGGGUUGUAUCUCAUCCGGAAGCGACAACAACAGUUGGAGACAGAUUCGGUAGAAGUAGCGGACUGGACAACGACCGAUGUUUUUUUUAUGGUAUGUCAUCGGCCUUGACCAAGUGCCGUUAAUAAUUACACAUUUUCCAUACACACACUAGUGGAGGUGUUUAACCAUUGAUUGUUUUGUAUUUCACAGAAUCACAUUCGUACUUGCUUUGCGGAUAAUAAAAGAAAAAAACAGCAGCUUGGGUGGAAAAUCAGGAAAAGUUUACUAACCGUUGUAAAUGGGAAGGUUCCUCCGUGUGGGUUGGAUUGGCAGACCGUCUAUAAGGUGUAUACCCCAUUUAUGUUGACGAAGUACAAGCAUUGGGUGGCUGUAAUGAUUGAUCUGGUAUUGUGUGAAAUCAAAGUGUACGAUUCAAAGGUUUCACUAAUUCCAGAUGACAUCGUAAAGGAAGAACUCGGCCCGCUAUCAAUUACGCUUCCAAAUCUUCUCAACACCAUCGACUUUUAUGAAAAAGGUGUUUAUGCAAACAAUUGCAGCCAAGAUUAGUGGUGUCCGUGGCCAAUAGAGCGUGUGGAUGUUCCACAACAGUCUAAUGAGUAAGCACAACUUGCAAUUUAAUUUUAUUACUUUCAAUUGUCAAUUACGUUAGAAUGUCAUUAGUUGAAUUGAUCGAGUUCUUGUUUUGCUUCAGAGGCGAUUGUGGCAUGUUUGUGUUAAAGUACAUUGAGCUUUUCAGCGCUGAGCUUCCGUUAGCUACUUGCACCUCGCACAACAUGCCUUUUUUUCGGUUGAAAUUGGCUGCGGAGAUAACAAGGGGAGAUGCUUACUUCCCAUGAUAUUGGUUGAAGAUGACAAAUGGUACAUGAGAAGGUUUUGGGAAUGUCCAUUCUCAAACUAAUGUAAAUACACAAUAGAGAAGUACGGGUCCUUAUCGAAUUCUACCGCUAACUCCUUCAUGACAUUUACAUGUUUGUUAACCAAACUGCAUUGAAUUGGAAUUUUAAGACUGCAUAUGUGAAUUGGGAUUUGAAGAUGGCUUUUUAAGUGUAUUACAUCAUUGCAAAGUGAUAUGUCAUUGUUGAUGCAAGCCACCAUUAAUCGCAAUGUGUUGCAUCAUAAUAGGUGUCUAAACAUGCGAAAGGUUUUCCGCAGCUCAGUAGCAUAAAAGUAGAAACAAAGACAAUAUACACAAAAUGAACAACAAUUCACAAAUGCACCGACAAGCAAUACACACACAACAGACAAACAAUAUACACAAACUUGGCCUGCCAUAUACAGAGAAUAGACAUGCAAUAUACACACAGUAGACAUGCAAUAUACACACAAUAGACAUGCAAUAUACACACAAUACUCCCUUAACACACACAAUAGACAUGCCCUUGCCCACAAUAAUGAUGCAAUAUACUUCAGUCCCCAAGUACACCAACCAUAGGGAAGUCGUAUUGAAUAGGAUAUUAAACUUAACAGUUGUUCUUCCUACUAAAAGAAAGAAUAAGGUUCGUUUCCCCCCUUCAUUCUUACUUGAGUGAUACUUGUGGCCCCAAUAAACAUCCAAUUUUGGGGCAAUGAUAUUCCAUAUACAUGCAGCAAACUAUCAAUAAACCUUCAAUAAACCUUCAAUAAACAUUCAAUAUCGUUUCUAUAACAUGCGAAAUACAUGCAGUUACCAAAUAUUACAAAAUGGGUUUAGGGUCUCAUUGGUGGUGCGUGCAACAUGUCUUGUGCGGGAGAACUUUCACAAUCUUUUAAACCGUGCAGUUAAAUGAUCAUUAAAAGAACAAAUAAAAUGACAAUUGAUACAACUAAUAAAACUAAUACCAAGUCCUUAAUGGACUUCAGCAUGUUCAGCACUCUAGCAUCAUACGUGUCAUCUUGAUGUUCUGCUUCAGCGGAGGUUACAUCAACCCAUUCGAAUCCAUUGCAACUGGUGGCUCCCUAAUUGCAGGCAUCAUAUAUGGAAUAUAAUUCUGUCAGAGUUAGACAUAGGUUUUUUUUCACCCACAUACAUAUUCUUUAAAUUAAAACUUACAUAGGAGGUUAGACACUUCCAGAAUGGCUUCCCUCGAUUUUUGUCAGAUUUUGAAACCCGAAGCACCAUUGUAGCUCCACAAUACUGACACCUCUUUGUUUGAGCGGGAGAUGAAGAUGAAGACAUGUUUAAUCUUCUCAGUUGUACCUCUUCUCACUCAGAUCUUCUCACUGAAACCUCUUCGGACUCAUACCUUCUCACUCAUAGUUGUCAUUCAUACCACUUCACUCAUAACCCUAAACUUGUCACUCAGCUCUCUCUCAUCUCUGCCCAAAUCGAGUUAUAUUUCUUUUUUUUGGGAUCAUUUGGUGGGUUGGUCACGAUGUCGACACCUGUACCGUCAGCAUUGUGACAUCUUUUAGCCCGAAAAGCAAUAUAAACUACUUCACUACCAAAUAUAUUUUCUGAAUAAUGACGGGACACUGCUUCAAUUUUAUUAAUUUAUUUAUAUUUCAUUAAGGCAACUAGUUGGAUAAGAAUCCGUCAUUAUUGGUUCCAUUUUAAUAACAUUACUAGGGGUAAUUGGGUGUGGGAAAAUGAAAAAGUAUAUGAUGGGACCUUCUGUCACUAGUCAGUAAUCCAUCACAUUUGUAUCAAUGAAUUUGAUAGUGGGAUAAACCCAAAAAUGGCUAUGCAAAUAGCCAUUUAAUUAACUUUUUGACUGUCUGACUCUGUAUGCACCGUUAUGACGUUUUCCCUUCUUUUGUCUUAAGUUUUAAUUCACUGGGGUUCAGUUUCUUUCAAAAGGGUCAACUUGGAAAAACCCCAACUGGAAACACCUUUUCAAAACACUAUAAACAGAGGCUAAAACAAAACGUGUACCCCAAAUAUUAUCAUUUAUCCCCUCUGCCACUCCUCAAAUCGUUCCAUUCCAAAAACUUUUCAAUGAAUUCGAAACACUUCACUACAGUCGGAGGAAAGAGAAGGAAGCAUGUCCAUUUCGAUAUGCCCGAAGCCUUCAUCCCGGAGUCCGCUUGGUUUCAAGUCAUGUUAUACGUGGCAACCGAAUCAUCGGAAGAUCUCUUCCGUAUGGCAUCUGUGUGACGAUUGUUCCGAACUUUGGCAAACAGUUCACAAGUGUGGAACACCAUUUCAAUGGCAAAGUACCCAGACCAUCCUAUAUGGUACCGUGCCAGACCUGCGGUCCAGCAUUUCUUGCAACAAUGCAGGGCUUGCGAUAACCCUGAGUCCAUAUUUAGAGAAGCAUUCGAAGGUUUUUUCAGGCACGGUAAGGUGGAAGCGUUGUAUGGGAUGCGCAUUGCAGCCACGGCAGGCCAUAUGGAAGCGGCAUAUGUAGUUGGACUACUUGGUAUGUCCGGAAUUGGUCAGUCAAAAGAGGAUGCAUUACAAUUCUUGUGUUCUUUGAAUCAACGUAACAACAUUGAUAUGAAAGGAACCAGGGAUGCUUUGACAGGAAGAUUUCACGGAGCAUUUGUUGCAAGACAUAUCGUAGAUAUGUUUGACUAUGGGAAGAUUAAGUUCAAUCGGUGCAGCGCUUGUAACAACAAUGAAUGGUAUUUUGUUAUUCCAGGCUGGCCUAGUGAAGACAAGAUAAAUCCUGCGUUGUGGACUUGUUGCAAUCGAUGCAAAUGGCACCGUGAGAGUAUUUUUUGGUGCAAACUGAUGCGUGAGUAUGUUGUGCGAGGGAAUCACGUAUUUUUGCAUUAGUUUUAGUACGAAUUUACGGUUUUGAUGCAUUGUGGACUUGCUUCUCUUCACUUCUAGGUUGGCUGGCUACGUUAUACCUAUCUCAGUUUAAAUGUUGUUCAAAUGUUGGUAUUUUGUCAUAAACCGUUUUAUAUAUAAAUGUAUAAUAUUUAUUAUAUAGCGGAAUUAUUACUUACAUCAUAGACGGCUAGGAAUGACAUUUUACUGACACAGAUAUUUUGCUCACCGACCCCAAUCUUCAUAUUUGAUAAACGAAAAGUUAUGCAUGGAGUAAAUAGGUGUCUUUUCACCAGUGCUUGGGAAUGACAUUUUCCCACUUAGCAUAUCCGAAAGGAUUUGGUUACACGUUUCUUAACCUAGGGGGUUGAACAGUGAAUGACGUAGACUAUUUUUUGUGUGUGGAAGGAGUACAAUGGAUGACUUGUAUAUUUCCAUAUUAUGUUUCAAAACAUCCCUUCAACCUAAAAAAUAAAAAAAUUAACAAAUUGAAGAACAGAGAAACCGAUGAGCACUACAAAUGGCCUAUUCGCACGGAAAAUAAAAUUGUUUUCAACAAGUUGGACUAAAUAUAAUUAACAAAUGGACAGCCUAAAAAGUAAUAUCAUAAUAAUUAUAAUAAUUGUGGAUAAAUAAUAAUAAAAUACUAAUGUAACAUAACCAUUAAACAGGGAAUGCAGUAGGAAGAUGAAAUCGCAAUAAGUUCGUAGAAAUUUUGGGAUCGUUUUUCUAAUUUUUGUGUAUUUAGUUAUGAAUUUUCCAAGAAAAAAGGUAAUAAAAUAAUAAUUUAGGGUAAAAUGGGAGGAUGUGGCCAUGUUCGGUAACGUACACUUGUGCAAGUAGUCAAAAGUGACGGGCUGAGAUCGCGCCAGGUGUCAUAUUCUUGUUAAUUUUGGAUUCUUUUGUUAAAAAAUCUUUGAAACUAGGUAAUAAAUAGUAGGAAAAUCGUAAAAAUGGCCCAAAAAUUACUCCGGCCUCCUUUUGACGUCCUAAAACUAGGAGAACCUAUAAAUCAUUCGUCUCGCAAUGAAAUAAUCCAAAUUGUGUUACAUAACUCACUUUCCUCUUAACCCUAAGUAUUGAUGUUUGUUAACUUCAACUUGAAUAACCUACUUCAACAAGCAUCUCCCGUUAAUAUUGGGAAUUAAUUUUACAAAUGCGUAACAAUGAAUCGGAGAAUUCAGCAACGGAGAUGGAGUGUCAAUGAGUUCGUAGCAAUUUUCGGAUAAUUUUUUUAUUUUGUGUGUAAUUAGUUCUGAUUUUUGUAAGGAAAAGUAAUAAAAUAAUAAUUUAGGGUAAAAUGGGAGGGUGUGGCCAUGUUGACUGACGUACACUUGUGCAAGUAGUCAUCAGUGACGGGCUGAGAUCGCGCCAGGUGUCCUUUUGCUAUUAUUUUGGCUUUUUUAGUGCAACAAUCUGUGGACAUAGGUAAUAAAUUCUACGAAAAUCCAAAAAAUGCCCGGAAAAUGAGAAAAUGAAAAUUAUUUGUACAUAACUCACUUUCCUCUUAACCCAAAUUCACGUUAACACGUAUAUUUCGGAUAAUAUUCGAAAUAUAAUUUCUAAUAAUACAAUAUUUAGUUUCACUAUAUACAAUAAUAUGUUUUUUUUAUAAUAAUGUACAUAAAUAAUAAUUGCACAUGCUUUGAAGCCAUCAUUGCAACUACGCCUAGAGCUUUGAAGACGUCAGUUCGUAUUCAAUAAGUUGUCCACAUGCAACUGCACCUAGAGUUUUCAACACGUCAGAGGUAUUCAAUAAGUUGUCCACAUGCAACUGCACCUAGAGUUAUUAACACGUCACAGGUAUUCAAUAAGUUGUCCAUAUGACGCCGCAUUGGGAAUCAGUAAUAUAUUUUCAAUCAUGUCAAAUCACAUAAAUAAUGCCAUACUUUUUCUCAAUAACCUCACACAAGUGAAGCAAUUUUAAAACCCUUAGUGAAUAUUUAUCCUAGUCUAUAUGAGUGAUUAUAUAAUCAGUUGCAUAAUAUUUUUUUCACAGUAUAUGUUAACUUUGAGAGGGAUUCCACAAACAUAAAAUAUAAAGAAAGCAAGAAAUAGUAGGAAAUGAACCAGUACAAAAAACAAUAUAUAAAGUGUACAUAAUAAUUCCAUAACCUUGUCACAAACGCACUCACAAAAGCUUUUCCAUAAACCUUGUCCUAACAUAUAAUAAAUAAAGGCAACAUUGCAUAUGAUGCAACCAUGUCCAAAUCUGAUAAGUGAUCAAAAACAAAUGGACAUGGCAGCAACAUAUGAUUGAAGUAGAUGGGCUCUUUGCAUCUUCUGUUUUCGUAAUUAAAGACAUCAAAAUAUUAAGGUUUAAAUCUUCCAUAGUAGUUAGCAUCAAAAUAGCUUUGAAGCAGAGUGUAACGAAAAUUCCAAUUCCACUUAUUUGCCUCUGCUCAAACACGAGAACCAAAAUGGUUACUUCCCUUGCUGAGUAUAUUUGGUGACGUCGGAAACGGUAAUAGAUGACCAAUCAAACCCGGGUACGACGAGUUUUGCAUAGGAUCGGAAGUAGUCGAAUCCAGCUUGCAUCACACGCUUCUUUGACUCCACUACAUUAGAUGAGUUCUUGUAUUUUUGAACAGCUACACUCUGAAGUCGUUUGUGUCUACGCUUCAUGCGCUGCAACUUCGCCCUAUCCAGAUUGGCCUGCCUUUUGUCAUCUUCAAUUUGGCCUUCCACAAAUUCCAAACGUGCCCUUGCCCUUUGGAUUUCAUCACCAAGUUGAAGAUGCCUCUCCUUCCAAAAAGCAACAACUCUUUCAGACUCAAAACUUCCAACAAAAUGGUCAUUCUGUCUAGCAAUGUGACAUUGCUUGUCUGGUGACUCACUUGCGUGUCGAAGCCGGUCUUUGUUUGGAGGGGUGUUUAUUAUACUCACAUCAAACUUGGUUGUGCUUAUGCUCAUUCUUUGGGGGGAAUGAGUUUGUUUGCUUGAGAGAGUAUCGGUAGAUGGAGACAGAUUCGGUGGAGGAGUGAGUUUUGUGUGGAAGGAGAUUUUAUAUGAAAGGGGUGAUAGUAAUACCAAGAAAAGGGUUCCCGCCAAAAAAUAUUUGGUUGACAAAGUAGAAAUUAUUUUUUUAGUCUGAUACAAUCUAAGUUUAAUCCUAACUAGUUUGGUUGAGUUAACUAAGUAGAUGUCACUUCCAUUGACUUUCUUUCAACAACUAUCAGUGGUGUAAGGAGAGUGUGAGGUUGACAUGCUUGAAAAGCAAAAGCUGACACCUAUUUUUAAAAAAUUCCCGCCAAAAAGUACAUAUGUUGACUACACACAAGCUUUGGUAUGUUGGUCUAUAAACCUAUGUUCCCUUUCUCAAACGAAAUUGCAUAUGCAAUCCUCAUCCUCCCAAAACAAAGAGGAUUAUUCAAGCAUGUCAACCUCUUCAGGCGCCAACAACACAAUCGAACAUGACAAAUUGGAGUCACAGGUUCUAUUUCCACAUUGUACUCGCCGACCCCUUCCUUUUUCAACAUCAUUUGGGAGUGAGGGGGACUCCGAUGAUCCAUUAGAGGCAAUACAUGCAGUCAGUGGCAAGCUGGAUUAUAAUUCCAGACUGAUCAAUUCAUGGCACGAGAAAUGUGUUGAAGACGAGGCAAUUUUGGCUGAUCUUAACAUUAGGGUGAGCAAAGCGUUAUCCCAAAAGAACAAGUACUUGAAGCUGAGUCAUAGCAGGAAGCUGAAAGCUGAGGAGUUGGAUACAGUAAUGAAUGAUGAAAUGAAAGGUUGUUUGAUGAACCAUAUGCGAUGCGAACAGCACCAUACUGAACUGGAGUUGGCAUUCAACGAAGGAUUCGACAAAUUCCGAGCAUUUGCGGCAACUACUCAUACAAGUUAUGAUUGGAACUAUGUGUCCCCUGAUGCUGUGAGAGAGAUACUAGACGAUGGGGGUGACAUGAAUGAGCAUAAGCACGUCAAAGCUGCUCGGAAGAAGCCGACCGAUACGACUAAGUGAUUGCGGCUACCGCUGUUCAGUUAGUUGAGGGUGACCGUGGUAUUGCACAUAUACUCCCUUAAUGUCAUUAUCUAACUUAAAAUAACACAAAUAUCAGUUUCAUUUGCUUGAUAUAUAAUUAUUGGGACUAUGUAUUGCAAGUCAUCAUGUGUUAUAAUGUCUAACAUUAUAUUUUGCAAAUAUGGAAAUAUUAUUCAAGAAGCAGUCAAUAUCACAGAAAGCCGGGAAUCAGUAAAUGCUCCUUAUCAUGUCCAUUUACAUUAAAGAGCUGGAGUACUAAUGUGUUCAAAAAAAACUGACACGUGAGUCAUAAGUAACAUAACAUGUGCUAUACAUUGUUUACUGAAUGGUUUAUGGUUUAUUUGUAUAUAAUAAAAUUUCAAAUAUUGCUGAAGAUUUAUUUCGUGUAUAUCACUAGGGAUAUGAGUGGCCAUAAGCAUGUGAGACCUGCUAAGAAGAAGCUGACGAGUACGACCCAGUGAUUGGCUACCGUUGUUCAGUUGGUUGGGGAGAUCGUGGUAUUGCUAUGAGGAAGCACACAAUAUGUUUUGCAAUCAAAUGUUCUUUUGUGUGUGGAAUUAUGAGUAUUUAUGUAAGUUAGUGUACCCUUUAAUAUUUUUCACCUAAGUAUCGAAAUGCAGUUUUUGAAUGUUAUGUUUUUUUUUACCCGCUGCUUUCUAUUUGCUCUGUUCCAACAAAGUGCUUCAAGUAUCCUUCACUUACAAAAGUGUACAAAAUCGUGCCCCUAAUAACCAGUCGGAAAAAGUGGCUACUGCUGGAAAUGAUUACUGGUAAUGGAAACAACAGCUGGCUGCUGUAAUUGCUGCAUUACCGUGAGGAUUUGAAAAAUGAAUCUCUGUUAAAACAAAUUUCACCCUAAACUGCCCAUUUUACAUGGUAAAAGUCAUUGCUUCUUCAAAUCUUUUGCAGCUACACGAUGCGUGGUCAGAAUCUUUGACAUAUACGACUUCUGCCACUCUUGUUUCCCAAUUUUUUCUUUCGCUCACGUUGAACACAACUUUACAAGCAUCCUCUGUUUUGAGCUCUAGGAAACAUGCUGUACUUUGUAUUAGUUCUUGCUCAAACUUUUGAAACAUUGUCCUUGUGUACAAGGUAGCCAUUUGUUUGUUCAUUGGCAUCGGUAGAAGACAUUGAGCCACUUCAAAUGCAUCUGCGUGAUCAGCAACUAACUCUUUUUCACGUUGAUGAGAAAGUGCCCUCUCAAAUCGUAUUAUGAAAUCCAUCAACGAAUUUCUCCUUGAUAUGUAUUGCUUGAAAAAACCAUGAGAACCUUCCGCUCUUUGGCUGCUUGACAUUCCAGCGGCAAAAAAUUGUCGUGCGUAGGCUGGAACCCAAGAUUCCCUUAAAUCAAACAUUGAACUUAGCCAUGGAUGGUCAGUCAAACCAGCCUUUGUAACCACAAUAUUCCAUUUUGCAUCAAACUCAUCCUUAUUGUCAGUAUCCCAUAUGGCUUUCUGAAAUUCAGGCCAAUACUCCUUAUAAGCGUCACGUGGUAACUUAACAGAGAACUUUGAUGUGAUGUGCUAUAUGCAAAGUCGAUGAAAUGUACUCGGGAAGGCUAUUGAAAUCGCUAUGGCCAUUGCCGCAUCUUGAUCUGUAAUGAUCGUUUUAGGUUCCCCACCUGGCAUGGCUUUCUUAAACUCCUCAAACAUCCAAACAAACGACUCAGUCGUUUCCUUGCUCAAAAAUGUGCAUGCUAACACAAUUGUCUGACCAUGGUUAUUAACUCCCAACAUUGGUGCAAAUGUCAAGUCGUAUCGAUUCGUGUUGAAUGUGGUAUCAAAUACAACAACAUCUCCAUAAAACCCAUACGCCCGUCUAGAAGUUGCAUCUGCCCAAAAACAUCGACUAAACCUAUCAUGCCCAUCUCCCUCAAUCUUGAAAUAAAAAGCCUCAUUUUUUUUCUGUUCAGCCAUAAAAUACUCGGUCACUAGUUCAACAUCGUGGUUCCUCAGCUUCCCAAUCACACUACAUUCAAGAUUGUAGAUAUCUUUUUUGAUAAAACCGAUUUUAUCCAUUCCUCCGGAUUGCACCUCGAAAAUACUUACCUUCUGAUGAAUGGGAAUAUUAACUGAACCCAACUGUUUUGUGAGUACUUUUGUAGAAUCUGAAAUAUGACGGUGUGAUCUCAAUAAAUGCAUUCUUUCUAAGGGUGUCAUCUUAUGAUUGUGUCCCUCUGCAAAAAGAGAAAUGUUAUACUUGUUGCUCCCAUUUGUCUUCACAACCACAAUCUUUGCUUUGCAAUUGCAUCUACUUAUUCCCCGUUGUCUUUUUCUCUCCCGAGUUUCAUCCUUCCUGUAUGCACCUUGUUUGCAACAUACAAAUUCUUUCCUCAAAAUCUCUUUCUUAUUUUUCCCCCAAAAGCUAGAAUGAAGUCGAAUACCAAAGCCAGCCAAGAAUGCAUAUCUAUUAUAGAAAUUGUAAACGAGGUCAAGCGAGUCAAACUUCAUCCCAACUGCUGGUGUUUCCUCAUUUCUUACUUCAGGAAUAUAAACCCUCCCAUUAGCUGUUGCACAUUCAUCACUCUCUGAGCCCCCAGACAUUUUAUCUACGUAUAUUAUUGAUCCACUUCUAUAUUACUGCAUAGCAAUUAUUCAUUCAUUAAUCAGUCAUUACUGCAUCACAACAUAUCAAUGCAUUCCACUUACACAAAACAUUGCCCAAAUUGACACAAAAUACGCAUAGCCUAACUUCCGAUUACACAAAACACAAGCAAAAUUUCAUAAAAGUUACGUCAUCUCUUGUGAAAUAAUCUGGUCAAAAUAACAUUAGAACCAACAUGUUCAACUAAGAACACAAAUGUAAUUCAAACCACCAAUUACAGAACUUCACCCAAUAUCCUCUCCAACUGCUUACUCCUAAUGUCAUUAAGCCUAAGUUUAGGUUCUUUUACCUACAUUUCAUAAUUUUUCACCCCGACCAACAACAAUGAACUAAGUAUAUUGAAUAUUCACAAGGAAAUGACACAUUAUUGAUGCCACAAAUGACGAAUUUCCCACCCUCACAAAAAAUAAACCUAACCCAAUAAAAUCAAUCCAGCAAGUGAACUUACCUCUCAAAAUCAAUCGAGAGCUCUGAAGUCAGUCAGCUUGAAAGAAUGUGGUGGACAUUAGAGAAGACUCUUUGGUAUUUGAGACUCCAUCUCUAUCAAAAUCGAGGAACAACUGCUGCUGCGGCUUCUAGCUACAAAAACAGAUAUGCUACUUUGCUUUCAUCUAGAAUCUUGUCAGCUGAAUGAAAAAGAGAAGGGGUUUUCACUUGAGCCAUAGAAUCAAAACAGGGCAACAGCUAGGUAAGAGCCAUUCUUCGUAAUACCCAGGAUACCAUAGAUCGCAGGCCUCCCAACGAGCUAAUGACAGUGGAGUGACUAUAAGGUUUGGGAGAUUUGGAUCCUUCUAAUUGUGGGUUUGCUUUACAUUCAAAAAGAAAGGAUUGUGUUCUUCAGUUUUUCACAGAGAGGGAAAGAGGGGAACAACUGAAGUUGGGUUUCUAACGGGUUAGAUUUCAACCCGAUUCUACAUGCACCCUCUUUUAAAAACUCACCGUUGGAUGAAAUCCAACGGCUCUUACAUACCCCUCAAAAACACCCCUUAUAACUUCCCACUCACUAUAGAAGCUCCCCCAACUAAAUCCCAAAAGGGAAACAGAUUUGAACAACAUACAAAUUUGAAGGACACACAAAUAUGAAUCUCAGCACCGGUGAGAAAUUAAUUUUAGUUGAGGUUGGUAGGUAGGCAUUGGAAGUUUUUAUUGUUUUUGCUCCAAGUCCCUCCUCCACUCACUAAUACAGAUUACUCGCAAAUGAACUAAAGUCUGCAGGGAUAUAUGGACUCCCCUGUCCAUACGAAUGUUGGAAGAAAUGUGUGUUAAAUUUUAGAGAGACGGGUCUGUGACCCACCACUAGCAACGUUGAUAUUGUCUCCAACUUAACUACAUGUUUAGUAGAUGUGGGGUUUUAUACAAAAAGUAUUGAUGUUAUUGGGAAUGGAACCACUUAUUAUAAGUUAAAAUUUAUUUAGUCAAGUUUCCUAUGUGGGACUUUCUAUUCUUCAACAAGCCCCUUCAUGUGGGACCACCACAUAGUGGGCCACACGUAGAGCCAAGUCCACAUCGGAGUCAAUCAUUCAAGCCCAAUACCUAAACACCACGUAUUGUGUGAGGGGUAGGGGUAAACAUUCAAGCCCAACAUAUGAACACUGUAACAUCCCAACUCCAAAUUUAAUCCCUUAUUUAAAUUAUUUAAGUGAAAUUACAAAUUUACCCUUGGGGUAGGGAUAUUUUGGUCAUUUUCUUACCCGAAAAGAGUUUGGGGCAGUGACUAGUAUUUUUUGGUAGAUCGUACUGAGAUGAGUCUGUAGACAUGUAGUGGGCUCGAUUCGGAGUUGAAACGAAGAAGUUACGAGCAAAACAUCACCAAUGGCAAAACCGUAAAUAUUUCAAAAUGAAUUUUUAAUAAAAAAAACCUGAAAAACCCUCUCUCUCUCUCUCUCUCUCUCUCUCUCUCUCUCUCUCUCCUGCGCACAGCCCCUUUCCCCCCUUCGUUUUUUCUUUCCGUGGCUUCCAAGAGCCACCAUCGCCACCACGAAUCACCACCGGCCAUGAGGCCGGACUCGUUCGAACUGCCGCCGCAUCCUCUUCCUGUUCCGGUCGCUCCCAGUCGCUGCCAUCCGCUGUGCUGGCCGGAAAUCGAAGAAAACCAGCCGAUUUUUGUCAAACUUUCGGCCGCUCGUUCUCCCACUUCCGGCCACCAUUUUGGCCAUCCAGGUAUAGAUUUUGAACCUCUCGAGCUGUUCUUGCUGCCUGUUGUGUUAGAUUUGGGAGAUUUCCGCGUUUUGAAGGUCGAUUAAACGAUGGAAGUUUGGCUGGUUUUUGGCCUCCGAUUCCGGCCACUUUCGGUCACUUUUUGGGGUAGGUCCAAGAACAAAAGUGGUUCCAAAUAGGGUGUUAUACCUAGGGUAGGAGUCUUGAGCCGUGGUUUUGAGAUUUCUCGGUGAUGCGUAAUCGCUUUGGACACCCAUACGCUACCGGCGCGUGUGGUGGCGCGUGGGCACUGUAGAAAUGGGGUAUUGUGUCCCGAUGCGAUCCCCUUGUUGUCACGAGUGUGUAGUGUGCUCGGAUUCCAAUUUGGUUGACAUUCGAACCCCGAACGAAUUUCUCCUAUUGCACGUUAUCCGCGUUUGAUAGGUUUGAACCGUUGGAUAGUCUUGAAUUUAAUAUAUUUAAUCUAAGCAUUUCUAGGAUCGUGUAGGAAUUCACGGAUCAUGAAUCGGAACCCCGGAUGUUCCGAUUUAAUAAUUUAAAGUUUAUGUUUAUAUUAACUGUCAGAUCGUGCAAUCGUGAGCGAUCCGACCUUCCGAUCCGGACCAAACGUGCAGGACGUAUAUCCUAAACCUUGUGGAACCUAUAGGAACUUUCGAAUCAGAAUUUAGAGGUCGUGGGCCUAGUGGCCCCGUUUGACCAAGUGUGGAUAGUUUGACCCUUGGUUGACCUUGAGUCUUCCAAGGUAGUUUUCCUUCCUAGAAGGAUUAUAAUGACCCUAAUGACAGGUCUUGAGCGUUGUUGAGCCAUGUUGACUAGGUUAAGAUUUUUAGAGUGUUUAUUAUUGUCGUAGGAAACUCUUGGACAUUAUUUUAAUAAUUGGAAUUAUAAAAGUGAGUUUUGGGUUCGGCUAUGACUUUAGUGAAUGGACUUUAUUUUUAAAUGAAUAGCAUGGCUUUGUGAUGGAAUUUUUAGGCAUGUGAAUUUAAUGGUUUAUUGAAAUUCAUUUUUAUAAUUAAUAGUUAAUUUAGCAGUUUUGGUAAAGUAUUAGUGAUGUGUGGGGUACUUGGGAUUUUGUUGAGGUUUAUACAAUAUUAGAGAUUAACUUAUAUAUUUAAAUAUAGGUAUGAAUGUAUGAAAAGAGUUUAGAAUGUCAGUUUGAAGUACUAUACGCACUACCCUAGGUACCUCAUCGGAUUUUGAUUACACUAUAAGUACCACCCUGUGAUUGUCAGGUCACCCAUGGCGUAGGAUUUUCCGGCGGAAUGACAGACCCCAUACGUGACGUUGGAAUUUCCGGCGUAUGGGGAGAUGAUAUUAUGAUUGUUAAGUCACACGUGGCAUAGGUUAUCCGGAGUGCUGACAGACCCCAUAUGUGGCGUUGGAAUUUCCGGCAUAUGAGGAGAUUAUGUGAUUGUUAAGUCCCACGUGGCGUAGGUUAUCCGGCGGGAUGAUAGACCCCAUACGUGGGGUUGGAAUUUUCGGUGUAUGGGGAGAUGAUAUAAUGGUUAGGUCACAUGUGGCGUAGGAUUUUCCGGCUUGAUGACAGACCCCAUACGUGGCAUUGGAAUUUCUGGCAUAUGGGAGAUUAUGUGGUUAUUAGAGAGAUGAAUUAAGAUUAUUAUACUGAGUUGGGAACGAAUGAUGUUUGAAAAAGAUUUUGUUUGGGAUUUCUGCAAUUGAUUGCAUGUUGAUGGACUUGGAAAUUUUGUAUGAAAGAACUACGUGUGGCUUGAUCCCUUAGUAAGGGUACAUAUGCAGCUUAGGGUAGUGCCUAGGUGCAGCCGUGUGCUAAACUUUACUCAUGUUGUGUGAUGGAGAUUCGUUCGGACCUUGUUGUUAGUCCUGAAUUUUAGGUGAAAAUGAGAUGCAGUCUUGUUAGGAGGUUUAAAUUUUCUACGUUUAAUAUUUGGGAAUUUAGAUGAUGGAAAUCGCAUUUGGCGUUCAUAAAUGUGUUUGAGUUUAUAUUUGCAUUGUUUAGAGUUAGUUGGUGGUUUCGUUUCGAAUUAUUUGAAGGCCGAAGGCUGAUUAUGUGAUUUAUAUGAAAUUAUCUUGUGCAUACUGCCAGUUGUGAAUAUCAAAUGUGUUUUAUGCACGUUGAAAUUUUUAGGAUUGUUCAACUUACAGGGGAGACUGCCGAAAUUUCGGCAUAAAAUCUCGUGCCCUUAUUCCUUAUUGGGAAAAAUGAUUUAGUUUUAGAAGUGGGUUCGACAUCGGGGUGAUGUCGGGAAUUUUCACAGGAUUCAUCUCGGGUUUCGGGAAAUUCGGGUCGGGUCCUGUCAAACACCACGUAUUAGGUAAGGGUAAAGGCUCAAUUCAGGCCCAGUCAAUCAACCCAUUAUGAUAUCAUGUUAAAUUUCAGAUAGACGGGCCUGUGGCCCACCACUAGUAACAUUGAUAUUGUCCCCAACUUAACUACAUGUUUAGUAGGUGUGGAGUUCUAUACAAAAGAUCUCGAUGUUUUUAGGAGUGAAACCACUUAUUAUAAGUUGUAAUUUAUUUAGUCAAGUUUCCAGUCAACCUGACUUUGAUACCAUGUUAAGAUUUUAAAGGGACGAACUCUUGGCCCACCAUUAGCAAUAUCGACAUUGUCCCCAACUUAACCACCUGUUUAACAAGUGUGGGGUUUUAUCCUAAAGAACUCGAUCUUAUUAAGAGUGGAGCCAUUUAUUAUAUGAAACUUUCUAUUUUGUUAACUCUGUGUAUUCUUCAUCAAUGUGAACACCCCUAAACCAAUCAUACCUGAUACGGAUUGAAACACAAGUUUGUUUUUUGCCUUUGGUAGAUGAGUAGCUAGAAAAGCUCAAUGCACUUGCUCUUCUUCUGCUACAUUUCAAUAUAAGAACAAGGUUUGGAAGCCAGGUCAACUCCUCAUAGUUUCCUUGCCUUUGCUUUGACAUGUCUAUGCACUUCUUGGGGAAGUUUGAAUAAUCAAUUGCAGGCCCCACGACAACUAAGGAACCAACAUUUUGUAGAAGGUUUUGUCUACACCUUUUGACUAUAAGUAAAAUCUUUUGUAUCUGCUCUUAUGUUUCGGUGAAGUUUCUAUGUGUCCUUUGUUGAACGAAAAAAUGAGGUUGUUUCUUACUAGAUUCAAAUACUUAAAAGAAAAAAAGAAAUUAUUGUUUCUUAAUUGAUUUUAUGGUGAACAAUAUCAAACUCUCCUCUUAUACGUCUUCUUCGUUGGACUUGGGGUUGUUUUCCUUAUAUGUCCCUUAUAUAUAUAGGGCCUUUGGUUGAGCCCACAAAUACCUUCAGUUAGUUUUUGGGUUUAGGGGCCUACAGAACCUGCACUAAACAAUAAAAGAAAAUACCUAAUUAGUUUAGUACGAAUUCUAUAAUGAAGGCUUUAUUAGGUAAGAUUUUAUUUCUUAAUCGUUAGAUCAAAUUUGACAGGACCCGUUCCUGAAUUUCUCGGAAAUCAGAGCGAACCCCGUCCUUGUUUCGACAUCACCCCGAUGCAGGGUCCACUUACUAAAAACCGAGACUUUCUACCAAAAUUUUGAUAGAAUCUCCCUUGUAAAUUGAGCAAACCCAACAAAAAUUUCAGCCUGCAACAUACAUAAAAAUAAUCCCAACCAGCAGCAUGCUUACAACAUACAACAAAACGUACUAAAUGGCCUCCGGCCUCACAAGUAAAAUUUAACAUGGGUAAUCUACUGAUGUAAACGAUUCGGCCUUCGAACACUGCUUGCAACCUUCCUGAAGCGACUACUGGCUAAGGGGCGCAAAACAGAAAACAUGUGAGUGGACAAAAACAAGAUUCAAUUAAAACAACAUAGUAACCCCACCGUGUAAAAAUAAUGCUCAAGACAUGUAGGUUUACAAUUCAUAAUUAAAUAUUCAAAAACAAAUUUCAUUUAAAAUUCUUUAAAACCACAAAUCACUCCAUCCAUAAAACCUCAUGCCCACAAUUUUACUGCUCCUACCAACCCACUGUAUAGACUCUAAUUUCUUCACAAUCACAACUAUAUAUAAAUAUAUAAAUUGUAUCAUACAACAUACUCCUCACACUACUUAGGUACAGGGGAAACAAUCCAACCGGAGGAUCGUUUAACUAGCCCGCAGGAUUUUCAGGUGCUAUCCUGAGUCUAGGAAUGAGUGGUCCAACCAGGGGACGAAACUCUAUAGCUCACACACCGGAACAUCCAACGCCACGUGUAGCUCCAAUACUAAGUCCUACAGGCACAGACUGGAUCACCACACACCGGAACAUCCAAUGCCAUAUGUGAUAAUCCCAAGCAAUAUACAGAGUCUUCCCAUACGUCGGAACAUCCAACGCCGCGUAUGGAAAGUGUUCACACGCCGGAACAUCCAACGCCACGUGUGGGAAGCCUAUUAACUGGGGAAAGUACUUACAUAGUGUAAUCAUACAAUUUCUCUCAACAACUCCUCAUACUCAAGUUCUUCCACAAACUCACCUCAACAAUCCCAAGUACCCCACCUAUAGACAAUAUAUAUAUAACUUCCCCAAAAUCUAUACAAAACAUACUCUCGAUAUCCAAAUAUGCCAAACUCACAAUAUAUUGCCAAAGUGCAAUACAAACAUCAAAAUCAACACAUGAAUAUAAUAUAUAUUCAAUAUACCAUUUAAAACAUUAUGCGUAAAUCUUUCAUCAAUAAAACCAUGCGUAUGAUUGAAAACAAAGUCCACUCACAAGUAUUCCUACGCUGCUUGACCACGAGAGAGUCCUGCCUGCUGAGUACGUGCAGUAGGAGCACCUAUUUUGAGAUACAAACCUUUAAUUAAUAUAAAAUUACUUCAAAACGGAAAACACAAAUUAAAUACUUAAAUCCCCAAGUUCCCAGUACAUGUACGUUGAACGAGGUAUCCUAAGGUCUAGUUACAAGUUUGGGAAUCGCUCACGAUUGGACGGUUAUCGCUAACCCACAAAUUUUGAAUUAUUGAAUCGGAACAUUCGGGGCUCCGAUUCACGAUCCGUGAAGUCCUACGUGAUCCUAGGAAUACCUAAAACAACAUAUUUUAAUUGGAAAACGCACAAUAUGCGAAAAUCCGUUCGAUAGUCAAACGAUGUCCGAAUUGAGAUUCGCAAAAUGCUACGCACUCGUGACAACCUGAGGAUCUCAUCAGGACAAAGUGCAACUUCACCACCCUCACCCACGCGCCGGCAGCGCGUGGGUGUGUAGAGUAAAUUCCGGCGAUGGAAAAACUCCACACCUACUUGAGGUCAGGAUCUCAUCACUCAACUACAGGGAGGUUCAAUUAGGACGGCAACUGGCCGGAAUUUCACUUUGAAAUCCAGCCAAAACUUAGGUUUUCUAAUCGGUUCCUAGACAACAAAUCGAUCUAAACCUAUGCAACAGUCAGCUAGACUAAGGAAAAAGAGGAAGAAACCUCACAUUUUUCACUGGAAUCGGAAGGGAGAGGCGACGGGGCGACGUCGGGAAGACUCGGGUUUGAACCAGUCGAUGCCGUUGACGAUUCUCGCAUUUUUCGGGGGGACUUUGGGUGGUUCGGGUUAGUGGCUUCACGACGAGUCGAACGGGACCGGUCUCGGGGGCUGGGGUGGUCGGGUGUGGUGGCGGUGUGGUGGUUUUCGUCUCGGUGAACAGUAACAGGGGAGGGUUUCGCACGCGCAGAGAGGGACUCGGGAGAGAGAGAGAGAGAGAGAGAGAGAGAGAGAGAGAGAGGAGAGAAAAGAAAAAUUAGAUUUUUACUCUCCUCUUUUCAAAAUAUUUACAAGUUUGCCACUAAUGAUGUUUUGAUCGCCAUUUUCUUGUUACAACUCCGAUUCAAGCCUACCGCAUGUCUAGGAAUUCAUCUCAGUACCACCUACCCAAAAUUACCAGUCAUGGUCCCAAACUCUUCCCGUAACAGAAAAUGACUAAAAUACCCCUACCCCAAGGGUAAAUUCAUAAUUUCACUUAAAUAAAUUAAAAAUAGGAAUCAAAUUUGGAGUCGGGGUGUUACAAAAUUGGUUAGUACGAUCCAACGGUUAAUAGAUAAAACUUUACAUAAAAGUCAUAUAUAAGGCCCUCACUAUAGAAUGACUCGUUAGUUUAGUCUCUUGUUACAUAUCAACUGUUAGAGAUAUUUUUUUAAUAAGGAUCUACCAUACCACAUAGUUGGAUAAGACAUUAUACACAACUUUUGUAAGAGCAUCUCCAGCGAGCCAGGCCAGCCCAAGCAGCAAGGGGCCUUAAGCCCGGUAAGCAGCUCCAGCGCUCAAGAUUCAGCCCAGGCAAGGUGUGGAACCCACAAGGAGAUCUGGCCCGUCACCUUGCCUUUGGGUUUCAGUCAGGCUGAUGUCAACGAAAGAAUUUCAAAAAAAUUUUGCCGUUGCAAUGCACGCGCCAACGAUAAAUUUUCUUUGGAUUUCUUGCGUUGAUCCACAGCUACCAAAAACCAACGGCUACAAGCCACGUGGCUUCUCCAAGAGCCUCUGAUCCAAAAAUCUUGUCAAAUCUAACGGCUGUCCAUUUUUUGGCUAAAAAAAUAUCAAAAAAUUAUGGAAACAUUUUCUAUAAAUACCUACAAAUAUUAUUCACUUCCCACACCAAACCUUCAUACAAAUUCAUAUCCUUUCAAUAUUUUUCACUUUCCACACAAGAUUUUCUACUACUAAAUUUCAUUUGUGUAAAAAUACAAGUGGCCUCUUCUAUCAAAGCCGGAGGCGCGUGGACAACCGUGGAAGAUAUUUUGUUGUGUGAGUGUUGGGUCAAAGUUGGUCAUUGCCCGAUCACCGGCAAUGAGAUGAAGUCCUCUCGUAGGAGUUUCUGACAUCGCAGCGAAAGUAAGAUGUGAUAUGAGAAUGUAAGGAAUUUGAUGAGAGGAAUGGGAUUUGAGGAGUUUGAUGUAGGAAUUGAUGUUGAAUUGGAUUUGGGAGGUAUGUAUAUAUGAUUUGAGAGUAUGUGUUUAGGGAUUUUGAUAGGAGGAUUUGAGGAAUUUAGAUUUGAGGGAUUUGGAUUUGGGGAAUUUAAAUAUGAGGAAUUGAUUUAGGGUUUGGGUUUGAAUAUGAGAAAUUUGAUAUGAGAGUUUAGAGACAACUGAUGAUUGAUUGCUCUAAUACCAUGCUAAAAUAUAAAUAUGGUUUGAAUACUUUAGGUUGAGUUUUAUUCUUUUCCAUAAGGAGGUAUAUAUAGCAGUUUACAUGAGUGUUUUACAAGGAAAUAGAUACAGUAAUCAAUUAGGAUAAUAUCUCCUAAUUAUACAAUAAUUUGUCAACUAUAUAGAAUAGGAAAGUAAAUUCCUUAAUUAAUCAAGAAAAUAAAUCUCAUUGAUUAAUUAAGAGACUAACGUCAACAUUUAUAAGCCAUGGAAGAGCAGAAAAAGAGGUACUUAGGAGAUUUUAUACGUCGGACUAAGGUAAGCUUAAAGGACUAUAUCAAAAAAAUAAGGGACCAAGAAGCAAGACUGAGAAGUUGUUAUGCAAACCCAUUAAGUUUAGCAGUGAUGAAUUUGUAAAAAUCAUUCUAGUGGAUGCUGCCUUCACUAUUGAGUUCUUAUUGAGGUUCUAUCUGAAAGGAUGUAGACAUGAAGGAGACCGCUUAUUAAACAAAUCAGCUCCCAUUCUUUAUUCUUGAGGAUCUUUAUCACACAUACAUAAUAACCGACUCUUUUAGGAAUUAUUACAGUACUCAUGAUCAUGAGAGGCUUUCAAUAAUUAAUAUUUCUAAGAAUUUCGUCACAGCUGGAAUAUUGAAUUUGGAGGGGAAGGGAGACAAAUGGAACAGAAUAUCAUCUUCUUCUAGUGUUGGAAAUUUUAUAUUAUUUAAUAAUAUUUAAUUUCUAUUGUGAAUGAAAAAUAAGUUUCUUUAAGAAACGUGUGUCUUAGGCCAGUUUUUCUAACUGGUCGGCUUCCUUAGAUUUGUGCCUAUUGCUUUUCAAAGUAUAAUGAUGCAAUGGUUGUAUCUCGUUCAGGCAAAUGGAAGGUAUAUAGCAAUUUAUAGAACAAUACAGUAAUCCAGAAGAAAUAUUAUGAAAUGAAAAGAAUAAAAAGUAAAAAAAGAGAAGGAAAGGAAUUCCCACCUGCAAUGUAUAUGUAUGAAAGGAAGGACCAAGUUUGUUUUAAAAUGGUAAGAACAAGUUGAUUUAUAAUUGGGUUCAGAUCAACUCAUGGAUUUCUUGCCUUUUCUAUUCUCCUUCCUUGGACAUGAACUGUUUAAUCUUGGCUCUUCCCCAUCAUGUUGGGCCUAUCUUCUUCUUGAGGAUUGUAUAGGCCCAGGAAAUGCUUCAAGAUAGUUUUUGUGUUUUGGGCAUUGGGACCUAACUUCACAAAAAGAAAACAGAUUUGGCCAAAAAACAAAUUUGAAGGACAUUGAAAUUGUACCUGUAGGAUAGGUUAAAACACUGUAAGGGAGGUAAAUAGUACGUUUACAUAGUUUAAGUGUAAUAAAGGAAUAAAAACAUGCCCAGAGGAUUGAUAAGUGAUAUCAAUUCUUGAAUAUAGAGAACGUAAAAUAAAGGAACACGUAUAAAAUUAUUUUAUGUGGUAAAACCCCAUCUCUAGGGAAAAUCCACGGGACUUCUUAGUCCAAAACAAAUCUAUUAUAGAACGAUGAUUACAAGAAGUACUCACACACUUAUCCUAGACACAUUCUAGAUAAUGUUUACUGACCUCUUCGUAACUCAACUUCUGUCACAGGAUGAUCUUUCGACACUUCUUAUGUUGAACGCAAUACUAGUCACGAUUUCUUUCAAGCUCAUUGGAGAAAAACCGCCACAACAGUCUCGGUGCCCUCAAUCUUAUGAGUCACUGAACAUGCAAAUGAAUACAAUAUGAAUGAUAAAAGUGUUUGAUAAAUCACCAAGUUAUGGAACACUUGAUGAUUUAUUUCAAGUAAAAAUUCAGCUUUCCAAAGUUUAUGAAUUGAAAAUAUGAUCGUUAAAGCUCUCUAAACAAAAAAAACGAAGGUCUUAUUUUAUAGACUUUUUCUUUACAAGAAAGAAAACACGUUGAAAACCAAAUCUCCAAUUUCAAGGCUUGACAGAAAAUCACAAAAGUAUCUUUCCUAUUCUAGAGAUUGGUCACAUGAAGUCCAACCAAUAGGAAAUGAGAUAUUUAAGAAAGGAAGAUUUUGAUCAAUAUCAAUAUCAAAUGAAUUCUUAUAUGCCUAGUCAACUAUUAAGGGUAUCUUAACUACUUGAUAUUAUGAUAUGAUUGAAACAUGAUUUCCACGUUAGAAAAUUAAGGGGAUUUUAAAACAUGAAAGUAAUAGGAGAAUCAAAUUGAUUUGGACCAAAAUUGCCUAAAAAGAAAACACUCCUAAAUAAACUUCAAUUCACUUUUAAAAACAGUAAAACUUGAUUGAAUCGUUCUUUAAAACAAUUCCCUAAUAUACAUGCAUGAUAGUGACAUCACUUACCUCUGAAUCAGAUGCCUUUUACGAGUCAAGCCACAAGUUUGUGUUUUGGGGAUUGCUGAGCUGCAUCAAUCCUGCCAAUGUCAAUUCUGCCCCUAGGCUCUCUCAAAGCACGUUUACAAUCUAUGCUAAUAUAUACUAGAGUUUAUGCUAGUAUCUAGAAAAUGCCAACACUAAUUUCGUAACACGUAGAAAUUGUUAGAGAUUGGAAGUUUUUUUCAUUUUUUUCUUCCAGACUCUCCACCACUCACUAAUACAGUUUACUCAUGUGAUGAAUUUACAAAACCUAUUUCUCUACUCUCACAAAGACUAUACUUAGGGGGGGUGUAUUCAAUUAGGAGUCUAGAGCGUUUAAAAAGAUUUUGUUUAAGUGCCAGCUUUCAUAGAACUUGAUGGAACUUUAUAAUUCGUAUAGAACUUGAUAGACUUUCAGAAGACUUCUGUAUAAUUUGUUAAUAAAACUUUCUUAAGCUUUCAUAGAACUUGAUAGGCUUUUAUUCCAGAAUUAUGUAGACAGUAUAUUUCAUUUUAUCCCCAUCCUUGUCAUUUAAAGAAAGAAACUUGAAUGUUUUCAAUCAAAUUUGUUUUUGUUACCAAAGCAAAAACAAAAAGUACUUGUUUGCGAAGGAAGAACAUAUGCACAGUUCAAAAUGAAAAGAAUAAGAAGCAAAGUACCUAUUGGACCAAUGAAUGCUGUGUCAACUAGAGAAGCAAUUGGAUCGGCUGUCAAAGCCAAUGCUACAGGCAAUGCAUCGAUGGUCCAAAUUGCAAUAAAAAAUAUUUUGUAUAAUGGUUCUUGCAGACAAAGACCACAUAAAUUCUGGACUGGUCCAGCUUGAAUAAUAAGGUUAGAUUAGCCGAUGGAUGAGAGUAAAAGCAAAGAAAGUUGAUGAAUUCAUCACCAAUUAUUUAAUAACUGUAACAUCCCACAUUGACCAACGGAGAGGGGGUGAUGUGCCUUAUAUGUACAUGCCCACUUCCAUCUAGCAUGAGUCCUUUUGAGAGCUCACUGGCUUCGGAGUCAUGGGAACUCUGAAGUUAAGCGAGUUGGGGCUAAAGCAAUCCCAGGAUGGGUGACCCACUGGGAAGUUGCUCAUGAGCUUUAGAAACAAAAAUCAUGAGGGCAUAAAGGGAGGCCCAAAUUGGAUAAUAUCGUGCUACGGCGGAGCCGAUCCCAGGAUGUGACAAUAACCAAUAGAGUAUUUAAACAUAAACAACAAUGUUUGAUAAACAAAACAAAUAGUCCAAAUAUUAUCCAAAAAACAAUUCUAAAACCAAUCAUUCCAAACAAACUAGUCAUUCCCAAAAACUCUCAAAAAACCCACUCAUUCCAAAUUAUAGGAUAUCCAAUUUGAGCGCUCCUCAGGAGACAUUUUCAAAAAUGCAUCCUUUUUUGUGUUACUAUGCAACAAAGAGAGCGCUUUAUAAUGAGCACGUUCAUCCAAAUUUGAGGUCUCCUUAAUGGCAUCCCACAUAUAACUCUGCUGCUCUCGCUCUUUUCCCCUUUUUGCCAAUAGGUUAUGGACCUCCCGGAAGUCGGUGACAAUUGAAUCAAUGCUAAGGCUAAUUCUUCCCAUAGCUUGUUGGGUGGUCACAUUUGAGAUGGCAUUCCCUUCCAAAUCUAUUCUAGUUCGUUUCCUCUAGUAACAAGCAUAAAUCCUAGUAACAAGCAUAAACCCUAAUCCCAACCUAUAACCUAAUAACAAGAAAAACACGAUGAAAAAAAAAUCAUGGAAAAAGAAAACCCAACGAGGUAUUGAUCAAAAAAAAAAAUAGGGAGCAUACCUUCACAGAUGGAGGAAGGAAGCUGUUUGUCUUCACAGAGAGAAAAGCUAGGGAAAGAGAAAAACGUCUGAUGAAAUACUUUGGGGGGAGGUUGGAUUUCUUUUGGUCUUUGAUAUUUAUAACUCUCCCCUUAAAACCUACAAAAAUUUAUCACUUAAUGAAAUCCUUCCAAAUAUAUGACCUUUCGAAUACACCUAGAUUUGAUUCAACUUUUUUAUAAUCCUAAUUGAAUACACCCAUAUUUGAGUGGACUUUUUAAAAGUUCAUAUAAGUCCGAAUUGAAUACACCCAGACUUGUAAAACCUCUUUUAAAGUUUGUAUAAAUCCAAAUUGAAUACACCCGGAUUUUUAAAAUAUUUUUUAAACGCUUUAUAAUCCUAAUUGGUACAUCCCCCUUAUUCUCAAAAGACUAUAUCACUUUACCUCUAUCUCUGUGAAAUGUAAAAAGUUGAAACUUUAAUGUCAAACCUCGACAAAAGAUGAACUUCCAUCAGUUGCGUUGAAUUUGGAUUUGUUGAACUAAAGUGGUUUUACUUUCUCUGUCAGUGUUUGAUGACUUAAUUUGGUAUUUACUUCUUUUUUUCCUUGGAAAUGUGUUCCACCAACGUGAGGAAGAAAAAUGUGCACAAAUUAAUAUAUUUAAUAAAAGCCCAAGAUUUCGGAAGCACAUAAUUUCUACAAAAAUCUAGAAAGUGUUCUACUUUACAAACUUCUUAUGUCUAUCAAUUUCUACUAAAAUUAAUUUCUCUGUGGUGCUCAGAUUCAUCAUAUGUGUGUCCUUAAUUUUAUUGGAAAUUAGAAGUUUCCAUAAUUUUUAUUUUUUGGGAAUUUUCUGAACCAAGAAAAAUCAAGUAAAAUUAAUAAAGCUUAAAUUGGAAAGGGAAAAUAUCUAGAGGACGCAUUGUAGGAUUUCUCAUGCCGAUAAUUGUACCCUCUAAAUAUAUAGGGACAUAUUUUUUUUGUUUUCAUGACAUGUGGUCCUAAAAUUAUUGUUCCUAGCGGGCUCUCCACCCCCUCUCAAAUUUACGUGGUCCAUUAUGAUUAACCAUAUAUUUUAUUGACCAUCCAGCUGUGAGGUUUUAUCCCAAAAACCUUAGGUACAUUUCUCAAUUAUGUCUGAUACAUCACAUCAUGCCACAAUUGUAUAUUCACAAUUAUGUCUGAUACAUCACAUCAUGCCACUUGCCUCAAAUGAAUUUAAGUGAGUGUGGCAGUGGGAAGUAAUUACUUCUAGGUGCCCCUCAUCAUUCGUCUAUAAAAUGGUGAAGCCAGUGGCUAUAAGAGCCAGCUCCAACUUUCUUUUAUUCGUCUAUAAAAUGGUGAAGCCAGUUGCCAAGUUAAUUUCAGUCCUAAUGGGGUUUCAUCUCCCACUCAUCUUUGCUAUUCUCAGUGUAAGCUCUGCAAUUUGAUUAACUUUUCCAUUCUCUCUCAUUGUACUCUAUAUAAACGAAAGUUUUGUGUUCCUAUAAUUCUCUUUGAUUUUAUUUAGUACGUACUUAAGUGUCGUCCACUAAUUAAUUACAGUUUGUGAGAUUUGAUUUUAAUUAGAGUUCGAAUUAAUGUUGCAGCUAGCAGUGGUUGCACUGGCAAACCAUGCUGCUCAACCAGCACCUCAACUUUACUGGAACUCCGUCCUGCCAAACACACAAAUGCCAAGAUCUAUCAGUGAACUUCUGCAUCCUGGUUUGUGUUGAGCUCUUUAGAAUCUUAGAUAUCUCUUCUACCUGCCAUUUUACUAAAAUAUGUUCGACCACAUAUUUAUCAGUUAACUACUGUCAUUACAUGAGUGACACUUAUUCACAAAUCGGCUGAUCACUUAUUUUCCAUUUUACAUGAGUGAUAUAUAAUUUGCAGACUCCACAAAUGAAGAAAAUAUCGUGAAUGCUGUUGGGAAUGGAAAGCGCAAACCUGAAAUUUUCCCAUUGAGAAAUAUAAAUUACGUUCAAAGCCAUUAUGGAGUGUUAAAUAGAAAUUACGUUCAAAGCCAUUAUAAAAAACGUCCUCCUCCACCUGAAAAUAUCCCAUUUGCAAAUCGAAAAAAGUACGCACUAGGUUCUCCUCCAUCUGACAAUCAACUACUCCAUUAUAAAGAGUUAGCUAUUUUCUUCUUCGAGAAGGACAUGCGCCCUGGCGCAACAAUGAAGUUCCAAUUCCCUAGAAAUUCAAACACGGCUACUUUCCUGCCACGCGAAAGUGCUCAAUCGAUCCCCUUCUCCUCUAACAAACUACCAGAAAUUUUCAACCAUUUUUCAGUGAAGCCAACAUCUGUGGAAGCCAAAACAAUUAAGCAAACAAUCGAAGAGUGUGAAGCUCCAGGCACUAAGGGAGAGGAAAAAUAUUGCGCCACAUCUUUAGAAUCAAUGGUUGAUUUUAGCACUUCGAAGCUUGGAACAAGAAACGUUGAAGCAGUCUCGACGGAGGUAUUGGAAAAAGGAGCCACCAUGUCCAUGCACAACUAUACAACAAUGCCGGGACUGAAGAAGUUGGCAGGUGACAAAGUCGUUGUGUGUCAUAAGGAGAACUAUCCCUAUGCUGUGUUUUUCUGCCAUGCAAUAAAACAAACAGCAGCUUAUGUUCUCUCCCUGAAAGGCGAUGAUGGGGAGAAGGUUAAAGCAGUAACCAUCUGCCAUCUAGACACAUCAGAAUGGAACCCAGAGCAUUUGUCCUUCCAAAUCCUCAACGUUAAGCCCGGAACCGUUCCCAUCUGCCAUUUCAUUUCCACUGAUGCUAUUGCCUGGGUUCCAAAACACAAAUUUGCAUGAUCAUCACUUAGCACUGUGGUGUAAGAUAUAUGAUGAGAUAAAGUUUUUGGUAUUAGUGGUCGGGUUGCCUGAAAAACACAGAUUACAGAAACUGCUUGAAAUUAACCCGAUCAUGUUUUCUCUUGUAAGACUUCAACUUGUACUCCUAAAGCAAGUUAUAUUUAUGAAGAGAUAUUAAUCUAUAUAUAUUUUAUGUAUAUAUAUAUAUAUAUAUAUAUGCUUUGGCUUUGUGGUUCUACCCAGUGUUUG